GAAAAGAAAAAGUGUUUUGCCUAAAAAGUAAUAGAUUUUUUAUGAAAGUGAGAGGAAAAAGUUCAGAACGUUGAAGCAACGGUUCCUUACUAAUCUAUGAUAAUUUUUGCUAAGAGUAGGAGGUGAGCUGACUGCUCUUUUAUUGAAUUCGCGUGGUUGUGAGUUGUGAUGUAUUCGUAAGGCUGAAUGCUAGUGAAGAUCCCAGGUAACUCACGUGAUAUUGAUGAGUGCGAAUCCCAAGUCUAGGUGAGGGGAGAGUCCCAGGUCUCAAAGUUGAACCGUUGUUCAUUAGAGGAGCACUGAUAUUUAAAGACUAGAAGUUACCUAGAAGUAAAAUGAUAAUUUGACCCAGCUAGUGUUAUGAACACUCGCGAAGGACUAACUUAUUGUUAUUGGUCUAUAUCUGUGGACACAAAAAUAUAUCUACAGUGAGAAUAGUUCAACUGAGUCUUUAGUAGAGUGUACACACAGUUAACGAAUAUUGAUUAAUGUGGUUAAUGAAUUUAGCCAAUUAAUUUCAUAUCGUUGUAGCUUCUGAUAUGUAGGUCCAUUAGGUUCACUUCCUAGCUCGUAAAGGAUAAUGACAUUUAUUUCUAUUGGUUGUAAUUUGAAAUGUUUAUAUCUUAAUUAAACUUUACUAUAUAGAUAUGAUUUUAGAUAUGAUUCAAAAUUAAUUUAUGAGAGAUAAAAUAUUUGAAUGAGUUCAAAUAUUAGUUUAAUGUGAAUUAUAUUCAUAUUAAAACUAUAGGUUAAAAUUUAAUAUGUAUAUGAUACACACUAAAACUAUAGCUUAUGAGAGAAAUUUAUAUUUGAAUAUGAUUCAAAUUUAGAUUGAACUAAAUAUCUAGAUUUAAUUUAGUAAUUAACUAACUAGAGAAUUAAUUAAUAAGAAGUCUCCUAAUUGCAUAAAGAGGUGAGUUCUCUCCCUGUACAUUGCAGAUGAUCAAUAACAAGUCCUUGAUAUAUGUUAUAAUAAUAAGAGGUACAUGGAAGAGAUACAUAAUAUGUACGAUCUACCUAUUGUAUCUCCACUAGUUCAUAGGGGACGUGUCUGAGUGAAAGAAGCUGAACUCGAUAAAGUUUACCAUAAUGUGGAAGAAGUGCCUCACAUGACAGAAACUGGUUAUGGUAGCCCGAUGAUGAUGAUGCAAACAUUUGAAACAGGAUAUGGUGAUUCUGAAGUCGGUACAUGAUAUUAUGAUUAAGAAAUCGGUACAUUGUCUUCAUACAUGAAUGCCGAUCCAUCAACUUCUUACAUGCAUGGCACAUACAUGGCUAUUGAGAACUUAACGAAUAUUUAUACUAUGAAGCACCUAUAGAGAUAUCAGAUCGACAUAGUACCAACAAAAAUUAGACAACCAAGAGGAGCCAGAACAACAUAGAUUUCAGAGUCGACGACAACAACUAGCUCGAAAUCGACGACGUUUGGAUUGUGGAACACAUUAUUGAUUUUCUUUUAUCUUUUAAUUGAAUGUAACUUGGUUAUUAAAAGAUGCUUUUAAUUUACAUUUAAUUUUUUCAAUUAUAAGUCAUUAUUAAAAAAAAGGUUCAACAAUCAUAUGUUUCAAUAACUAAAAGAAAAUACAAUUAUAAAUUUUGAUAAAGUUACUGACAAAUGAAUGAAAGAAUUAGUGACAAAUUUUCAAUAACAAAUACAAUUCUAGAAUCUUGAGCUUCCUACUAACUUUCUCACGAGUUUGAAUAAUAAACAUUAUUUGAACCCACGAGUUACUGUUUACUUUUUUCCUAAUUUAAUUUAGAAAGUUCGUCCAUCAACUUUCAGAUGCCACAUCUAGUGACCGUUGCAGGCCAACCUUCGUUUGUCAUUUUCGAUAAUUUCGUCAGUGACCACCUUGAUCAGCAUGCAACCCUAUUCCACUACUAAUAUUAUUCUUCCUCUCGCAUUACCCUAAGUUGCUGCCACCGUCCCUCGUCGUUGAUCGUCCAACAUUCACCGAUUUCUUCAUUGUUCACCGCUUGCUCAGAUGAAGUCAAAGACCUCCAUCCAGUCAAGUGAGCUUCGUCCCAUGUUGCCCAUUUUUUCCAAGCUGUUGCUGUUCGUCCCAUGCUGUCCGUUUUUUCCAAACUGUUGCUCUUCGUUAUUUUUGGUAAGCCUAUUAGUCGUAGCUUGCUACAAGCCGCAUAACGUCGUUGAUUGUCAUGUAAUGAUCCAACUCUUUAUACGAAGAUGAGCUCAUUACCUUAAGAUAAAUAACAAAUUUUUCAAUUUUUUGAAAAGAAGAAAACUAAAUUUUCAUUAAAAAUACUAUGAAAACAUGUUGCAGCUCAUUUUACAAAUUUUAAAGAUAAUAAAAAUAUGUAGAUAAAAUGUGUAAGAUCAAAACACUGGAAAUGAACAAAAUGAAAAGUGGAAGCAAAACUAAGUCCACAUAUGGCAUGUCACGAGCCCUUUUUGUUGCUUGCCAGAUUUUCUCUACCUCUACAUUUUCCUGAAAUAUUAAAAAUAAAAAGAAUGUGAGUAUAAACGUAUAUUCAGUAAGGGACCCACUAGUAGUUUCGCUACGUGGUCUGUUAACUUCACAUUAGGAUCCCGUGAGACAGUAUCCAAAACUUUCCGUUGCCCGAUGGAACACACACAAUCUAAUGAUCCCGAAAUAAUAAAUUUAGUAACCUCGAACGAAUACUCUCAUCUAUCGGUGAAUCCGAAGGAACACCUAUGAUAUCAGGUUGUAAUUUCUUUUAUGUUUUUUUCAAAUUGUUAUUUGAUUCAAGAUCGUGUACAAAAUAUAAAAGGUCUAUUUAUUUCUUUUCAGAAUAUAUAUUUUUAUUUUAUGGGAAGAACCCCCUCCUAAUUUUUCAAACAAUAAAUUAUUGUUUUACUAAAGAAGUCCCUUGAAAAAGUGGGGUUUUUGUAAGAGUCUAAUAGUAGUUUUUCAUUAAACUAUUUUAAUAUUCUUACAAAAGAAACUGUAUGACAAACAAAAAACAUAGCUACUCAAGAUUAUUUUUUUAUUUUUAUUGUAAAAUAAAAACGUAUAUGAAAAACUUUACCAACAAACUAAUCUCAUAACAAAUAUAAAUGAAGCUCUAAAUGUUACAAAAUAUCUCAUAUACAUAUAUCACAAUCAAACUCACAAUCCAACACAUACACCUUAUUAAAUACACUAUAAAACAUUUGAUGAACAACAAUCAACAUAUUUAGACAUCCAAAACCAAAGCUUUAUCAUAUAUUUGAUGAACUGUUUCUUGGCCUAGGAUGUUGUUUGCAAACAAACAAUACUAUAAACACACACAAUGCAAUUCAUAGUCUAGUUCAACUGACUUAGACAGGGGCUAAGAAGUCAGCAGUUCAAAUUCAUCUCCUAGAUUUGUUGCUAACCUAAAAGAAAAACUAUAGAUAUUGAGUUUUCUAGAUCUGUUUAGACCAUCUUUCAAAGUGUUUAUAAGGACUUUUUUUUUUUUUUUUUUUUGUUGCUUGUUGCAAUUAUAAACACUUAUAUAAACACCUAGAAAGCACUCCAAACACGCUCUUAGCCACCACCAUUAUCACUCCCACCAUAGUUGUUGAAAGCUUCUCUUGGGAUAAAGUGAUGGUUCUUUGAACCACCAUCUUCUGGAUAAUGACGAGCAAUAACAUAAGGCUUCCCAUCUUCGUUCAAUUGAUUUCUUUGAGCUUCUUCCAUGGCCUCAAAUUGCUUUGCAUCAGCUGAAGGAAAGCAAGAGCAGCUCAAAAGCAAUAACAAAAACAACCCAAUUUGCAAUAACAAUGGGUUGUUUCUAAUUUUUCUCAUUUUUCUUUUUUAUGCAAAAAUGAAAUUAGAAAGAAAAUUUUGUCAGGGCUAUAAAUAAUAUAGAUGGUUGGGGUUUGAAGAAGAGAGUUAUUGGGUUGUUAUUGUAGAGAGAGAUGAGGAAGAUGGUGGCUAAGGUUUUGAAAUUAUGGAGAUGGUGAUUUCCACCAAGUGAGACAAACUUAAGUGCUUAGCCCAUAUAGCAAAAAAGGUGGUUUUCCAUUUUAAUUAUGAUGGAGAUCGUGGAAAUUUAUUUGACAUUUUGGAGGUUAAAUAGAAAAGUUCCACUAAUAAGUGCCAAAUGUUAUAAAGGGGAAAACUCCAAAGGUUGUUAUAUAUAUGUAUAUAAUUUGAAAUAUAUUGUGUAAUAUAAAAGGAUUGAGAUUCUAUUUUCAAAUUACCCUAAAAAUAACAGAAAUUAAAUUAUCAACCUUUGAUCUUUUAGAUAAUUUUAAACCCAUGUCUUCGAACUAUAAUCAUUUUGAUUGGAUAGUGUCUAUUAACUGUUGAGUUUAGCUCCUUCUUUAUGUAAACAUAUGCUAAAAAAAUUUAGGAACAAAAUUUAUUACUUAAAUGUUGAAUCUUGCUUGUUUCAAAUUCACAUUUUUUUUUUUAUUAUCUAGCUAUUAUCUAGCUCACAAUUGAUAUCUUUCUAUAGUGAUUGUCUAGUGAAAUCUAAUCAUAGAAUAAUGAGGAUACUAAAAGUAUGUCAAUUUAGCUCAGAUAUAUAUUUGGUGCUUCUUGUUCUCUCUUUUAUCUAUAUUUUGUUGAAAACAAAAAUUGAAGGUAACUGAAAACAAAAGAAUUAUAUAUAACAAGUUGACCUCUAAAUUUUGCAAAAUUGGAUCCAUCUGUUUUCUUUUUUAUGCUACAAUACAAUAGUGGUCUAGAAAUUAAGUUAUUUAAUUACUUUUUGUUAGAUUAAUGAUAUAUAGGUGAAAUGUCAAUCGUAGCAACAGGUCAAUGCAUAAAACAUCAAUUAUUAUUAUAAUCCAUUAAAAAAGGUACCCAAAUUGUUUAAGUUUUCAAAGAUUUUUAGGUCGCUUUGAAAAGUGAGUUUUCCUUUGUUGGAUAGACAAAGUUUGAGGGCAUAUGAAUUGGAUCUUAACAAAUGAUAAUAUAAUAGUUACUCAAGGUUUUGAGAACCAAUUUUUAAUAAAAUUUUAAUUAACUAAAUAUACUAAAAGUAAAUUUGAAAAUUUGAAAAUUCAUUAAGGAUAGAACUGAAAAAUAAAACAAAAGAUUACCCAUUUUCUCCUUUUUGAAUUUCAAAAUAUGUGUUGAGGAUGAAGUUUGAACAUUUGGCAUGCUUUAUCUAAUCCAAACCAUGCAUGUUUAAAUUGGCUACAUUGGCUGUAGUUUUUCUUCAAUUAAAUUUUUAUGACCUAGUUACUGUUAAUGAAGUCAUAAAUCCACAAAACUUUGAAGUAUGAAUUUAUAAUAGUUAAAUAUAUAUGUUCCUAAACCCAGAAAUCAAAACAUCAAAACAAAGUUAAUUUAAUCUUCAUACUUGAACCCCUUUCUUUGAAUUGCAAUGUAACGUCUCAAAUUUGAGAUAAUUUUAUCUUAAUUAUAUUUAAUUAAUUAAAUGAUAAGUGAGUUUAUUCAAAAUUAAUUUGAUUAAGGAUGUUAAUUAUUUAAUUUAAUUGAAAGUUUAGGAAAAAUGUGUGAUUUGGUGGAGUAUGGAUUAAGUAAUUAAAUAUAUGUAUAAAUCUGAGAAAAUGUGAGAAUUUAUGAGUAAUGAUUUAUAAAUUAUACAUAUAAUUAAUUGGGAAAAGAUGGUAUUUAAUGUGUGGAGUGUGAAGAUUUGAAUUUUGUAUGGAUAUAUUGAUUACUUAGAAAGAGUGGAUUUAAAAAAAUAUAUAAUUAGUAUAUAUACUUUUGAUUUGGAGAGAUUAAAAAGGUUAAAUUGGAGUUUUUAAAGUAAAUAUAUAUAUAUAUAUAUAAUUAUCAGGGUUGCCUUGUUUUGCAUGCAAGUAUUAAGAAAAAGAAAUCAAAUUAAAUGUAAUUUUUCCUUUCUUCUUCCAUUCGAUCACAUGCGACCCCUCUUCACUUUCUUUGGUUGGCCACCGGCUAGCCGAUGACCGCAUGCAGGCUUCCGUCUGCCCUAACCCCCGUCGACGACUGACAGACGCUGUAAGCCUUUGCGAUCGUGCUGUUCUCCGAGAGCUGCCGUUGGUCUGCGCUGUCGCUUCUAGAGCCGUUCUCCCAUUAUUUCUUAGAAAUAUAAGUGUCACAUGUCGCCUUAAAAACAAGGAACACCACUUAAUAAAACAAUUGAACUUGAAUUAGUGUAAGAUUCAACUACUCAUAGAAACAUUAGUCAAUAAUUGCUUAGACCUCCUAUAUCGAACAAGUGUAGAUUUUUGUUCAUGUGUAACUCAUGUUUUGAUAUGAUGCAGUCACUUCAUUAUAGGCGUAACUUCAGAAAGAUUGAAACAUUUUGCUUACCCCUGUAAAACUUCUACAUUCCUUUGUCUCAUUAUAAAUUUUCGUUGGGUUACCUUGGUUUCAUUGGUUUAUUGUUCAUAAUCAAUUUGAAAUUCAAACUAAUCUUGUGGGAUUCAACACUUGAAAUUGCUUGCACUGAUACCUAUGUUAUUUACACUUCUAUCAAUCAUACACAUCUAGUCGAUAAGUCAUCUCAUUAAUAUGAUAUGUAACUUUAAAACCUCAUCAAAAUGAGAAUAGUUUAUUUUGAUAGGCAAACCUGACCAAUAUACAUUUUUGAUGGGAAAUUUUGGUCAAGUGAAUUCACUUGACUAUCACGUGUUGCCAACAAUAAAUUUGUAAGUUGGAGAACAUGUUAUAUGCAAAAAAGUAAAAAAUAACAUACUGAUGUGAUACUUGUCACAUGCAUUUUGAUGUUUAAGUGAUAUCUUAGCACAAAUCUUACAUCAUAGUAAGUAGUUUGGAGAGAGAUUGAAAUUACCUUUUGCACGACAAUCAUGCUUUACUUAUAAUAGAGUUUAUGUAUUUUUCUCGAGGGACUUUUGUAAAAAUGACAAAAAAAUUUAUGAUAAUAGAACUUAUGUUACAACAUUUUCUAAAUUUGUAAAAGUAACAAAUUUAAAAGUGAUGACCAUCUGAUAGCUCUAUGAUUAUCGUUUGAUAGUGCUCUGAUAACUUAUGAUUACCAUCUCAUAAUCGUUUGGUAUUAUUAAUUUUGCCAUAUUCGUAAUAUACAAAAAAUUGAUACCAUGAGUUGUUUUUUCUAAAUGUUUUGGCCGAUCUAAUUUCCCUUUUCUUAAUCCGGUGCAGUUAAGAUUUUACUUCCUUUCCCUUUUGAAAAAUGGAAUGCUCAAGGGUAGGAUUGGCCACUAGAGAUGUUCCAUACCAGAGUACCGGUGGGUUGAGGUCAAGGCAUGUCAAUUAGUUUUUGGUCCAAUUAUUUUUUCUCGUUAUUUGUUAAGAGCUCUCGUAGGCUCACUUCUUAGCAGUUCUUGUCUAUUUCCAACAUUAGACAAUUUUCCCAUUUUUAUUUUUCACCGAUUAAGAAUUUUCCAUAACAUAUAUUAUUAUGAUAAAAAAAGAACUUCGAGGAGACAUUUGUUUCCGUACGUAAUUUAUUCUCAUAACAUGCACAUCUAUCAACCACACGAAGUAAUAUUGAUUAUUAGACUAUAAGAUUCUUAUUUUACUUUUUGAUUUAUUGGUCGAAAUUUAUAUUUUAAUUGAUUGAAACAUACUUAGGUUGAGACUAAUUUUAAUAAACUCUGAAUCCACCAAUUGAUUAUUGAAAUUCCAUGCACAUGCAUUAUAUAUUAUACCAUAAAUAAGUACGCCUCCUAGCUCUCAUACAUCAUUUUUAGCCAAACAUAAUAUUGCAUACAAAAUAUCUUCUUUUGUUAUCAUCUUUCUAGCCGACCCUAGCUCGAAAAAUGAAUACUCAUCUUAUACAAAACACAAACUCAGACAAAUAUAUCUCUCGGUGUGUAUGUUUGUAUUUCCAAAUCCAUUAUUCCUUCGCGUAUUUCCAAAUCCAUUAUUCCUUCGUCUCCUUAUUACUCCAACAAUUAUAGUCACUUCUAUAGCAUCCAUGGUGAUUAUAUUCACUUGUUUCAUAUUGUUUUCUACCUGUUAACUUUUGAUUCUCAAUAGGAUUCUUCUCUUCCUCUUCGUCUUGCAACUUCAAAUGCCUUCCAUCAACAAGGAAGAAAGUGUUCAUAAUCAUCAACGCCAACAUGAUGAUUACGGCAACCGCUACUCUUUGUCUCAUCUUCUCAGCUGCAAAAAGAAGCAAAGAAAGUUUUGUGAUUUCAAGUUUUAGAACUUUUAUGGAUUCUGCAUGAAAUGUAAUGAAAAGGAUUUGAUGGGGGAAAAAGAAUGAAUAUAUAAUUUACUAUUUUGACUUCUUUUGAGGGAGAAUGUUUGUAUAAGUGGUUUUGUGGCUCUAUUAUAUGAAGGAGGAAGUGUUUAUUUAUAUGGUUAUUUUAGUGGGAUUUUUCAUCUCCACCAAACAAGGCAAAGUUUAAGUGGGUUAGCCACAAAUCGUAGAAAUUGUUUUUUAAAAUCCAUUGGAAUAUAAUGAUUGAGAUGAGAAAAUCUGUGUAUAAAUAGGAAAACUUGCUUUCAUGUAUUAUUGAGAGAAACUGUGUUUUUCAUCGGCAUUAAUGAUUUAGUUUCCUGUGAAAUUACCCCUAGAAAGAUGAAAUAUUAUACAUAGGUUUGACGUAUACAUUCACGAUUGGGCUUGCUCAUAGCAAAAAUAAUGUUCUUGAAUUUUCUAUAAGAAAUUUUACAAUAAGAAAAAUAAAAAGACACCAUGGAUAUUUAACAAAAUGAAGCUAAAAUAUUACAGAAAUUGUAGAACUUAAACUAAUUUCCAUUUCUCUAAAAAAAGAAAAAAAAAAAGAAAGAAAAAAAAAAAAAACUAAUUGCCAUUUCAGCAAACCUUACUUUCAACCCGUGAACAUGUCCAAAAAGCUCACUGAUGUAACAACACAGUCAUAGGCACAAAAUUAAUUUCUUAUUUCACGACAUAUCUCUAUCACUGUUAUUUGAUAUACUUUGAUAUACUUUAAUAUACUCUUUAUAGAUUUUCACUACAACAAUUAUGGCUUUAGAUGUUGGUUGACAGUUUCGAAACAACAAGGGUGUUGAGGUUAUUGUUGCACUUCGGUGCAGCUAAGCGUUGUCGUAGUAAGAAAGCAUGCAAAAUAGAAGCGCAUUAAUAAACUGUAUGAGUUGCAAAUUCACUUUUUCUAAGACGUUUCGCGACUAUGCUAGGAUGUACAAAUAGAUAUCAAGUGCCCCGUCGUUCCUAGGAUAAAAUAGUCUCUAAUUUCAUCGAUAGGAACUGCACUGGAACUAACCAAUAUACUAACACUUAAUAUUGCUCGGAAAACUAAAAGAUAAUAGAAUUUACUCAAGAAACUAAAAGAAAACAUAUGCGAAAAAGGAGUACUUGAGAGAGAAAUAAGAGAGAGCUUGAAGUUUUUUUUGGUUAUGUAUCAAAUGAGAAGAGAGGUGGCUAUAUAUAGUGGAUGAGAGGGCUACCAAUGGUCGGGUAUUAAUGAUGGUAAAAAACAGUCUGUCUGAUAUUAUGUCGAUAAAAAAUGGUCCAAUGGUUGGGUAUUUAUGAUGGUCAAAAUGAAACGGUUGGGAAAUUAUAUAAGGAUACGAUCCAACGGUUGAAAACGGUCCAACGGUUCAACGAAAUUAAAUCAAUGGUUGGGAAUGAUUUAACAAAAAUUAAAUAUGUAAUUAAAUUUGAAAAAAUUUAAAAUAAAUUUUUAGCAAAAAUAUUAUUUUAUUCCUCGCCUUGCCACCCCAACCAACUGAUCGCACAACGCCUAUCUCCCCUCCCCUUCCAAAACUUGGGUGCCCCAACCCAAAAGUGAAAGUGUGAGUAUUAAAAUGGGCUUCCACAUUGCUAUAGCAACUUGAGAAUGCUACUUUUGAAUAAAAUAAUAUUAUAAUUUAUUAUUGCUAAAAAUUUUCAUUAAAAAUCCCCUACUUAAAUUUUUUUUACUAACAACCCCUCACUGGAAAAUUUUUAUAAACAUUUUAAUCGACCAAUAUCUAUAUGUGUAAUACUGAGCUUAAGCAAAAAUGUCUUAUGACUCUGAACUUUUACGUAGUGACAAAAAUUUAGAAUCUUGUCAAGUAACAAUUGGUUUUGAACUUUACCUCGUCUAACAACGAUACACACAAAGUAUUAUUCGAGUGAAGUUCUAAAUAGCUGUGCUUUAAGCCUUGCACAUAUAUCCUAGUUCAGUGGAUGCUCUAGAGUAUUUGCCUAGAAUUUCAUAGCAAGUUGUCUUCACUUCCACAUCCACAAAGGUGAAUCUCUCAAGAGUACUCCUGUAGCUAGGUACCCUACUUGACAUCAAGUAUAGAAUUCAUUAAUAACUAAGUUUAGCCUUUUCACUUAUUUUAGGAUAUAUCAUGCUAAUCACUUAAUCAUAAGAAUGAAACUCCUAGGUGUUUUAGCAUAAUUCUCUUCAUAUCACUUGUGGUCAGUUAUUACCCAUUGAACUUGUUUCUUGGGAUCUCGAAUCUUUAAAGUUGGGUUUACCUUACAGACGAUUCAAUUUUCUAUAGACUUGAGUCCCAUUCUUUUUGAGGUUUUGAAAAACUCUCUCUAGCUAGACCUUUGGUCAAAUGAUUAGCCAAGUUAUCAUCAGUCCAUACGUGAUCCGCUAUUACUGCACCAAUAGUGAGAAACUCUCUAAUGGUACUGUGCUCACUACGUAUCUGUUGUCUCUUGCCAUUGUAAUAAGAUUUUUUUGAACUUUUGCGAUAGCUGCAGUAUUAUCGCAAUGGAUUAAUAUGGUUAGUAUCGAUCUUUGAAGCCAACUUGCUUCUUUACUAGCAGUAACUAGUCCUAUCAUUUAUGAGUCCAUCGUUGGCUUGGCUAAAAUAACCUGUUUUUUGGAUUUCCAAGCAACAACCUUUCCUACUAAAAAUAUAGCCACUUGUAACAUUUGAGUCAUCCAAGAUGAAGUUCCAAUCAACAUCAUAGUAACUUUCUAGAACAAUAGGAAACUUUUGAUAAUGUAAUCCUAUCUUCUGGGUUUUCUUAAGGUAUCUCAUUACUCUUUUUACAGGAUUCCAGUGUUCUAGGCUAAGUUUACUAGUAAACCUACAACAUAAGUUAUAUCUGGCCUAGUAUAGUCAACAAUAUAUCUCAAAUUUCUUAUCAUACUCACAUACUCGAAUUGAUUAGCAAUGUCACCAGUGUUAUUAAACAACUUAACACUAGGAUGAUAAGGUGGCAAACUGGUUUACUAUCAAAGAAGUUAUAUUUCUUUAGAAUCUUCUCUAUGUAAUGGGAUUGAUCUAAAGAAAUUCCCUUUUCAGUUCUAAUGAUUUUUAAACCUAGGAUUGUAUUAUCUUCUUCUAAGUUUUUCAUGUUAGAAUUUGAACUCAGCAUUGAUUUUACAUCAUUUAUGACGUCAAGUUUAAUCAAACGAUUAACAUGUCACCUACAUAUAAGCAUAUGGUAGUGCAUAAGUCAAUCUCAUACUUAUAGUAGAUGCAUUUAUCACUCUCUCAUUACUUUAGACCCUUUAAACAUGAUUAGAUUAUCAAACUUUUCAUUCAUUGCUUAAGAGCUUGUUUUAGGCCAUAGAGUGAUUUAUUUUGCUUACAGACUUUAGAUUCUUGACCAUGAACUAUGAAACCUUCAGGUUGUUCCAUAUAGAUCUCUUAUUUUAAAUCACCAUCAAUCUAAAUAUCCAUAUGAUGUAGUAAGAAUUUUUUUAGGACAACUAUAAAAAUCAACACUCUAAUUGAGACAAAUUCUAGUCACUUGGGAGAAGGUGUAAAAAAAAAAUAUUUUUCCUCUUUGUCUAAAACCUUUUCCUACUAGUCUAGCCUUAUACUUAUGUACUGAUCCAUCAGGUUUGAGUUUCUUCCUCAAAAUUCAUUUACAACCUAUUACUUUGCAGCCGGGGGUAUGUUAACUAGGUAUCGAGUUCUAUUUGAUUCAAGAGAAUCCAUUUCAUCAUUGAUAGCUUCUUGCCAGAAGUUGACAUCUACUGGGGAUAAGACUUCUGUUACAUCUUUAUGAUUUUCUUUUACAUUGUACAUUUUGAAGACUUCUCCAAAGUCUUUUAUGGUUCUCAUUCUCUUACAUUUUUUAGGUUCAUGAUCUACUUCCUUAUUUUAAGUUUGGAUCCUAAUUGAUGGUAAGCUACUAGAACUUGAGCCCCCACUAUUUAUAGACUUAAAGGAAAAUAUAUCUUGAAAGAAGUUUGCAUAUCAUUUGGUUCUAUGAUUACCUUAUUUUCUAAGUCACAGAACCUAUAGGAUUUACUAUUUUUAGCAUAUCUUGUAAAGACACAAUCAUAGACUCUAUUGGCUAGUUUUCUUCUCUUAGGAUCAGAAAUUCUAACAUAGACUUUAAGCAAUCUCAAGUUUUGAGAUAAGACAAGUUUGAUGUUUUAUGCUUAAGAACUUUUUAAGGUGAAGUUGUGGUGUUUGAUUUAGGAAUCCUAUUAAGGACAUAAUUAAUUGUCUUACUUACUUCACCCCACCAAGAUGGUAAUGUCCAUAAAUCAAGCAAGAUAGCAAUUAUUAAUUUAGUUAGAGUUCUAUUCUUCCUUUCAACUUUUUCGUUCAUUUCAGAAGAAUAAGGUGCAAUUUUUUUUGUGUAUAAUUCCUUUUAAGUUAUAAAACUCAAUAAAAACAAUUGAAUCAUAUUAAAUUCCUCUACACUACAAAGUUUCUUAAUUAUUUUAUUAAUUUGAUUUUUUACUUUAAUUACAAACACCAACAUGUCAAAAGCAUCACUUUUAUUUCUAAGCAAGUAAAUAAAAGUAAAAUCAGAUUAAUCAUCUACAAAGGUUAUAAAAUAUCUUUUACUAUUCUAAUCAAUAUGCUAUCGAAUUCACAUAAAUCCAAAUGAAUUAAUUCUAGAGGACCUGAAUAUGCAACUAAAUAAUCACAAUGAAUUAGUUCUAUGACUCAGUUACCCUAGUUACAUAUUUAUGCGUAGUCUUAGUUAUCUUAGCUUGACUACAACAUACACAUAUUUCAAAUUCAUGCAAAGAUAACUUAUGAAUCAGGUUUAACCUACUCAUGUUGCGAAUUAAUCUUUUAUUUACGUAACAAAGCCUAGCAUAAAAAAUAUUAAAAGAAUGCAAGAUGUAAGUAGAAGACAUUUUCUUAUUCAUUUCUAAGUUCAGUUAAACAUGCCAUCAAUUGCAUAUCCAUUCCCCACAAAUACAUUAUUUUUAGUUAAGGUAAAGAGAUCUGAUCGUAUUUCCCGAGUGAAACUCAUUCUGCCGAGGAGAUAGCCUGAACUUGUUUCUUUUGAAUUUCACGAGUGUGCAGGACUUUCUUCAGGAUAAGUGUCUUGUUUGAUAUGACCUUUAGUUCUACUUCCCUAAUGCCAACUACUUUGGUCGUGUGGUGAUCCCUCAGAAGGAAGUUCUUAUCAUUAGUUUCAUUAUAUUUUCUAAACAGACUAAGAUCAUGACAGACAUGGCGUGAUGCACCAACGCCUUGUUGGAAUUUUUUGUCCUAAAACUCGUAGUUUGUAAAUCAUAUUCUAUUCAAUAAAGUUGUUAUUGAGAAAUUAAAUAUUAUAAUCUUAAAUCCAAUAAAUCAAAGUUCCAAGGCUAUUUUUUGAAUAAACUUGAACUUUAUGUGUAAACAUAAACGUGGAUCAAGUUCGAGUAUAUAGCCUAAAUAGUCUAUAGUAUAUGAAAUAAAGGUUGGGCGCCUUAUUUUGAGAGACUAUGGAUGCGGCCCACUUUGUAGUACAAACGAUGUGAUCCUAAUCGUUCAUGUAGAGACAUGAAAGUGGGGGCAUCCUAUGUAAAAUGUUUACAUAAGACUGAACCAUGAAUUAGUCAUUUUUACGUUAUAACACCGUUUACUGUUUAAAACUGACUAUCUCAAUUAUUGAUGACCUAGGUAACUUAGUCUUAAUCCUGAGUUAACUAUGAACUCCUGUUCAUACGAGAUUAUCCUUAGAUCUGCAUAGGUGAGGGCAGCUCAUCAGCGUUGGCCCAAUAAGCCUCCCAUUUCAGGGGUAAGAUCGGGUGGAUAGCUGGGAACAUAGGGUACAAGAUGGAAUUCACUCCUACCCGCUUUAGGGUUAGUAGAUAGGUUGCUCUCUUAAGCACUGAAUCCAAGUCUUGAACAAGGGGCCCCACCCUCUCAUUGGCCCGAGAGGGAUUAAGUUUAUAGGUUGAACCUUAAACCAAUUGUUCAAUAGUGGAUUAGUGGGACUUAAGGAGCAAGAUGUAAUCUUGGGGGUAAAACGGUAUUUUGACCCAGCUAAGGUUACGAGCAACCUGUGAAGGAUUAACUUACUGAUUAUGGUUUUAUCAAAUGGACACAAAUAUAUCUAUAGUGAGGGGAGUGCAACUACGGGACUUUAGUGGAAUGACCCGUUAGUUAACGAAUGUUGAUUAACUCGGUUUAAAAGAGUUUAGCUAGUUAAUCUUGAAUCGUUGGAGCCCAUGAUCUAUAGGUCCAUUAGGUUCCUCUGCUAGCUCAUAUGGAUUAAACUUAGAACAGUGUGAUGAAAUAAGUCGAAUUGUUCGAAUAGGGAGAAGAAAGGAAAACCGACAUAUACAGUGAUAUAAUCGUCGGUCUUCUAAUUAGAAAUAGAGCUUUAUGUUUUACAUACUAUAAGUAUGAAUGCGGAUUCAUACUAAGAAGCUCGGAAUUGGUCAAAAAUAGUAAAAAGUCAAAAUGUUGACUUUUGACUUUGAAAAGUCAAACUUUGACCGGCCUUAUAUUCAAAUGUGAUUUGAAUUUUGGAAAAAUGAACGCGGAUUCAUGCUCGGGAGGUUGGAAAAAUGAAUGCGGAUUCAUGCGGAUUCAUGCUCGGGGGACGAACAAAAUGGUAAAAAGUCAAAAUAUUGACUUUUGACUUAGAAAAGUCAAAGUUUGACUUUUGACUAGAAAAAUCUAAUGACCAUUUUACCCUUGGACUAAGUUAGUGGGAAAAUCCAACAUUUUGUUGGAUAAUCCCACUAACUCUUAGUGGGAUAUGUGGCUAUAUGAGAUAUAGACACCUAGCCCACUAAGUUCCACUAAUUGUUAGUGGAAUAUUAGGUGUUGAGAUUUGGCAAUUGAAUUGCAUGCAUUUUUGCAUGUAAUUAGGCUAUAAAUAGAGAUGUUUUCAAAUGUUGAAGGACUUUUUGCCUCUUUUAUCAUUUUCAUAAUCUCAACAAAAGAAAAAAGAAAGCUUCCAAUCUCAUUUUAUCUCCAUUACUUUCUACACCAAAAUUGGGUCCCACAACCCGGUUCUUUGUCUAGAGGAUAGCAGUUGAGUACUAGUGGUGGUCUCGGGUAGAAUUGGUAAGAAGACAUCAAACCUUUUGAAAGCUUCAAAGGUAAUACUUCUUAAAACCCUAAUUUGAUUAGUUUAUGGUUAGAUGUUAAUUGUGGCAAUUAGGGUAGAAAUUCGAUUCUUUUUCCGCUGUGCAUGACUUAGUUCUAUCACGCCUAGCUACCAACCUUCCGACCCCUUGAUCACAUUUAUCUCUGUGAUCACAACUACUAAAUCUUCUUCUAUCAGGUUUGCUUUUGUAGUAGGAUGAUUUCUGUUUCUACCGUUUUUAGCUAAGGUCUAAGUUUAUUAUAAUUGUAGUACAUAUAUGUAUUUUACUUAUAAACUGAGAUUUCUAAGAGUUCUUUUGGUUGUUGGUCUUCGAUUUUAAACCUUCAUUUUGUUUCCUUUCGGUUUCAGGUCUUGUUUAAAAAAAAGUUGUAGAUUUUUUCUUGGGAACAACAUUCACCUCCUCCAUUUGGUUAUGCUUACGGGUCUCCUCCUCAAUCCUCAAUCGGGUAACUAGACUCUCUAGUGAGAACUCCUUCUUGUGCCUUAGAGUAUUAUGGUAAAGUCCUAUAAUCAAGGUAACUUGUCAAUAAUAACAGCAACUUGAAACUACUAGUUAAGUGACAUGCCUUCAUUAAUUAUUUCAUUAGCAAUUUUCUGCAACUCGUAUGAUUGGGCCUCCAUAGAUCUAUCGUCAGUCAUUUGGUACCAUAAAUAUCGACUUGCUUCAUACUUCUUAGACUUGACCUCUUCUGUCGUAUUUCUGUUGCAAUGCAUCCUACAAUUUUUCGAGAUAAACGUGGUAUUGUAGUAAUCAUAAAGCUCAUCAGUAAGUGCAUUCAAAAUUAGAUUUACAUAUGAAGUCGGACUUUGUCCAUGCAUCAUUAUUUCAAAUCUCCAUCCAAGUUAGAGUUUUUGGCUGGAACUGUUGGUUCUUCUGUAGUGCAAGCAAUGACAAUCUUUUUCGAGGUUAGAAAGAACAUCUUUUGUUUCAAAGGCUUGAAAUGUGCUCUUUCAAAGCGGAAUGGCCAAUUAAGAUCUAAGAACAUUAUGUCGACUUGAAUUAUACUGACUAUCAGAGCAUAAGAAAUGUCUUAAAAUUAUUGUUGCACUUUGAUGGAUCUAAGCGUCCUAAGAAAACAUGCAAAAUAGAAGCAUGUUAAUAAACUGAUUGAGUUGCACAUCUGACUCUCUCUAAGAGGCUUCAUGACUCUACUCGAAUGUGCAAAUAGAUAUCAUAUGUCCCUUGUCGUCUCUAGGAUAAAACGACAUCUAAUUUCAUCGGUAUGAGCAACACUAGAACCAAUCAGUAUACUAACACUCAAUAGAUACUUGUUUGCUCGAAAAACUAAGAAAAAAAAUUUGCUCGAAAAACUAAAAGAAAAUAGAAUGGGAGAAAGGAUAACUCAAGAGAGAAAUAAGAGAGCUUGGAUUUUUUUGGUGGUACAUUAUUAAAUGAGAAGAGAGAUGAGUAUAUAUAGAUGAGGGAGGCUACCAAUUGUUGAGUAUUAAUGACAGUAAAAAAUGGUUUGGACGAUUUAGCGACAAUAAAAAAUGGUCCAACAAAAUUAAAUCCAUGGUUGCAAACGAUUCAAUGAAAAUUAAUUAUGUAAUUGAAUCGAUUUGAGAAAAUUUAAAGUAAUUUUUAUCAAAAAAUAUUAUAUUAUUUCUCACCUUACUAUGCUCGAUCAACUAGAGGAACGACGCAUGUCUCAUCUCAUUUUCCAAAACUUGGAUGACCCUUGGGACCCAAAACUACAAGUAAAGGUGUGAGUAUUUAAAGGGUCUUUCACAUUGCUAAGAAAGCAAUGUGGGAAUGCCAACUUUCAAUAAAAUAAUCUUAAAGACUAAGACAAUACUUGUUGUAUUACACGACUAGGUUUAUGCGUCUAAAAAAUGGAUCUAAAAGUACAUUUUCAAUAAGUUGUCUUUGUUUGGACGAAUAGCUAAAUGAAAUGUAUUGCUAUCAAAGUAUGCUAUUGUCUAUGUUAAUAGAAAAACCAUAAAAAGGAAGUGGAAUCGCGAAUUGUUUAGCUGAUUUCCAGUUGGAGACAACAAACAAAUGAAAUUGAAUUUUCCAAAUUUAGGAUAUCAUGACAGUAUCAGACAUAUCGCAUGAUACAAAAACAUGGUCAAUUUUGUUUGAUGGAACCACAAAUGAAGUAGGACUAUUAUGAUGGUGUGAGGGCUAUUAUGAUGUCUCCUAAAUGGAAAAUCUUAUGCAAGAAAAUGUCACAAAUACCAAAUAUAUGUUGAUAAAAUGCAUGGUCCUACUUUUCCCUUACACGUAUUAACCUUACCGUGACCUUUCUCUAUGUGAGAAAUGGAUGUAAUUUAGAACCAAAGACAUCAAAUUGUCACUGAUUCAUUUCGGUAUCCAUAUAUUAUUUUACUAAAUGGGUGGAGGUUGCCUCAUAUGAGAGUGUCACCAAACAAGCGUUUGUCAAAAUUUAUACAAACGCAUCAUGACCAAUAACACAAAGAACUUAAACAAUAAGUUGAUGGAAGAAUUAUGCAAUCGAUUUAAAAUUAAACACUCCAAGUCUACCCCUUGCCACCAUAAGAUGAAUGGACCAGUGGAGGAGGUAAAUAAAAAUAUCAUAAGAGUUAUGAAGAAAAUGACUGUCACCUAUCAAUAUUGGCACGAGAUGUUACAAUUUGCAUUACAUGACUACCAAAUGUUAGUUCACACAUCAACUAAAGCAGCUCCAUUGUCUCAGGUGUAAAGUGUGGAAGUUGUUUUUCUCUUUGAGGUCAAACGACCAUACUUUAGGGUAAUUAAUUAAGUUAAACUAAAAGAAUAUGAGUGAGCACAUGCGAGGUAUGGGGAGUUAAAUCUCAUAGAAGAGAGAAGGAUGAUUGCGUUGUGUAUAGGACAACUUUAUUAGAAGAAAAUGACGCGUGUAUGUGAUAGAAAGAUUCAAAAACAUUGUUUCCAAGAGGGGGAUUUGUUCUUAAAAAAGCUCCUGCCAUUUCAAAAGGAUCAUAGAGGAAAGUAGACUCCUAAUUAUAAGGGACCAUAUGUAGUGAAAAAAUGAAUUCUCUAGUGGAGCUUUGAUCCUAACGAACAUGGAUGGGAGUGACCUGUCUAACCCGUUAAGUGUAGAUUUCGUAAAGAAGUAUUAAACAUAGAAGGAACAAUUUUUUGCUAGUGUUUUUAUUUAUUUAGUCUUUGAUUUUUUAUUUUUGGAGUGUCCUAAGGGUUGUAUUCAUAGUUCCAACAUAUAUCAAAUUUGUAGGGGACCUUUUCAAAGUCGGAACUAAUAUUACUCAUGCACUUAUAUGAGUUAGUACUUUAACAUUUUGAUAAUAUAAGAGAAAGUGAUGAUUUUGAUUACUGAGUGUACUACAAGUAUGUUCAUGCACUUGAGAUGGUAUAACUUUAAAUUAUAUUAAAUUAUAUUUGUUUGCAGUUGUGGUUGAGUAGCUUGAAAUUGUGUCUGUAACGUUUGUUUUAAUUAUUUUUUUGUGAUGACACUUCUUUAACCCUAACCUCCAACUCUUUUUACUUUUCACUUUUCACUUUUCAUCAAAAGGCACUUGUUUAUCCCUAUCCCUUGACAUAGUGUUGUGGUGGUGCUUAUUUAUCCCUAGUCUAUGACAUUUAUUUUUGCUGUGAUGAUGCUUUUUUAUCCCUUGCCUCCAUCUUGUCCAAGUCAGUUGUUUAUUCCUGGCCCUCAACAUCAUGAUAUGGUGGUGCUUGUUUAUCUUUGGCCUCCAAAGUUUAAUUUUCUUGCGAUGACAGUUGUUUAUCCUCGACCUCUAGCUCUCUUUUCAUCACAAGAUGCUUGUUAUCUUCGACUCUUGAUAUCGUGUUGUGGUGAUUGGUGAUGUUUGUUUAACCCUAACCUCAACUUUUAUUUUGUUGUGAUGAUGCUUGUUUAUCCUUGGCCUAUAGCUCUCUUUUUGUCAUGAGGUGCUUCUUUAUCUCUAGCCCUCGACAUUGUGCUAUGAGUGGUAUUUGUUUAUUAUAAUCUACGACAUUUAUUUGGUUUAUUUUGAAAAUCAUAAUUUAAUUUUCUUUGCUUGGGACUUCUUAGUUCUUUUAUGGGUUUAGCCAUCAUUUUGUAGAUGCAACCAAAUAAAAUAAUGUCUAUACCUUUGUCCACGUUAUAGGAUAGACAAAGGGGGCAUGUUAUAGCUACCUAUUUUGUCCGAUUUAAUUUUGAUACUAAUUAGUUAGUUAAUUAUUUAUUUAAUUUAAUUUAUCUUUAUCAUUACUCAUUUUUAUUUAAUGAAUGAGGGAGGGUUUGAAAUAACGAUAAAUAUUGAUCUAAUUUUGGUUUUUGGUAGUCGCGAUCGGUCUCUAAUAAUUAUUUUUAUAAAAACUUUAAUAUUAUCUUGUUUGUUUAAUUAAUUAAUUAUUAUAUUGGGGCAUUUUUAAAAAUACCAAAAUAAAUUAAAAUAUUUACAAGCUAUAGUAAAAUUUUGGAUUCUAUCACUGGUAGUCUUCUAUCACUAUAGCAUAUCAAUGACUAUCAGUGAUAAAAUUUGUUAUAGAUUGUAAGUAUUUUAUAAAUUCUACUAUUUUUAAAAAUUAUCCUAUUAUAUUUGCUCAAUUGUAUUUUUUUUUUAUAUUCAAUCUCCAAUUUAAAUUUGUAAACCCUAAACCUAACAUAUCUUAAGAAUUUUUUCAAUUAAAAGGAAUGCCAAAGUUUAGCUUUGAGUUGUUGUUCUGCUGCUUAGGUUGCCUUGUUGAAGGAAAAGUUAAAGCUAAAAUUUGCCUAAAAGUUGAGAACUUGAGGGAUUGGCGACCAAGUGAAGGAUAUAAAUGAAGAUUAAGUAGAUUUUGGCCAAGUGUUGAAAGACUAGGUGUUUUGGACAUUGCUAGGCGACUAAGAAGUGUUGAGAACUUCUUGAGGCAUGUCCUAUGCAAUCAAGGGCAUAUCUAGGUCAGAAGGUUAGAUGUCAAGUGACAAGCACGCUAGGCGAGGGGGACCUCCAAAGUUCCAAGCUAGGUGUUAUGGCAAGCCAAUAGCAUAGAAGGUGAGCUAUGUGACCAAGACUUUGUGAGGUUACACUACACGAAAUUAUGGAUCUUUGUUCCCUAAAUCAUGAAUGUUAUUUUCUAUCUUCAGCCACUCCAAACCCUAAUUUUUGCCUUCAAUCAUUUUGAUUUUGUAGUAACGGCUAGCCAACAGAAAGGUAACAUUUUGUUGCUAAUAAAAUGUGUGUACUCUCACGAACGACCGAUCAAAAUUAGGAUUGAAUGUUAUAUAACAUACAAACAUGAAUUUGUAUUGAUCCAUGGAUAUUGAUGGAAUUUCAGUGAAAUUAAAGAAAGGAUUAAGAAAACUAAGGAAGAGAACAAGGCCUAUAAGACAAAAGUGUUGGCCAAGUCACAGAAGGUUCCAAUUAAGGGAUGAUUUUCAUGCAUUAGUAAUUAUUAAAACUGGAAUUUUAGUGAAUUUCAUUUGAAGAACAAACUAUAACUUUGUUUAUGGAUCAAUUUUGAGUUUUAUACCAUAUAACUUUUAUUACUAAUGAAAAUCCAAACUUUUGUUGCUGAAUGUUGAGGUUUAGAGUUCAUAUUUGUGUAAUUUUUAUCCAAAAUUUUGGGCCCUAUUGUUGCUUUUGCUCUAUUUUAUGAGAUGAAGUUAACUAAGGAACUUUAAGCAGUUCAAUAUUUUAGUCAUUGUGAAUUUUUUUGUUGUGAUUUUGUGUUAACUUAAGCAUAUCUAGAUAGAAAAAAGUAAUAUCCAUAUCUCGAACUUUUUCCAUCCAACAUUUUUUUGGACACAUGGCUUUUAGAAAAGAUGAUUAGUCCAUAAAUUUAAAACAAUCUCAUUAUUGUUUCAUGUUGGUAGGUGUGAUGUAUUUUCGUAUUUUUGUAUUCUUGUUUUAUGAUAUUGACUUUUUGUUCCGAUCAUCUGAAAAAAAUAUGGCUUGUAUCCUAAUAACGGGUAGAAAUGAUCGUUAUUAUAUAACCAUUUUUACUAGAAUAAUAGAAGAUGAUCUGAGUAGAAACUUAUGUCGUAAAAGCAUAAAUACUUAGAAAUAAGGCUUACAUAAAUGUAGUUCAUGUUUUCCACGUUUAACAUGUCUAAAUGCAGGAUAAGUGUGUAAAAGAAAAAUGAGCAAUUCAUACGAGGCAUCUUGCACAAGGACAAUGAUAUGGAUUGUGCCCGACGACUACCAACCCAAGCGAUGAACCUAAACAUCACGCGAGGAAAGCUCUCAAAAAGAAAAAAUUAUAGUUGUAAUGAUGUGACUUCACAGGGGAUAGAUUACGAUGCUGAUACACUUAGAGGAACCAAGUUUUACCGUCGAAAAUGACCUUAUAACAAGCACUUCAUACUCAAAGAGAAAAUGGGGGGUGAGUGGCUUGAAAAGGCUUGGAGCUUGAAUAGGUCAGAGAGAAAGAAAGACUCAAGCGAUUGGAGAAAAACACAAAGAGAGAAAAAGUUCGAAAAAAGCACGGGGAGAUUAAACAACAAUGAUACUAGGAAAGAUUAGUUGUUGUUUAUCUCUUGACUUGUAAAAAUAUGUUCCAUUGUUUUGUCUUUCCAUUUUGUUAUUUCAUUGUAGAACAUGUAUCAUUUAUAUUGUAAAGUGGCUGAUAGAGAAAUUAUCAUAGAGACCCAAGCUUGAAACGAGUACCAUAGCCUCACAUCCACAUUUUGGGUGAUAAGGAGUUAUAAGACAUACACUAGUCAGAAGAGCUUCGAAAAUCAAGAGAAAUCAUGAUAUGCCUGUUGGAAAUUUGAGAUAAGAUGACCAGACGGAGGAGAAAUACUUAAGUAAAUUGCGAUGGGCUCGUGAUAAUGACAUGAAGUUUCUACUCAGAUCAUCUUCUGAGAGCCGCCCCACGACAUUAUAUUGUGUGAUAAAGGUAGCAAGUGCCUUACAGCUUCAUAUGUAAAUUCGCAAGAGUCGGUGCUCCUAACUUGUAGAGAACAAUAUAUAGUGAAAGCAUAAAUCAAGCAGUUGCCAUAUCGCUCAUCGCCGAGUUUUAUUUGUCAUUUAUCAGUAUGUUCUUGCUUGUCUUCAAAAACACGAAAUAAGAAAGAAUAAUUAUAAAAAUAUUCAGUAAGUAAUCCCCCUACCGGGGAGUUUUGGGUGUGUUGUUAAACUCAUUCCAACAUAAGCAUAAUGUACAGAUAAUAAUAUGACACAGAUAAUGACCUUGAAGGAUCACAAAUCAUGACAUAGGUAACUCAUUCAAUAUUUUCCCUUGGGUUCACUACCUAUGUUAUGAUUUGUUAUCCUUCAAGGUCUAUGCUAUGUUAUAUUCGCACAUUAUGUCUAUGUUGAAAUGAGUUUAAUAACUCAUUCAAAAGGCCACGGUAGAGGGAUUACUUACGAGGUAUAUUGUAUAUACUCACCAUUUUCAUGUUUAACUUUCUAAGCAAAUGUAAGGGAAAAGUUAAUUUGGCGAGCAACAAGGACCCGCGACCAACCAUAUGGAAACUUCUUGGUUUAUGCUUUCGCUAUUGUUUAUAGAAAGUUAAAAUAAUUACUUUAAUAACGAUCUCAGUUUGGUUUUAAAAUAUUCGUUUAUGUGAUUGAUGCAAAUUGACAUUGUAUUAACCUAAUUAAGCUUCAAAUUGACACCAACCUAUAGUUCUACCACUGAAUUGCUCGAAACUUACAAAAUAAAAAAACAGGAUCAUAAAAUUUUUUUGUUGCGUACAUUGAAGAAUCCUAUAAACUUCUCUUUCCACACACAUUCCGACAAAAAGUGUUGGUGAUCUAUACCACGAACAACUUUAUUUCAUGUUCACUUAUUAAGGUGAAAAAAAGUUUGUUAUGUUGCAUACUGUUGAGAUCAAAUUUUGGUAUGAGAAAACAUAGUUAACUUUGAAGGAAUAACGAUGGUAAAUUUCUCAUUUAAAAAAGAGAGGAAUUGUAAAAUUAAAAAAAAAAAAAACCAAAGAUACUUAAAUAAGCAAGACAGUUAUAUAGAAUUGAGACAAAGUUAGAAGUUCUUACUUAUGUCAAGUGAAGUUAUAAUUGUGUUAUUUUUGUAACAUGAAUUUCAUAAUCCUAUAUCAGUUAAUAUGAUCAAAUCUUAUUAUACCAUACUAUAUUGUAUUAUAUCUUGAUUUUUUGCUUAAUUUUCUAAACCAAAUUCCACCCCACAACGUAUACAUUAAAGAAUGCCAUAAAGUUGUCUUUACACAAACAUGCCAAUAAAUAGUCUUCAUGGUUUAUAUUGAUGAUCGCUAAAUUAUUUUCUAAAUUAAAAUAUAGUUGUGAAAAGGGUAAAUGCUUUUUAAUCUUUCUUAUUCUUUUUGUUAGUAGUUGGAUUUGACAUAAAAAAGGAAUUAGAGGCAAUCCAAAGUGGGGAACUUAAUCAUUUCUUUUGAGCCAAUUAACACUAAUGGGAUUGAUAUUGACGUCACUAUAAACAGGGAAAAUCAGGUAGAAAGCCAAAGUGCUUUACAUUUAAAAUAGUGAAAGUCAAUGUAUAAGGUGACAAUAAAUUGCUUCUUGGCUUUGCUUUGUGAACCCCAAACACUAAAUUAUUUUUCCUUGCUUUCUCAUUAAAUCACUUCUUUAUACAAAAAGUGAGAUUUUUGGGGAUUAAUUAUUUAAUCGAAAUCAUAUACAACAUUUUCUUCACCAAACAAUGAUCAAAUUCUAAUGAUUUUUUCUUUCUUUUUAUUUGGAUUUUUAAUGUAGUGUGAAUUACUAUUUUAAUAUUUUAACACACACAAUGAAAAAUGUUUGUUUGGUAAUAUUCGAUUUUACUUUUCUUUUUUUUUUGCUCAACAUUGGCUAAUGAGUGUUUUACACGAUGUACUUGAGUGUGCUUCUUAAAUUCUCUUUUAAGUUAUUUAAUGUUUCUCUUUUUACUAACUUUCUAAUUUUGAUUAAUACUUAUAUUUUAUAAGGGAAAUAUGGAAAUUGGCUUAAAAUUUGAAAUGGGAUUCUUCAACCAACUCCCUGUUCUAGUCUCUUAAUUUGAACUAUUUCUAAAACCGAAGAUUAUUUAUUUAUAUAUAGUUUAAUUAGAAUUUUGUUAUAUAAUAUAAAAGAAGGAAAUUUUAAAUAUAACAAUAUUGUUUAAAAUAUUUAAAAUAUAUAUAGUAAUAUUUUAAAGGAUUUUUUUUAAAAAAAUAUAAUAAAACAUUAAAAUAUUUACACUACAUAGAGAAAAAUUUUGAAAACAGAAAAAACUACGAACUUCAAUGAAAAAUAAAAGAAAAUGGUCCAAUCAACACGCGAUUAAUUGGUCACUCUCACACCUAAUAUAUUUAGUACAUGUACCAAGAUCGUUUAGAUUUGGCUACACGAUCGUUUAGAUUUGUCUACCUAAAUUUAAAUGAUUUUUUUUUCAAAAUGCUUUUGUACAUGAUUGUUUAGAUUUGACUAUCCAAAUCUAUAUGAUUUUUUUAAGAUUAUUUGAUACACGAUCGUUUAAAUUUGUUAGUCAAAUCUAAACGAUCGUGUACCAAAGAAUAUUGAAAGAAAAUGAUCGUGUUUUGAGCUCCAACGAUUUAUUUUCAAGAUUUUUUCUAUUUGGUCCACAAUCUCAAACCAAAUAACACUUUGAAAAAAAUAAUAUUAGAUUUAUGAUUGAUUGAAAAAAAAAAAUCAUUAUUUCAAAAAGAUAUAAAAGAAAAAUGACAAAGGAAAAAAGGAAAAAAGACAAUGGAAAGAAAAAAGAUUGCAAAAGAGGAAGAGAAGAAAGACGAUGAAAGAAAAUGACAAACUUGGAGUAUUUAAAAAAAUGACCAGCUUCGUGAGCUUUUUGAUUUUGAUACACGGGUCGUAAUAUUUUGUUGGUUUGUUAUAUUUAUGAAAAUUAACUUAUUUUAAAUCUAUCAAGAGUUUAUCAAUGAUGUAGAUAAAUACCGAUAGAAGUCUAUCAAUAUUUAUUAUUGAUAGAAUCUAAAAUUUUACUAUAUUUCCUAAAUAUUUGUAACAAUUUUGCAAUUUAUAAUAAUUUACAUGUAAAGUAGGGAAAUUUUUAUUGGUAUAACAAAACACCAAAAUAUUAACGCCUUUUGUAACAAAAUCUGUAACGACCCAACUUUUCAAAGUAAGUCGAGAUCGUUAGUUUUUAACAAAUAAAAGACUUUGAUUAAUAUAAAACAAAACGUAAGCAAUUUAAAAAAAAAAACAUCUUCAAGUCAGGCCUGAUUUUUAAACAUUCAAGAAAACAUAAAAUAAUACUGUUUGCAACAAACGUUUGUAAACUAAAUUUUUAUCUCAAUCUUAAAUAAGCGGAAGCAAUUACACGUUUCCUAUGGCAUCACGCUUCCUUCCUGCCCCUCGCCGGUUUGCCGCCUUUAUUACCUUUGCCUGAAAAUUAAACAUAAGAAGGGUGAGUAUUUUAAAUACUCAGUAAGAGACCCUCUACUGGUCUCGUCAGGGGAAAAAUAAAUUGUUAAAGUUCUAUUGGGACACCCUGUACAGUCGCAGUCUUGUGAUCCCGUAGGAUACACAUCUCAGUCUAACGCCCCGAAGGACGUACAUAUCAGUCUGACGCCCCGAGGGACGUACAUAUCAGUCAAGUGUUCUGCAGAACACAUAUCAGUCAAAUGCUCCCGAAGGUGCAAAAUAAAUUGGUGAUCCCGUGGGACACCUACAAGGUAAUCAUCCCAAUACAACCUAACAAUUUAUCCCCUCAUUCCAUUCAACCCAUCUUUCAGAUACUUCAAAACAUAGAGUUCUUUCUCUCAACGUCCUAACAGUCAACUUAUCUCACUUUAGUCAUAUGUCUGUCAAUAAUAUACUACUAUGUCAGUCAAUCAAACUAUACAGUCAAUACACCCCUCAGAUCACCAGCACACAGUCAUACUUUAGCGUAACGACACCCAAUCUAAACGACAAUCACAAGAUCGCAUCUGCAUCUCAUACAAGCAUAAUCUACAAUUUUCGUCCUGUCCACAUCCACCCACAUAUAUAUAUAUUCCAUGACAAUCACAAUAUGCAUUCAACAUUAAGUCUACUUCAAUUCAUAUGCAUAUAUAUAUAUUUUCAGUCAAUCCACAGUAUACAUUCAACACCGAAUCUACACCCAUACGUGUAUAUACAUAUGUAUCAUCUCAACAUCUUUACUCAGUCAGGGAUAAUCAUUCAGACAUACAAUUCACAAUCAUAAGUGAGUCCAGUAGAAAAUCCCUUACUUUCAAAUUUGUUAAGCUCCUUAACCACGUUGAAGUCUAUGAAGAACGAACCUAAACAUUAAGACAAUUUCUCAAUAAUUCCCUUCAACGCAUCAGUCAUUUAAAUUCAACCCAAUGUGAAUCUUUUUGCAACUUACCCAAAUCUUCGCGAAAGAAAUCGAGCAGUGGCUUUGCGAAGAGAUGACGUGCGACGGAGAGACCGUAUACAGAUGGUCGGAGAGUCGCGCGGCAGUGCAGACAACGGAGGAGAAGGGAUCGGCGGCGGCUGGCUUGGACGGCGGUUGUGAGUGGCGGACGUGGCGGUUACUGGUUCACAUGGCGGCUCGGGCUUCGACGAAGACAGAACCGGCUGAGACGGCUGGGCAGCGGCGGAAGGUCUUGCGGUACAGAUCUGGACGGUGGUCGCAAGGUGACGCGUACGGCGGCCGCAAGGUGACGCGUACGGCUGCCUCACGAACUGGCCGAUGGUUGCAGCGACGUCCGGCUGGGUUUGACGGAACGGAGAGGAAAAGAGAAGAUGGAGAUGGCCGACGGCGGUUGCUGUGCGAACGGAUGGGGCGGCUGCUAGGGUACCGGAAGGAGAAGAAAAGAAAAAUGAGGGAGGGGUUGUGUGCGGCGCUCGCGCGAGAGGAAGAAGGAAGGAAAGAUAUAUUCUUUUCUUUUCUUUUCUUUUUAUUUAAAUUAAGUAUAAAAAUAUAUAUAUAUAUAUAAUUAAAAACAAAAUAUAUAUAUAUACAUACCUUUGGGGCAUUACAUUCUUCCCUCCUUAAGAAACUUUCGUCCUCGAAAGUUUUACUCCUGAAAUAACUCUGGAUAACGAGUCCUCAUCUCUUCCUCUCGCUCCCAUGUCGCCUCUUCAAUUCGAUGAUUCCGCCACAAAACCUUUACUAAUGGAAUGCUUCUAUUACGAAGCAUCUUUACCUCUCUAGCCAGAAUCUCCACAGGUUGUUCUACAUAGCUCAAAUGCUCAUCAAUCUCCAAGGGUUCAUAGUCCACUACAUGAGACGUAUCGGCCACAUACUUCCUCAACAUCGAAACAUGAAAAACAUUAUGAACUGCAGAGAGAGAUGGUGGUAAUGCCAAGCGAUACGCCACAACACCAACCCUCUCUAAGAUCUCAAAUGGUCCAACAAAACGAGGACUUAACUUUCCUUUCUUCUCAAAACGCAUAACACCCUUCAUAGGUGCUACCUUCAAGAAUACCUUUUCUCCCACAUCGAACUUAAGGUCUUUUCGUCGUACAUCCGCAUAACUCUUCUGUCUACUCUGCGCUGUUUGCAUACGUGCUCUAAUCUUUUGAAUAGCCUCAUUAGUAGACCGAACCAAUUCAGGUCCCAUCAAUCUAUGUUCACCAACCUCACUCCAACAAACAGGGGUUCUACAACAUUUGCCAUAUAAAGCCUCAAAUGGUGCCAUACCGAUGGUAGCCUGGAAACUGUUGUUAUAAGCAAACUCCAUCAAAUGUAGAUGAGAGUCCCAACUACCUGGAAACUCUAUAACACAAGCUCGUAGCAUAUCCUCUAAAACUUGGUUCAAACGUUCAGUUUGACCAUCAGUCUGUGGAUGAAAGGCUGUACUGAAAUCCAAUCUCGUACCCAUAGCAGUCUGAAGUCCCUUCCAAAACUUGGAAGUAAACCGUGCAUCCCUAUCAGAAACAAUCGAUACAGGCACUCCAUGCAGUCUCACAAUCUCAGUUAAAUACAACUCUGCCCACUUACUAGCAGUAUAAGUGGAUUUUCCUGGUACAAAAUGUGCCGAUUUUGUAAGCCUGUCUAUGACAACCAGAAUCACUGUGAAACCCUUCAGGGUCUUAGGCAGCCCUGAAAUAAAAUCCAUCGACACAUUCUCUCACUUCCACUCUGGCACACUUAAAGGUUGUAAUAAACCUGCUGGUUUCUGUCUAGGUGCCUUAACUUGCUGACAUACUAGACACUUACUAACAAAUUCCGCCACUUCCCUUUUCAUAUUCCGCCACCAGUAAAAUCGUUUUAAAUCCUGAUACAUUUUCGUGCUACCAGGAUGCAUGGAAAAUGGGGAAUUAUGGGCUUCAUCUAGUAAGUCAAUCUUAACUGUACUGUUCGCUGGCACACAUAAACGUCUUUCAAACAUCAACCCACCAUCAGAGGAUAUGGAGAACUCAUCAGUCUGCCCUGUUUCAACAAGGCGACGUCUCUCCAUCAAAUAAGGAUCACUACUCUGAGCAUCAACAAUCUUGUGCCUCAGAGUCGGUUGCACCGUUAAUUGAGCUAGCUGUGAGGUGACUCUCCCCACAGACACUGCAAUCUCAGCUCUCUCCAAGUCUCGAUGCACUGGUACCUGUCUAGUAAUGAGUGCUGCCGAAUGUGAUACUUUUCUACUAAGAGCAUCAGCCACCACAUUCGCCUUACCAGGAUGGUACAAAAUCUCACAAUCAUAGUCAUUUACUAACUGAAACCAUCUUUGCUAUCUCAUACUCAACUUCUUUUGAGUGAAGAAGUAUUUUAUACUCUUUUGGUUAGAAAAUAUCUAUAUCUUUUCAUCAUACAAAUAGUGCCUUCAAAUCAUUAAUGUAAAAACCACAACUGUCAAUUCCAUAUCAUAAGUUGGAUAAUUUUCCUCAUGACUCUUCAACUGACGAGGAGCACAAGCAACUACUUUAACUUGUUGAAUCAGAAUACCUUUUAAAUUUUCCUAAAAGAAUCACUAUAAAUUACGAAACUUUCUGAACCAUCAUGUACGGUAAGCACGGGAGUUGUACAAGCUUCUACUUAAGAUCCUGAACACUAUCCUCAUAGGCUUUGUCCCAAACAAACAGAGUCCCUUUUCUUAGUUAACUGAGUCAAAGGAGUAGCUAUACGAGAAAAUUCUUAUACAAACCGUUAGUAAUAACCUGCUAACCCUAAAAGACUAUAAACCUCACUGACUAUGAAAAGUCGAGGCCAACUAGUAACAACUUCAAUCUUUUGUGAGAUCCACAUAAAUGUCACCUCUAGAUACCACAUGGCUUGGAAAGAUACUUGGCCUCAUCCAAAACUCACAUUUUGAAAACUUUGCAUACAAUUUGUUGACUCGAAGAGCCUCUAAAACCAUGUUAAAUGUUCCUCAUGCGCUGUCUCUAUUUUGGAAUAAAUUAAGAUAUCGUCAAUAGAUACAAUCACAAAAGUGUCUAAGAGAUCGUUAAACACUUUGUUCAUCAAGUCGUAAACAUUGUUUGAGCAUUUGCCAACUCAAAAGACAUCAUAAUGAACUCAUGAUGUCCAUAUCUCGAAAGAAAAUCUGCCUUAGGAAUGUCACUGUUCUCUAAUCCUCAACAAGUCAUAACCUGAAUGUAAUUCAAUCUUAAAGAACACGGACUUAUUGCAGUUGAUCAAACAAAUCCUCAUUCAUUGGUAAAAGAUAUUUAUUCUUAACCGACACCUUAUUCAACUUUCUACAAUCGAAACAUAAGUGCAUCGACCCAUCUUUCUUCUUAAUAAACAAAAAUUGGUGCACCCCAAGAUAACAUACUUCGUCGAAUGUAGUCCUUGUCAAACAUUUCUUUCAAUUGCACCUUCAAAUCUUUCAACUCUGUUGGGGCCAUUUUGUAUGAAGCUUUAGAUAUAGGAACGAGUCUAACUCUAUCUCAAUAGGAAGACCAAUUUCUGUUUAGCGCGGUAUUCUUAGAAACUCUUCUAGAAAAAUAUCAUAAUACUUUUUCACCACUGAUUCAAAUAACAAAGAAACAUCGACUUCUCUGAUGUCUACCACACUAGUCAAAUACAACAGGUACCCUGGUCAAGCAACUUACUAACCUUCAUAGCUGGGAUAACUUUUAGCGAAACGAUAGUUCCAACCUCUUUGUACUUGAAACUAGCCUCUGGAGAAGGAUUAGAAACUACAUUUUCGCUGAACAUUUUAUGUUUACAUGGUUAAACUACAUUCCAAUUUUCAAACUCCAAACUAGUAACUUUUCAUUCACGAGAAACUCAAAAUUGUUUCUUAAAGUCACAUCAAGACAACCAUGCUCAUCUUCCUUGUUUCUUUUCCAAUACCUCCAUUCUAAAACCAUUUAAUGUGUUUCGUAUAAACUUGACCGUGUAUUUAGUCCUCUUUAAAACCACCUACAUAACUUAUUUUUCUUAGAUUUCCAAUCACAAAACAGACAUUUUCGCUAACAACGUCUUACUUUUCUACUACUCGACCACUCCUUUGAACACCUCUACAUGACAACAUUUUUCCUAAAUUUCACCAUUAAAUCCUUCACCAUUAAAUCAUAACAUUCAUGUAAUUCUAGUUUAACUUAGGCAAGGUCAUAUACAUAAACCAUACAUAUAAGCAUAAAGCAUACCUGACGAGAGACGAAGGGUCGCGUUAGCCAUAGGAACACAAAAACAUAGACUUACAUCGUAAGUCAGUCUACAGAACCUAAAACUUAGGCUCUGAUACCAACUGUAACGACCCAACUUUUCAAAGUAAGUCGAGAUCGUUAGUUUUUAACAAAUAAAAGACUUUGAUUAAUAUAAAACAAAACGUAAGCAAUUUAAAAAAAAAACAUCUUCAAGUCAGGCCUGAUUUUUAAACAUUCAAGAAAACAUAAAAUAAUACUGUUUGCAACAAACGUUUGUAAACUAAAUUUUUAUCUCAAUCUUAAAUAAGCGGAAGCAAUUACACGUUUCCUAUGGCAUCACGCUUCCUUCCUGCCCCUCGCCGGUUUGCCGCCUUUAUUACCUUUGCCUGAAAAUUAAACAUAAGAAGGGUGAGUAUUUUAAAUACUCAGUAAGAGACCCUCUACUGGUCUCGUCAGGGGAAAAAUAAAUUGUUAAAGUUCUAUUGGGACACCCUGUACAGUCGCAGUCUUGUGAUCCCGUAGGAUACACAUCUCAGUCUAACGCCCCGAAGGACGUACAUAUCAGUCUGACGCCCCGAGGGACGUACAUAUCAGUCAAGUGUUCUGCAGAACACAUAUCAGUCAAAUGCUCCCGAAGGUGCAAAAUAAAUUGGUGAUCCCGUGGGACACCUACAAGGUAAUCAUCCAAUACAACCUAACAAUUUAUCCCCUCAUUCCAUUCAACCCAUCUUUCAGAUACUUCAAAACAUAGAGUUCUUUCUCUCAACGUCCUAACAGUCAACUUAUCUCACUUUAGUCAUAUGUCUGUCAAUAAUAUACUACUAUGUCAGUCAAUCAAACUAUACAGUCAAUACACCCCUCAGAUCACCAGCACACAGUCAUACUUUAGCGUAACGACACCCAAUCUAAACGACAAUCACAAGAUCGCAUCUGCAUCUCAUACAAGCAUAAUCUACAAUUUUCGUCCUGUCCACAUCCACCCACAUAUAUAUAUAUUCCAUGACAAUCACAAUAUGCAUUCAACAUUAAGUCUACUUCAAUUCAUAUGCAUAUAUAUAUAUUUUCAGUCAAUCCACAGUAUACAUUCAACACCGAAUCUACACCCAUACGUGUAUAUACAUAUGUAUCAUCUCAACAUCUUUACUCAGUCAGGGAUAAUCAUUCAGACAUACAAUUCACAAUCAUAAGUGAGUCCAGUAGAAAAUCCCUUACUUUCAAAUUUGUUAAGCUCCUUAACCACGUUGAAGUCUAUGAAGAACGAACCUAAACAUUAAGACAAUUUCUCAAUAAUUCCCUUCAACGCAUCAGUCAUUUAAAUUCAACCCAAUGUGAAUCUUUUUGCAACUUACCCAAAUCUUCGCGAAAGAAAUCGAGCAGUGGCUUUGCGAAGAGAUGACGUGCGACGGAGAGACCGUAUACAGAUGGUCGGAGAGUCGCGCGGCAGUGCAGACAACGGAGGAGAAGGGAUCGGCGGCGGCUGGCUUGGACGGCGGUUGUGAGUGGCGGACGUGGCGGUUACUGGUUCACAUGGCGGCUCGGGCUUCGACGAAGACAGAACCGGCUGAGACGGCUGGGCAGCGGCGGAAGGUCUUGCGGUACAGAUCUGGACGGUGGUCGCAAGGUGACGCGUACGGCGGCCGCAAGGUGACGCGUACGGCUGCCUCACGAACUGGCCGAUGGUUGCAGCGACGUCCGGCUGGGUUUGGACGGAACGGAGAGGAAAAGAGAAGAUGGAGAUGGCCGACGGCGGUUGCUGUGCGAACGGAUGGGGCGGCUGCUAGGGUACCGGAAGGAGAAGAAAAGAAAAAUGAGGGAGGGGUUGUGUGCGGCGCUCGCGCGAGAGGAAGAAGGAAGGAAAGAUAUAUUCUUUUCUUUUCUUUUCUUUUUAUUUAAAUUAAGUAUAAAAAUAUAUAUAUAUAUAUAAUUAAAAACAAAAUAUAUAUAUAUACAUACCUUUGGGGCAUUACAAAAUCAAAAAGCCCUGGAAGCACCCGUUGUUUUUUUACAUAUUUCAGGUUUGCCCUUCGUUUCCAUCUUCUUUCUUCUGCAACUUUUUUUCAAACUGUUAUUUAGUUCAAGAUAGUGUACCAAAUAUAAAAGAUAUAUUUUUCUUUUAUUUUAUUAAACUGUUAUUUGGUUGUUCAAGAUCGUGUACCAAAUAUAAAAGACCUUUGUACACAAUUUCGAAAAAAAAUCGUUGGAAAAUUUGUACAUGUUUAGAGUUGGCUACAACCAAAUCUAACAAAUAUAAAACAUCUUGAAUAGUUAAAUCUAAACGAUCAUGUACCAAAUAAUUUUGAAAAAGAUUAUUUAGUUUUAGAUACCAAAAUUCUAAACAAUCGUGUACCAAAGAAUAGCCAAAUCUAAAUGAUCAUGUACUAAAAAAUAGACAAAUCUAAACGGAUCUUGUACUAAAGAAUUUUGAAAAAAAUUGUUUACAUUUUGGUAGCCAAAUCUAAACGAUCUCACAUACAAGAUCAUGUAUCGAAAAUAUUAUGCAUACGCGCACAAGUGACCAAUUAAUCACUUGUUAACUGAGACAUUUUUUGAAUUUUUCAUCGCGAGUCUAUGAACUUUUUCCGUUUUCAAAAUUUUUCUAUAUUGUAAAUAAUUUUUGGCUUGUUAUAUUUUUGAAAAAAACACUAGAAGAAAUAUGGGCUUUGACGUCUAUUGAAAAAAAUAAAGACAGGUCUUUAAUGUCGCUUUUUAAAAUGCAAAUGUUUAAUGUCGGUUUUAAACCGACAUCCAAUAGGGAGCUUUAAACCGACUUCAUUUAUUAUUUUUUUUUUGUAAAGCCAAGGCAAUAAAAUUAAAAGCAACAUUAAACCUCAUUUACUCUUAUCAGCUCUUAUUUUACUCUUUCACGCCUUUCUUCCCUCUCUUCUCAAUCUCACUUUAGGGUUUAGGGUCGAACCACCACCGUGUUGACUUUUUGGUCAUUAAUUUCAAAUUAAUUAAUUAAUUAGUAUUUUGAUGAUAACAAAUUUAAUUUUUUUAUUGACAAUUUUAUUAUUUUAAAUAGUUCAUAACGUAGAGUUUGAAACAAUGAUUCUGAAGCCUCUUGAAUCGUACAAAUUGAAGUUCAAACAAAGAAAAUAUUGCUAUAAAAGAAGCCUAAUGGAAAAAUACCCGAGAUGGUGAUGUGGCGACUAAGUAUUCAAUUUGAACCAAUUAGAGAAAGUCACUUGCAGCAAUGAAGGAGUAACAAAUGUGGCUUUUGAUUUUGAUUUAUAAAGAAAAUGAAUUUAAAAAGAUAACGACUUUAAUAUUAUUAUUAUUAUUUAUUUUUGUGUCUAACAACUAGUUUUUUUAAUAGAAAAGAUGGUGAUGUUGCUUUAUUGGGUUUUAAACAAAGAAUUUUGAAAAGACAUAUUAUAUUAUUAUUUGUAUUGUGUCUAACGGCUAUUUAAAUUAAAAUCUCAUCCAUUCAUUUUUCAUUUUACUUACCUCCAAUGACCCAAAAUAAUUUUGAUUUUAUGUUUCCCUUUUUUUAAUUAAAUACUUCAUUUUUUUAACAAAUUUUCAAGAAUAUUACUGAACUUUAGGAUUCUCAAAAAUUGUGGAAGUCAAUAUUGUUGUUUUCUGUAAAGUUUCCAAUUUUUAUUCUUUUCAAUUUGUCAUUGAGAGAAUUCUUAUUGUAUUGUGAGGGUUAAUGACUUAGAGUUUCAAAUUGUAUACUCAUUCUUUUAGAGAGUUAUCUUUUGUGUGAUUUAAAACUUCAACAUAUUGUAACGGUUGAAUUCUAACUCGUGGAAAGAAUCGAGUUUUCUCUUGAACCUGAAAAAGGAGCAACUAGUAGUUCAGGUCUAAUCCGUGGAAAGAGCCAAAAGAAAAUUUUCAAUCAAAAUCCCAAGAUGUGCUUGGGAAAGUGGAUGUAGGUUGAGUUUUGGUAAAAUUACGGUGUCUUCUUCUCUAACUCAUUUCUAAUUAUUUAUUAAUUUAAUUUUUUUGUAAUAUAUUUUUGUUGGUUGAGUUUGAUUGCAUACUCCUAUCCAUAUCUUUUUAUCAAUCUUGUUAUUUAACACUUCUAGAAAGAUUCCUUAUUUAAUUUAAAUUUUAUCUAAUUAAUUUAAUUUAGGUUUAUUUGUUAAAAAGUUUAACUAAACCCUAUUCACCCCUCUAGGAUUGCAAUACCGAUCGAGCACACCGAACUGUUUACUGUUGCGCCUUUGUGGCCAAUCGUCCCUCAUGCCCACUGUCACUUAGAACCCCACCUUCGAGCCCAUCAUCACACCAUUCUACAUCUUCGAAGAUCUGCUAUUUACGUCGGUUAGACAAUUCAAGCUUAUGAAUUCGCUUAGAGUUACAUAUGCAUGUGAAUUGGUGUUGUCUAAUUUUUUUAGAGAGUUAGUUUCUUGUAGGAUAAAGUUGAUUAGAGGGUGAAGCUUAAGUUCCUUAUUUUGUUUUGUGAUUAAAAUUCCUUCCAAAUUAAGGGUUGAAAUAGAUAAAAUAUUAUAAGCACAACUUUUCUUUCUCCACCAUUUCAUAAGUUUCUUAGCAAUAGAUGUAGAGCGACGAGGUAAUAACACUAUUAAAGAUAUCGGUUGAAAAUCGACGUUAAUUAAAGACCUUUAAUAUCGAUUUUAAACUAGCAUUAAAGGUCUUUUUAAUGUCGGUUGUAAACGGACUUCAAAAUCCAACCAACAUUAAAAAACUUUAAUAACAUUAUGAAAGAUGUCACAUUUGUACUAAUGAAAUAAAAAAACCUAUCAGUAUGCAUUAUAGCAAAUAAAAUAAAUUAUCUAAUACAACUAAUCUUGAAAAAUUGGACAAAGUAAUAGAAUUGUCAGUGCCCUUGAAAUGUUGUUCAAAUCAGAUUUUCACAUCCAAAUCCAACAAAACUAAUUUUCAUCAAGGUAAAUGACGUGGUUUUUGAAUAGCAUGGACAUAAAAUUGCAAACUUUAAAUUGAAAAUUAAGAUGCAAAAUGAGUAAGGGUUCUAGAAAAAGUAAGUUUAAAUUCAAAAUUAAACUUGCAUAAACCAGCUCUUCCAGAAAAAGUAGCAUAAAUGUUGGAGGUUUGAUUGUUCCACCACUCCACACACACACAUAUUAUUGAAGAAGUUUCCUAAAGAACGAGAAAUUGGAUGUUUUUACUACAAAACUCUUCCAAACCAACCACAUCCUUAACUACAGAGUUUUUAUCAUUUAGAAAAGAAAUUAGAACAAUUCAACUUAUUUGGUAUAAAAACUUGAUUAAUCUACCUAAAUGUAAAAAGUAUCUAAAUAUUUACUGCCAAUCUAAAAAAGAGAAGGAAAGCCGACCAAGUUUGAUAAUUAUUUUUCCAUAAAUUUCAUAUAUGUUUUUGUUAGUUCUUAAUACAGUGGGACAAGUUGUGAACUUCUUUUCUUUCUUCUUUGUGAUCAUUUAUGUCGGAAGCUUUUUCGCCAUUUUGGAGUUUAUUAUAUGAAUGUUUUUGUUGGUUUUGAAUAUUAUGGGACGAGUUGUGAACUUCUUUUCUUCUUCUUUGUGAUCAUUUAUAUUGGAAGCUUUCUCGCCAUUUUUGAGUUUAUUAUACGAUUGUUUAAAUUUGAAGCAUUUUUUCAUCAUAUAAAAUAAACUACACGAUCGUGUAUCAUGGUGUAAAUCAUUGUUAAUUACACUGUAGUCUACAUGAUCGUUUGAAAAGAAGAUUAUUUAUACAGAUCAUUUAUGUUUGAAGCUUUCUCUCAAUCGUUUAAAUUUUAUCAUCCGAUCGUUUAAAUUUGAAAAAUAUUUUUUUUUCCAUCGUUUAAAAUGAAUUAUAGGAUUGUGUAUCAUAAUUUAUAUCAUUGUUUAGACGAUAGUAAAUGAUCGUUUAGAAGAAGAUUAUAUUAUAUAGUCGCUUAUGUCUAAAGCUUUCUCGCAAUUGUUCAGAGUUUAUUAUUCGAUUGUUUAAAAUGAACUACAUGAUCGUGUAUCAAACUAUCGUUUAGAAUAAAAUUACUUACCCGUGUGUUGUCGAUUAUUAAUCGUGUGUUGAUUGGGGUAUUUUUGGUAUUUCAUAUCGUGCACAGAUUAUUAAUUGGUUUGUUAUAUUAAAAAAAAAAAGUCUCAAAACUAACAAUAUAAUUAUUGCAAACUAUUCUUAUCCAUGAUAAUAGAGUCUCUAGAAUUUUCUCAUUUGGGUGCAUGCACUGUUGUUGAUCCACUAACCAUUUUCUGCAGUUCACCGUCGUCAUCCGUCAUACAUAUUUUUUGUUUGCUCUUAGUUUUAUUUUAUUUUAAUAUUUAUGCUCAAUUACAAAUAUAUAAAAAUUAUGGCUAAAUUAAUUUCAAUCUUGAUAAUAAAUAAACAUAUCUACAGCACAGUCAUGGAAGAUCUUUACUUUGUUAGGAAAAAAAAGAUCACAAACAUAGGUUUCUACUAGGUAACAAAGAACUUCAAUAAAUAUUAAUUUUUUGUAUGUACUUUUAAAGCAACAAAUAUAUUGUUAUUGUACAAAAAAAAGAAGAAAAAAAACUAGUUUUAUUUCACUCAUUCGGCCUCUCAAUUAGGUCGUAAGCAUAUUUUUAUAUUCCUUUUUAAAACUAAUAAAUUUUGUUAGUGAACAAUGAUGUUUGCUGUACCUAAAUCCAAUUGCCUAAUUAUAUAUGAAUAAUUUUUGUAUUGAAUGAACCACUAGAGUAAGAGUCAAACGGCAAGGGACAAGAUGGCCAAUAUCGAAAGGAAAACUUAAAAGAGUAAAUUGCUAAAACUAAGAGAAAUGAUAGCCAUAUUCAUAACUUUUAAUCCAACCCUUUUAGACUGAUAGCUCCGUGAAAUGUAAGAUCUAACCUAAUAACCACUCUUUCAAGCAGGACAUCAAGCAAAUAUCAAUGAAACAUUGGUCAGAAGUUCAAUAGCAUUAAACGCUAACAUGCUAGAAUGGUCCAUGCAUAGAUAGAACCAAGAAACAGAUUUCACUUAUACAAUCAAAUAGAGAAAUAGAAACAAAUCGGGUUCUUAACUUCCGUCCUUGAGCUUGAGACGGCCCUCCAAGGAUCUCUUCAAUCAACCAAACCUUUGGAAGCUCUCAAAUCUUGCUCUCAUCUAGAAGUUGGCUCUUGCUUGUUUUCGUUACCCUAGUUGUGUUAGCUUUAGAACUUCAAUAAAGUUGAGUAUUUUGAUGAUAGUAAACUUGAGUUGUACUAAUAGUAAUGGUUUUUAGAGUUUCAAAAGUAUUAUUAUGGAGUUCAAAAAGGCGAUUCUAAUGCAUCUUGUCACCUUGCCUCAAGCACUUACUUUCUCGUCCCUAGACCUGGCGUGAAUGUCACUUGAACAACCUCAACUGACACAUGAAAUGGAAGACUGAAAAUCAUCAACAACGGAAGUCUUUUAACUUGAAAUAUUUAAAAUCGUUGGGUGACCCAUUUGAAAUCUUUUAUAAAAUGUAUCAUGAAUAAUGAACAAAAGAUGAAUAUAUAAGUGUUUGAACAAUCACAUUACUAUUUUGAAACAAAACAAUGUCCUUGUAUAAUGAAAGCUAAGUUGGCCUGUCAGCAGUAUGUUCAGCACACAGAUAUCCACAAUCUAUACCUGAAAAGUGAAAAAACGUUUUUGAUAAGGUAAGUCGAAAGACUUAGUGACCAACGGUUUUAGAAAACAGGUUUUCAUAAAUAUUUUAGUAUAAAACUGAAGCUUAAAUACAUUUUGUAGUAAAAAAUUAGAUGAUGACGAUCAAGGUUAGUUGUUGCGUCGUGAUGAAUCACUGCCUUGAAAGCAAAAUUCGGCCAGACUGUGGUGCUAAUCUCAUUGCCGGUUGCUCCCCAAGGUUAACACAACUCCCUAUUCUUGAUGUGCACUCGCCGGAAAUAGGAAUAGAAACGAUGAAGAAUUGCUCAGAUGUAUGAGUGGAGAGGAAGAUCUAGAGAGAAAAGUAGAGAUGGGAUGUUUUCAAUGAUCAUGAAGUAUAUAUGGGUGGAGAGGAAGAUCUAGAGAGAAAAGUAGAGAUGUGAUGUUUUCGAUGAUCAUAAUGAAAUAGAGGAGGCCUCUAUUUAUAAUGGAGUCCUCAACUGAAAUCGUGGGCGUAGAGGAAGGUAGAGACGCGACACUUUGUGGAAGACCGACUAUUCAGGAGAAGUGGCCCAAAUUUGACGCGUGGAAAAAUCGUACAUUCAGUUGCCAAGCCCGAGCGGCAAGGAUGCGCGUGAUGAUAAAGUCAUUCUAUCACCAUCAACAAAAUUUAUAAUCCUCUAGUAACACUUCACUAAUUAAACUCAUUUGUUUUUUUUUCCAGAUUUUCCAAUGUGGGACAACAAUAGAUGGGUAACUUUAAAUUGGGCAUUGGCCCACAGGCUUUUCCAACAAUCCCCCACAAAAGACUGUAGCGGCAAAGUUACAUAAAGGUCGAGAGAAAGAUAGUUCUGAGCAAGGAUGAGAUAUUAAGCUUAGACAUAAAUAUCCGAAGAUUUGAAUUGAUGCGUAGUGAAGUAAGACAACAACCUUGUUGAAGAAAGUAAAAUUAGAUCUUGAACUUUCUCUAAUGUUAAUUGAGACCCUUACAACACGCUCUAUCCGUAAUUUCGAUCAUCGUUUAUGCAGUAUGAAUUUGUGCCUUUUUGGCCAUGCACAUAGAAUGAACCCCAGGUCAUCAUGAAAGCUCUAGAAAGAGGUCCUUAAACUCUUUCAUAGAAGGCGGCCCCACCUUCACAAUCAUGUUAUAUGCCCCAUCAAGUUUGCUAAAGAAAAUCAUGCUAUAAACUCAGAUUUCAUAGUGGAUAUGGCUAUGUAGGUCUGUUUAGCAAAAUUCCAAGAUAUUGCUCCUCCCCCGAGCAAAAAUACGUAUCCACUGGUACAGUUUACCUCAUCGUUAUCUGUAACCCAGUUUGCAUCACAAUAUCCUUCUAAUAUAGCAGGAAACUUAUUGAAGUGCAAAUUGUAGUUUAUAGUUCCUUUAAGAUAUCUCAACAGAUGACGUGAGGCAUCCCAGUGGUAUCUAUUAGGAUUAUGUGUAUAUCUACUCAAUCUACUUACAACAUAUGCAAUACCGGGUCUAGUGUGGUUCAUUAAGUACAUAACACUACCUAUGAUUUUAGCAUAGUCAGGUUGAGAUACACUCUCUCCUUUGUUCUUUUUAAGGUGUUUACUGGCAUCGUAGGGAGUUCUCACUAGAGAGACAUCGAAGGAGUCAAAUUUCUUUAAUAAAAUCUCAGUAUAAUGAACAAAGUUCUAGCAUUCUUCCAUGUUCUAGCGUUGUUUCGAGUCAAAGUCAGAUCCACAACACAUUCUUCUAUCAAGGAUCGUUAGUCGUAGCACGUCAUAAAUCGUGUGUCGUUCAACAAGCCAACAUCUUCGUUUAGCGUCUGAUGAAGCCUUGCUAUCCUCUGUCAAGCCAAGUUGUCCCUUGUUGCAGUCGCAUUUGAGCUCCAUUCAAGGUCUCCUCCAUCCGCCAUGCUUCCAUUGUGUCUGACCCAGUAAUGAGUCGACACCUUUGUCCUAGAGUCGUAUGUUUUUCUCCAACCAACCCGAGUUGAGUUUCUUUUGGUUUAGCCAUGCCACCAGUUCAGCCAUGUUGAGCCAUUUUGGUAUUUUUGGUUAAGUAAAUUGGUUGAGCCAUUUUGGUUUUUUGGUUAAGUAAAUUGGGAGAAUUCUUGAAUAAUACUCAAUUGUCAAUUUUAUUAAUGAAAGGUACUCAAAUUUUCCUUACUGUGUUUAAGAACCGUUUAAUUUGAAAAUUCUUGGCAGUAAAUUGGAGAGCAAAUGUCUAGCCAAUCUGAAGGUAUAAGAUUUCUAUUGUCGGACCUUAGAUUGAAGUCAAAAUAAUGUAUCGUAUGAGAUGGUCUAACUAUUUAUUCGUAGCGUUAAAUUGUGUUGAUGGCUUAAUUACUAUAUUGUUGACUGAUGUGAGAUAUGUACUAGCAAGCUUAUUUUGACUGGUUAUAUGUUGAACUAAAGUAUUGUUGGUAGUUCUAAUCAUAUUUGUUGUGACUAUUUAGAUUGUAUUGAACCUAUUUGUAUGAAGGAAAAAAUGUUAACUUUAGCUAUUGGAUAAUGUACCUUUUUAGCAUAGUGUCCUACGGGAUCACAUGUCACACCUCGCCCCACAAAUAAUCUGUUUGCUUGUCUCACGAGACGCAGUGUGACUUGAACAUCCUUAACGAUGUUAGACGUCAAAUACACUCGUCUUAACGUCCUUAACUUAGCUUAAACACCAAAAUAUUUAACUUCAUGAAAUUCCUUUAGGCGAUAAAGAACUUAAUGUGGAAUGAUAAAACAACUUUAAACUUUUAUUCCUUAACAAGGCAUUUAGUACUAGAACAUAAUGAUACAACACAACCAAAAGAUAAAAAUCAACCCUUAAACUUAAACACCUGACAACUUCUCACCUAGCAAACCAGAACUUCCUUUCCUUUUGACCUCAACGCCUAAAUCUUGGAAGAGAAAAUUUUAAAACUUAAAUUUAAAAGACUUAGUGAGGUUUUAUGAAAACCUUUCGCAAUACCUUUUUACAAAUAUCAUUUCGCAUAAACAACAUAAGAACAUUUCAUUUCGCAUAAACCUUUCUUUAGGCUAAACAAACAUUAGUCAAAUAUUCUUUUUGUCAAUUAUCUUGAACCAUUCUUUACGCUUGGUCUCAUUACCUCGAGUUUGACUACUAUACAAACAGCAUCCAAGAAUAUACAGAUUCGUCCUUGUUGCUUAAGCCGCUAAGCUUUAUAUGCUCCUUUCAACGUAUAAGCCCACUUUUCAUCAUGUGGUUCGUACACCCCAUGAUGGCCUUGACUCUUUAUGUGCACAUAAAAGUUAGCAUCAAAUCAUACUUUAUCAAAUCAAGCUUUCACCAUUAUAAAUCACUCUUGAAACACAUAAACUUUUCAUAUAAAUCAUUUUCAAAACUCUUCUGUCUUUCAAAUCAUUCUUCAAAAUAGUAAAGUGAAAUCACAUAUAACAUUUUAAAACGCCACUCACCAUACUUAAAUAGCCUUGGUUUUGAGAAUUUCUUCCAAUUCUCCAUGGCUGAAAAAUUCAUAUUUAUUCCUUACUUAGCCCCUUGAACAUGAAAAUAUGUUAAAGAUUCUUAAGAAAAAAACCCCAAAAAAUAUCAAGACAAGCUUUAUAACAUAACAAUUUUGCGCAUCUCGCGUAACCUUGUCACUCAGCAAUAACGUAAUCUUAUCUUCACUUUAACGCCUAAUAACUUAAAAUCCAGAACUCCAAUAAAAAUACUUUCUUCUAUUGUUGCAAAAUGUUUUGAUAAUAUUACCUCAACCUUUCAACAAAAGAUUCAAUCUAACCAGUCUAUAACCUCCUUGGUGAAAAGACUAUUCAGUUUUUACCUGAGAAUGACUUUCCUCUCUUCUUUUAACUCAAACUUAACUUUUUCUUACUUAAAUUGAAUCAAUAGCCCCAAUAUAGAAAAAAGACUCAAAAUAGAAACUUUUGAGAAUAAUUUCAUUCAAAACGCUUGAGUGAAUUGUGAGAAAUUCAAUACUGAAAUUGACCUAUUUAUAGAGUUCCUUGCAUGAAUUUACGUUCACCUCAUCGUUGCUUAAAUCCACAUUAAAUCUUAUUAAGAAACUUUCUGCUUAAUUGUACACCUCAAAACACAUGCUAACAAGGCAUUGACACUUCACAGUUAUAACUUUCAAUCUUUAACUCUUUUGAUCAAACUUCCUUCUACAAUGUUUUUCUAAAAUGAGUUAACUUUUAUUUUCUAUAAAUUUCGGAGCAAAAUGCCAAACUAUGUGUUAUGCAGUUUUCUAAGAGUGCAUCUUACUCAGAUUCACUCGCGAACUGAUCUUCUCCCCUUCUUUUAUCCAAAACACCAACUUUCUCAUAUCCAAAAUUCCCAGCCGCCUUCCUCAAUAAACUAGAUUCAAAUUAUGAACUUUCAAUACAAAGUUUAGUACAACUUUUCAAAUGAAUUGUGAGAAACUCAUUUAUAAAGUCAGCUAAAACGUCGAACCUCUACGAUCCUUCCUUCUCGCCAACCCUAAACACUCAAAACACCUAAAGUACUAUUCCUUGAUACUACCUAAAGGAAAGCCGAUCUUUGGCGUUCUGAGGUUGAUCUCAAGCAAUCUGAAGCUGACCUCGGGACAAAGAAGUGAAGAUCUCGGAAGAGUAUUGAUUGGAGAUAGAAGAUCGCGGGCAAAAAUUGAAGAGAGAAAGGAACUCGGGGAAUAUCUGAAGCGAUGAAAGCUAAGUCUUCCUUUUCUCCGUUUUAAUUUUACCUUUUAUUCUAUCAAAAUCUGUCAAAAACUUCGUAUUUAUAUCCGCUAUUAAAUUAAACACUAUUUUCUUCCUUGUCUUACAAACCUAGAGUAAUUACGUUAAUAAUGGAAUGAAUUGCACAUAAAUAAUUUCACAUAAAUUUAUAAAUUGUUAUUCUUAAAAAGAUAAACAAAGCUAUUUGUUAAUUAAAAAUUUGAACCCAAAACUUUAAGGGGGAGACACCUAGAUACCUAGUCUAACAAAUCACUCGAAGUUCAUUUGACAAUAUAUAUGUGAAAGAUUUAUAUUUUAUAAUUACAUUGAUAAAUCGUUAAAGGAGAACUCACUACGUAUCUCAUCCAAAAGAUGAUCUAGUGAAAAGGGAUUAUUCUUUUUAUUAGUUGAAGACACGUCAAUAAAUUUAAUUUGUUACUCAUUUUUCUCUCUCGUUAGUGGCUUUUGAAAUUACUUUGCUCAAGUUGAGAUAUAUUGGUUGACCUCAAAAGGUCAUAAAGUACAACUUUCACAAAUGCCCUUUCACAAUGAUAGGUCCUAUGAUAUAAUAUGAUAGCCUAUGAUAUGGAGAUAUUAAUGAUUCAUAACAAUAUUGGGUUUUUUUUUCAAUAUAGUUUGAUUAUUUACCACUUUAGUGUUGAGGUUUCGCCAUAAAGCUCGUAGUUUUGUGGAUAAACUAUUUAUUGUCAUUAAUAAAACAAGAUGCUGUUUUAUGUUGCAUAACAUUAUUAUCAAAUAAAACUAGAAAAAUAAAUAUAGGUUCUUAUGUGUGUAAUCUUGAACAUAGGUGGAUCAUAUUCUAUUAUAUAUGUAGGUAGGGUUGUGUGCUUUAUUUUUGUGACACUAUGGAUAUGACUAAUGGUUUGAUCCAAACCAUUCUUAGGGAGGAAUAUCUCCCUAAGGAAUAUCUCUCUUUUGUAAAUCUAUGAAUCGAUGAGAUGUAAAUCAAUGAAUGGAUGAGAUUAAUAUUUCUUAGGAUGAUCACAUAUAAAUUGGUUUGAAUCUUAAGUGAGUUAUGGGCUUCUUUUUGUGAGGUUUUAUUUUUUAUUUACACGGAUGAGAGUGACUCGAGUUGUAGAUUGAUAUUCAAACCUUACUAUUUUUGAGACUUUAGAGAGUCCAACGCCAAUAGAGAGUUGAAAACAUAACUUCACAAUAUAUGGAAUUAAAUAGUUUCCGUAUAAAGUCGGAGCUGCUGACUUCGAGGAAUAAAGUCGGAGCCCACUCUCCCAUUGACUUGAAGGGACUUGGUUUAUGGUUAGGGUAUAAAGACAUUGUUCUUUGAAGGAAUCGAUAAUACUGGAGAAAAAGAGUUAAUUACAAGUAUAAAACAAACAUUUAAUAAUCCAGUUGUGUAAUUAUGAAAAACUCUCUAAGGUUCAACUUACUAACUACAGUAAUUAUAUCCAUGAAUAUAACUUGUCCUAAAGUGUCUAAAAUUGAUCAACUAUAGGUAUAUAUAGUACUAUACAGUGGUUUAGUUGUUAUACCUAUAGCAUUCAUUCAUUAUAGGUAUAUAAAUGAAAAUGAAUGUUUAAUUAGUUAAAGAGUUUAGUUAUAAUACAGUGUCUAAAAUUUAACAAUAGGUAUAUAGUGGUUUCCCUAUAGCUAAUGUGAAAGAAUGAUAAUUAGUUAAAGAGUUUAGUUAUAAUUUAAUCUUGGAUCAUCAAUUUGUUGUUCUAACAUGUUGUUCUAUAAGGUCCCUUGCUAACUUUCUUUUGACUAACAAGAAUAAAAUACAUUAAAAGAAAAUUUGGAACUUUCAAAUUUAUAAAUGAAAAAUAUUUAGGGUUUUUUAAAAGAUCUAACAAAAUGCUAAAAUAUUUACCUCCUACAAAACAAUUUAAAAAAUAGAAAAAUCUCACAGGCCAACGAUGAAAAAUACAAAAUGUGUCCCGCGAUUAAUUGACAUCUAACGCGCGUAAUAUAUUUUAGAAAUGAUCGUUUAGAUUUGGUUAUUCUUUCCUACGUAAUCAUUUAGAUUUGUAUCCAAAUCUAAAUAUUUUUUUUUUGAAGAUUCUUUUGAUAGCAAUCAUUUAGAUUUCACUAUUGUUUGGUACACGAUCAUUUAGAUUUAAUCGUUAUAUUUGGUACAUGAUUGUUUGUAUUUACUAAAUAAUCGUUUAGAUUUAAUCAUUUAAAUUUGGAUAGCCAAAUAUCAACGAUUUAUUUUCAAAAUAUUUUGGUACACGAUCAUUUAGAUUUGGUACCAGUGGUUUAGAUUUGGAAUUUUUUUAUAUGAUCGUUUAGAUUUAGGAGCAAAAUAUAAACGAUAUUUUUUUCAAGAUCCUUUAUAUUUGGUAGACGAUCUUGAACAACCAACAGUUCGAAUUUUUUUUUUUUUUUUUUAUAUUUAGUACAUGAUUUUGAACCAAAUAACAACUUUGAAAAAAAAAUGGCAGAAGAAAAGAGGAAAGACGAUGGAGAGAAAAGAAAAAAUCGCAAAAGAGACGAGAAGCAAGACGAUGAAAAGAAAUGGUAAAUUUGAAAUUUUUUUAAAAAAUUGUUAGCUUAAUAGACUUUUUCAUUUUGUUACAUGAGCCGUAAAUAUAUUGAUUGUUUGUUAUACUUCAGAAAAUUAACCCAAUAUUUAUUAUAUAGGUUAAUUUUUAUAAAUAUACUUAAAAUAUUUAUGGCCCGUGUAACAAAAUGAAAAUGCUCGUUAGGCUGGCCAUUUUUUAAAAUAUAUUUCAUAUUUGAUCUUCAUUUUCAUCGUCUUUCUUCCCUUCUUCUGUCAUUUUUGUUUUAUUUUAUUUUUGAAUUGCUAUUUGGUUGAAGAUCGUGUACCAAAUAUGAAACAUCUACUUUUUUCAAACGGUUGGUUGUUCAAGAUUGUUUACAAAAUAUAAAAGAUCUUGGAAAAGAAAAACACUAUUUAGAUUUGUCUCCCAAAUCUAAAUGAUCGUAUAUAAAAAAAUAGUCAAAUCUAAACGAUCGUGUACCAAAUAAUUUUAAAAGAAUUCGUUUAGAUUUGAGUAGCCAAAUUUAAACUAUAUCAAAUGUAAAUGAUUGUGUACAAAAUAUAAAUGAUCCUGUACCAAAUCUAAUCUAUCAUGUACCAAAAAAUCUUUAAGAAAAAACGGUGAGAUUUGGCUGCCCAAAUUUAAACGAUCAAAUCUAAACGAUCGUAUACCAAAUAUAAAUGAUCUUGUACACCAAAUCUAAACUAUCCUGUGCCAAAAAAUCUUAAAAAUAAAACGGUGAGAUUUGGCUGCCCAAAUUUAAACGAUCAAAUCUAAACGAUCGUAUAUCAAAUAUAAAUGAUCUUGUACCAAAUAUAAAUGAUAGUGUACCAAAAAAUAUUAAAAAAUCGUUUAUAUUUGGUUGCCCAAAUUUAAAUGAUCGUAUAGCAAAAAAUAACCUAAUCUAAAUGAUCGUGUAAAAAAUAAUAGCCAAAUCUAAAUGAUCAUGUUCUAAAGAAUCUUGAAAAAUCGUUUAGAUUGAGGUAGCAAAAUCUAAACAAUCAAAUAAACUCUCAAAUCUAAACAAUCAAAUAAACUCUCAAAUCUAAACAAUCGUGUAGGAAAUGAUAGCCAAAUCUAAACAAUUAUUUUUUAAAUAUAUUACGCACGCUAGAAGCCAAUUAAUCACAUGAUAUUUUUUGGAUUUUUUUUUGUUUUUCAAUUGUUAUAUAGAAGGUAAGUAUUUUAGGGUUUUAUUAUAUGUUUUAAAGGAGCCAUAUGAUAUAUGUGAUACAAUUGGUAAAUGUUUUAUUAAAUCUUAAGCGUUUAUCAUCUUUUUACCUCAUCCAGUACCCUUUUCUCUCGAUGAAUUUUUAAUCAACUUCUAACUGAAAACCAUUAAGUAUGUUUUUGUUCUAUGGAUCGAAGUAUUUUACUUUUAACUCAUGUUAUUGAGAAGAUGAGAGGUUGACAUUCAUUGUUUUAUACAAUAUUAUUAAGAUUUUAUUGUAAAUAUGCAUGAAAGUUAAAACCUAACUUUUCCAAAACUAUAAGUUUUAUUUGAGAGGGAGAGAGCGCAAUAGAAGAAUGUAGAAAGUGUUCUAUGGUUGACAUAUAAUCGUGGGUGUAAAUUAUUGAUGAUGUUGGAUUUUUCACCAAACCAGACAGGCUUAAGUGCGCAGACCAUACAUUUCAAAAAAGUAUUAGUAGCUUUUAUUAUAUCAUCAAAUUCAAGUUGAUAGAAAUUAUAGUAACCUUUUUGUCGUGGUUUUAAUUUGUAUUAAAUAACAUAGGCUCUAGAUCAAUAUAAUGAAACCAUUCACAUAUUUAUGUGAGCUUAUAGAUUACUCUUACCGAGAUCGUAUUAAUAUAUAUUUUUAAUAUAAGAAUAGUGCAAGAAUUGUUAACAAUACAAAACUUUAAACAGCUAAAAUUAUAUGCUUUCAUUGAUAACCAACCAAGACAUGUGGCAUAAGCUUCUCAAAAUAAUAAAAUAAAAGAAAUAAAAUUAUAAAUUCUUUGAGAAGACAACAGUUUCUAUGAAGAUUCUCCUUGAGAUCACCAUUGUGCAUGCAUUCCAUUUCACUUAAGGGAGUUUAACGUCGUUGGUUUAAGAGAGGAACAUAAAUGAAUCGAAAUCGUAUUUGAAUGAGAGGGAUCGCGAGAAUAUGAAAGUAAGGUUAAGAAAGACUUAAAAGAAUUAAAAGUUAAUACCUAUACGAAUGAGGUGCACCUUCCUUUUCGGUGGCUCAAUCGUAGGAACUCUAACUAAAGUUUAGCAUGCUUAGCUCAAAACAAUUUUAUGUUGGGUGACCUUUUGGAAAUUUUUUUAUGAUGCAUAUGAGUGAGAACAAAGCAUGCUGAAGUGACUCGUAUUGGUUUGAGGGAAGAACUUUCACUCUAAUAAGCCUUUAAGACAAGAAUAAAUGAUGUUGUCAGGUUGUAAGAGAUGCAAAGGAAUGUCAUAGAUCUAAAUUCUGAAAUUUUGGUAUGAAAUCUGAGCCUAGGACGUUACAGGGUAUUUGUACAAAUUUGCACCAAUAAGUAGCUCUCACAGCCAAUGAGUUAUCAAACAAUAAGAUGCAUUAAAUAUGUACAUAGUAUCAAUUCUUUGAAUCAAUAUGUAACAAAUUUUAAUAGUCAAAAGAAUACUUGACAUGUCAUGCAUAUUUCUAAGAUCAUGAUAUAUGAUACCACAGAAAAUAUGCUAUCAAAAUUUGAUUUAAUUCUGAAUCGUUGUUCUAUGUUUUAUGUUUUAAUUUGGCUAUUUUGUAGGUUUGGAGAAAAUCUACUGUAGAGUUUUGUGUUGAUGACAAGUUGGAGCAUAAUUGGGCAAAACCAAAGUCAAUAUGCACAACUAGGUCAAGGAGUGAAGAAAAGGCCAAACUUAACCUUUGUCUUACUUUGUCGCAACGUUGUAAGGCAAUAGGCGUACGAUCCUAAAAAAGCAUAUAGUGUUGCAACGUUGCCUUAGAGCGUUGCGAUACUCCGAGGUUUAUCUUCGUAAGAUUUUUUGGGAGCAUCAGGAAAUGUUACAAUUUUAUUCAUAGUUGUUUUUCUCACUAUGUUAAAGGGAUCACCAAUUUCAGCAGCAUCUAGUCUGAUUUCUCUCUAUUUUCUAAUAGCUUUCGAUUGUGGUUUAUGCACUAUAACGUAUUACUCAUCAUCAUCUGAUAUGUGGAGGAAUAGCUAAAGUAUUCUUUCUAGGGUAUUUGUGAUGAUUUGAUUAAAUAUAUCAUGUUUUACGAAAUUUAAUUUAGUUUUGAGUGAUUUUAAUUCAUAUUGGUCACACGCUCGUGGACCAUGUGGACCAUGUGAUGUUUGAUUUCAAUCCAUGUGCCAUUUACUUGGAAGAUGUAUAUGAAUUGCAUGAUGAGAUGAGUUAGAUUAGCUUGCUAGCCAAGUUAAGUUGCAUAGUUCUAAUCAAUAUAGAAUUAAAUCUUUAGAGUAAUUAGCUAAAUGUAUAGAAGUUAAUUAUUCACUGCCCUAUAUUUCUCUACAUCUUACUGCAACUAGGUUGAUUCAAAUUGUCAUCCCUUUUCAUCAUUUAGAAUUAGACUAGUUUGAUACUUAAGAAAAUUUAAUUAGCUUAUCUAUUUAAGUUGAUUAAGAUGUAAGCAUUUGAUUUCAUUAGUCAAAAAGUCCUAAUGAGCGAAGGUCUUUAGUAGAAUGGAUUCCGUUAACGUAAGCUAAACUUUCUAUCAAUAAUUACUUCUCUAAUUAAUCUCUGUGUUUUAUGCAAUUUACUUUAUUUGCAAUUGAAGCCAUCUCAAACCACUCAACCCUCCCUCUCGACCAUCGAUGAACAUUGAUUACCUUAGGUUGGAAAUUAUUUUUCUUAAGAAACUAACAUGCUCUCUAAAUUCGAUUCGGUCUUACCACUAAGACUAAAUCUUGUGAAAAGUUCAAUUAAUCAUUUAUUCUAAAUUUAAGCCAUAAAAUUUGCUCGAUAAAGAAACCCUCAAACAAAUGUUAGAGUUUAUAUCAAUUGACGUACACCAAUGCAUCCACAAAAUUGCAAUCCAACCACUCCCAACAACUAAUAAGAUAAUACAUAGCCCACACUGAUGCAAUAAUGACAUAGGUUGCAUCAAGACACAUAAUGAAAUAAUAGUCUAUGUUAAUAGUCAUCAACCACUAUCUACCCGACAUCUACCAACUGAAAUAUCAUUGACAGACCUCAAUGCUCAAUAAACUCACAACUAUAUCCACCACACAACUUUGACUAUAUCAGGUUGUUCAUGCUUGAUAUAGAUUUCGUAAAUGACAUCCAUACACUAGACGAGAAACAUCAACAAACAUUAAAUUUUAGCAAUAUGUACCGAACCAAGGUGAUAUCAAACCCCAUUCAUAUGCAACUCAUUAUAUGUGCACAAUCAAUUUUAACAUACUAACUCUUACUAGAUCAUACUUUAAUACAUUACCCUACUACGACAAGCAUCAAUUAUAAGACAUGAUCAUAUUCAUACUUAGCUUCCUUCGAUAUAUUCCAAACAAUAUCAUAAUCAUAAGUGCUUCAAAUAUUAUGAUCUAAAACACAUAAUUGAUAACGUUUGAAAUACGCUAUCUAUUUCUACUUAAUUCAAGCUUGUGCUGUGAUUUUAUGUUCUUGACUAGCUAUUUUAUAGGUUUUUAGUAAUUCAAAGGUAGAAAUCAAUGUUGAUGUCGAUUUGGAACUAAUUCGGACAAAUAUGGAGUCAAGUUGUGUCAAUCGAGGCAAGCUGGUGAUCAAAAAAAGAUUAUUAGUGGAAAGGCCUCAAACUUCGUCUGCGCGUCUACGUCCUUCAAUGUCGCAACUUUGCCCCGAACGCCUCAGACUACGACUUAGUUAUAGAAGUAUAUUUUUAUUGUCAGUUUAGACCUAGGCCUGAUUGUAGCCAUUUCUCUUCAGUUUCCUCUCCGUUAUCUGAUUGCUUUUUGUUGGUUUAUGUUUUUGAACAAUUCCUCAUCAUCCAACACGUGGAUGAAAGGCUAAGAUUCUUAUUCUAGCUUGGAUUUUUAUAAAUCUCCCAUUGUUCCUUUGAAUUUACAAAAGUUUGAACUUGUUUACUGCAACUUUUUUGGUUUCCAUUAUAUAUUUGAAUGAUUGUUUGUUCAUGGAGAAUGUAUAACUUGUGAUUUCAAUUAUUAAAUCUUUGACUCAUGACAAUUUGGAUAAACUUUGCUUAUAAGCAAUAAUUUAGGUUAGCUUGGUAUUCUAUUUUGAUUACCAUUUUCCUAAUCAACCUAGAAUUAAACCUAGCUAAUGAAAUGUCAAUUAGACGCAUGGAAAUUAGGCAUUCCACCUAAGGAUCUCUUGAAGUUAAUGCUAUUGGGAAAUUCAGUUGUGCAUAGUACUUAAUCGUAUUAGAACAAUUAAACGUGUAACGACCCAACAUUUUAAACUAAGCUGAGGUCAUUACUUUAAAGUUCAAUCUAAAAUAAAUAGCUAAGACACAAAAGAUUAUACAAAAAAAAAUUGUUUAAAAAAUAAACAUCAAAGAAAAGUUUAGUUCGGGCCCUAUUUCAAUCAAUAUAAAAGUACAUAGAUAUUUGUGUUUUAAGACAUAACGAAACAUACCGUCAUUCUAAACAUGAAACUCGCUCAUUUCAAUCAUCAAAACUUAAAAACAAUAAAAGCAUUUAAAAGAUUCAAUAAGGCGUUCACAAGUACUUCUUGUCCCUCGUCAGGCUACCGUCUCUCGUAUUACCAUUGCUUGAAAAAGCUAAAGAUAGGGUGGGUAUAAAAAUAUACCUAGUAAGAGACCCAUUAUUGGUUUCGUUAGAGGUAAAAACUAUUAACUUUCUAUUAGGAGGUAUCAUGCAUCAUAACAGUCUUGUGAUCCCAAAGCAUACACGUCAAUUAGUCUAGUGAUCUCAUAGGAUGCACAUAAUUAGUUUAGUGAUAAAAUAGAAUGCACAUAAUCAGUCUAGUGAUCCCGAAGGGUGCACAAUAUGUGGUGAUCCCGUAGAACACCAUGUCUGCAAGGUACACUACCCCAUAGCUAAAGGUAACUGUUUCCCCCUAGUCUAGUUAAGUUCAAUCUAGUCUGAACAAUCCAAGACAAUCACAUCAAAACAUCAUUAAAACUAUCAACAAUACUUUAGUUCUCAACACAUAACAAGUCAAAAUAAGUGUGUUAAUACAUAUCUUUGUUCAGACAUCAGUGUAAGCAAUCAAUACAUUUUAAAGUAUUGAUCAUAAUAGUAAGACCCUCUUAGUAGAUUCCAACUUCAAUAUAAGGUCCAGUAGUAGAAAUCUCUUACCUCAACUAUAGCUAAGUUCCUUAGUCGAACUAAAGUCCAAAUAAACCAACCUAAACAGAAACGGAAGAUCAAUAACUUUUGCAAAUAAAUUCAUUAAUUCACCCAAAAGUGACUUCCACCAACUUACCUAAACAAAUGGAGAUUUGAACUCCAAUCCAACUUGUAAUGAACUCCAAGGACUUACUUCUCCAUUGGCACCAUCAAAUUAGUAUAAAAAAUUAUAAAUCAACUUGUCCUGACUUCAAAGACUUACUUCUCCAAUGACACCAUCAAAUAUAAAAUAUUCUAAAUUUUUAUUCCAAUUUAAUUGAAAUUUAGAUCCUUUAAUAACCCAUGUUAAAACUCAUAAAAAACUCACCAAAGAGUUGGCUCCAAAAGCAAAUGGUUUGAAAAAGCAGUGGCUCAGCCUAGCUAGGAGUUCGGUUAGGUGAGGGUAGUCAGCUCAUGCGGCUGAGAGAGGGAAAGAAUCUAGCUCGCAAAUGAAAACAAUUUGACUCAAACUAAGAUGGAAUGGAAAGGGUUCACAAACAAAGACAAAUCGACUUUGAUCUUCGAACAGUGACUAUGCACAUAUGAAGGCUUCGUUGACGGAAGGAGAUUGACGUCCUCAUGCGACAGUGUGGAGUGCGAUGGAGAAGACGCUCAAAUGUUCCGGCUAUGCGUCAUUCAACUCAAGUCAAUAACGUAAUGACUGGAAACAACGAUCAUCGAUUUCAACAUACGACAGAGAGUGACGAAUGGUGAGGACUGAUUUUGUCUGAGUGGAUUACGCGUGAACAUCGAACGACGAUGGUGACGAGGGUACAACGUGAGGAAAAAGAAUGGAAAAGGAGAAAGGGUUUGCACUCAAAUAUAUGUCCUUUUUCUAUUAUGAAGAAGAAGAAGAAGAAGACUCGUGAAGGACUAACUUACCAAUAUUAGUCUAUAUCCAUGGACACAAAAGUAUAUCUAUAGUGAGAAGAGUUCAAUGUUCAGUAUUUAGUGGAGUGUACACACAAUUAACAAAUAUUGAUUAAUGUGGUUAAUGAGUUUAGCAAAUUAAUCUCAUAUUGUUGUAGCUUUUGAUUUGUAGGUCCAUUAGGACCCCUUCCUAGCUCGUAAAAGAUAAUGAGAUUGCGUAGCCAAUUAAUCUCAUACAGUUAACGACUUGAAUGGGCUAUUCCUUGCGUAAAACUUCAAAAUAUUUACAACUUUGCCCCUACAAUUUCAAAAUGCUCUAUCUUUCUUGCUCAAGCUUUUUUUUUGUUGAUUGUUGUUGUCGUAGUUACGUAACAGAGUCUAGCUUAUUAAUUUGAAUAGAAAUGCGAAAAUAACGAGUAUAUGCAUGUUGUGAAACACAAAAUAGACAAAUAACUAUAGGUCAAAUAUUGCCCCAUAAUGUACUAAGGAAGGCAAAAAGUUACAAAGAGUAAAAGAUUUGUUAGGGAAAAUAUGAAAAAAGGGAAAAAUUGUUAAACUUGGGAAUAAGUUGUCACACCCCAAGUCGUACUACAACGAUAAUGUCGAAGUAGUACGAAUAGAAUGCAAGUUUGUUUUAACCUUGAAAUUUUUUUAUCGCAAAAUCUUAUUCUCAACACAUUUUAUACUAUCAACAAAACUCAAAAUGCAACGGUGGUCAACCUAAAUGCCAAGUAUAAUAACUACCUACCAAAACGUAUACUUUAUUAAUAACAAGUGUUUGAUAGAUAAUUACAACAAUUUGGCCAUAUAACCAAUGCUUAACUAUUUCCAAAGCGUCUGGAAUCAUCUCGCUGCAAAUCCUUCAACCAUUCUUCUCUACUUGGCCUAAACGCCCGAUCCUGAAAGAUGAGAUUUUUAAAACGUAAGUCUAAAAGACUUAGUGAGGUUUUAUUAAAUACUUUUUCAUAAACACCAUUUUGCAUAAAUAACAUCAAAUCAUUUCAUCUCGCAUAAACCUUUCUUUAUGCUUAAUAAACACAUUUAUAACAUAACAAUUUUACAUAAACACACAAUUAUUUCUUUCGCCAAGGAUCCCGAAUCGUUCUCUACGCUUGGUCUCAUUAUCUUGCAUUUGACUACUGUAUCAACAACAUCUAAGAACAUACAGAUUUGUUCUUGUUGCUCAAGUCGCUAAGCUUUAUAUGUUCCUUUCAAUGCAUAAGCCAGUUUCUUAUCACCAUAUAGUCCAUACUCAAUGGUCUUGACUCUUUAUUGUCACAAAAAAGUUAACAUCAUCUCAAGAAAUAAACUAAUUGUUUGAAAAUUAUUUUAUAGCACUGAAAUCGUAAUCAUUAAAUCAAGCUUUAAUAUUAUAAAUCGUGCUUGAACACAUAGAAAUUUUUCAUAGAAAUCUCUUUUUGAAACACUUUCUAAUUUGAAAUCAUCUUUCAAAAUAGUAAAGUAGAAUCACAAAACUUUUCAGAAGAAAACCACGCACUACACUUUAACAAAAAUCCUUAUCUUCCUUCACUUUUCGUGGAGCCUUCUCGCGGAACAAAUUGUCAUACUUAACACUUUGUUUUUCUUCUUCUUGUCAAAGCAAAACAUCAGCAUUUUAACUUUUUGUUUUUUUUUUAAUAAAAUCUUUUGUGCUUACUUAAUGACCAAGUCCUUUAUUCUCGCCUAACCAGAUUUGUGUUUACUUAAAAUCUUACACGUGAACCCCUGUCAAAUCAGAUUUGACAUUUUCUUUGUCAGACUUCACUUCUCGGCUAACCCCAUACUCCAAAUAACUUUAACCACAUAACACUUCUCGCGAAUAAGCUUAUCACUUGGUUAUAUUUUUACUACAAGAAACCUUCCUCGUGAACUUUAAACUUACCGCGAACUUAAAAUUCAAACCUUCCUUGUAGACUUCUUCAUCACGAAACCCUUAUCGCGAAGACUACCCAAACGCCUAGUUGUUUUAGUCAAAACUUCACAACUUAAGUCUUUUGAGAGCGUUUAGACUUAUAGAUUCUACUGUAAACCCUUCUUUUCACAAAACUUCCUCGUGAAUUAACUUAUUAAUCGUGAGCUUAUAUUUAACCAUAAAAGAUUUUAUUGCUUAAUCCUUGCCGCAAAUUUAUUCAAACACCAAUUUCUUUAAUACUUAGCCAAAUUUUACUUCUUAUACUCAAAUAACAAAAAACGGGUCUUACAUAAGUAUUUUUUAUUAGAAUUUCUUUUAAUGCCACAAAAAGUUAUAUCGUUAAUUAACGACGCAAAAAUUGUCAAGAAAAAUUUCACGUUUUCUUUUAAUUUUUAAGGACAUAUUUUACUCCAUCUCACUCCUUUUCCUUGAUUUGAAGUGUCAUUAAAACCCAAACUUCUUGUAGAGCCCCAAUUUGGUAAAAAUCUCAUUUUUGCUUAUUUUUGCUCUAUCUCCAAAUUUGUCAUUUCUAUAUAUAUCUCUUUAUCAUAAUCGAUUCAAUAAAUUAGGCCUAUAUCACACAACUUUUCGUUUUGCAAAAAUGCUUAACGCAGUUUUGAAAAUAGAAAAUUAUAAAAAACUAUGACUACCUUAUGGUUUACAGAUAUACUUGAUUAGUUUGACACACUUGAUGUACAAUUGAUGUGACGCCCCGUCCCACCUUGCACACAUCCUUAUGUCGCUAUGCGGCACAUAAUGUGACUUGAGUAACCCUAGCACUCUAAAUGAAUCACCAAAACGCUCACUUAAGUUCUCACACUUAAACUUUAACUUUAACAAGUAGCAAAAAAAUAUAUUAAAUUUUAAGUAUAACUAAUAAAGAGUCUAAUUAUUAUUAUUAUUUGAACUAAGCGUUCUACUAUUACACUUUCUUUACUUCCUUAGUACAAAAGUUAAAAUAAUUAAACAUAGACUUAAACACCUUGUCUAGCUCCCUCAAAAUUUAAAUUAGCUCUUUUAAUAUAAGCUAAGACUUGCAUACACAAAACGGUUUCCUAUUUACAAGGAUUUAUAAGGUAAAACAACUUAGAUCACUUGCUUAGCUUUCACGUGUAGCAACUCUUCUUAUCUUUCUUUAUUUAGCUUAAACGCCUGGUUACCUAGGGAGGCAAGCUUAAAACGUAAGUCAAAGACUUAGUAAGUGAUACUUUUAGAAAAUCUUUUUGGGCAUACAUUAAGAUCAUUUUCAUAAGAAUGGAUUCAACACCUUAUUCAUAAAACAUUAAACACACAUUAGUCUCUUAUAUUCCUUUCUUCCAAGAGCAUGAACCAUUUCCAUGCAUAGACUACAACAUCCCUAAGAGAAUAUAUAUCCUGGUUCAUUUCUUAUUGCUCAGGCCACUAAGCUCAAUAUGCUCCUUUUACGCAUUGACCACCUUAACUCCACAAUGCAAUCAUUUUCUACAUGGCUAGCUACCUUUGCUCCUUAUAUGCACAUAAUAGUUAGCUCUUUGAUAGAAAUAAGACUAAUGACAUACACAUAACAUAGCAUACAUACAAUACACAUAUAACUUUACUUUUAUGAUUAUUUAGGAGACCUCGAAUAAAUUAUUUGAAACUACGCUAGAUAAAUGCUUCCCCUAUUUUUAUUUUCAUGAUUUUUGAACGUUUGGAACUCUUGAGUAGAUAGUAUUUGAAUUUUGAAUACUUCUUUUCUUUUAUGAUUUAUUUAGGAAACCUCGAGUAAAUUAUUUUUAAUUAUUUAUUUCAACAUUGUAUUUCCACUUGAGGUUGUCUCUGUAUUUCUUAAAUAAAUGAUCCCAAAGUUUGCAUAAUCUUUGUCUUGAAAUUUUAUUUUCACUCGAAUAAAGAUUUCAGCUUAAGUUGAAAAGUUCAAUGGUUACAUUUGAGCCUAAGUUGAAGUUGGAUCAUUACACUUCAUUUUACUAGUGAUUUUUAUUGGAUUGCACAUGUUUGUUUCUUAACCAAAUGCUUUGUUUUUUUUAAAAAAAAAAAAAAUCUAAAUCCAAUUUUUGGGUACAAUUUUUUAAAAAAAGAUUCCACCAUAACUUCUAAAUUUAUUAUAGGUAAAAAUAAUUGGUUACACAUUUUAGUCAGUAUCCUGUUUUUCAUAAUCUACCUAAUACAAUUUCCAAACCAAAAUUAUGAAAUACAAACCUAGACAUUAUCAAAUGAGUUGAGAGAAGAAAUGAAAACGACCUUUACAAAACUCCAAUAUAAUCAAACAGUGCAUGGGAAUUAUGAAUAUUUUUAUUUCCUUUAAACAAAUUUUACUUUAGUCUCACAGACAAGUUAGAAAAAUAACCAAACAUAUAAUCUUACAAAACUCAAAUAUUUAUCAUUUACUAAUCAAACAAGAAGUUCUUACUCCAUCAUAUAUUACAAAAACAGAACGGAAAGAUGUAAAGUACUAUAACUAGCCGGCGAAUGAUUACAAACCGAAGUCUUAGUUAUUUAUUUAGAUACACAAAAACAUUUAGCCGGCUAACUUUGAUUGUGUAUAUCUACAUUAGUCCGUACUUUGUUUUGCGUUACUCCAACAAUCCACAUCUCUUCUAAGACAUCCAUGGUGAUUGUAUUCACCACUAUCGUUAGGUCGCCUAGUUUUUGCCUUCUCAUUCUCGUUGAUCUCCCGCUCUCUCUGCUUGUUUAUAUCAAUCAGUCGUCGGGGACUCCUAAGAGUUGUCCCUUCAAUUAGCAUGACCGAGGUGAUCAACACCAACAUGAGGAUUGCAGCAAGUGUUAGUCUUCUCAUUUUUCACACAAACCUCUGUUAACUAUAAUGAGGAGAGGAGGGAAGAAAAGGGCUGAUUAGAUUUUUGGAAUGAAAAUCAAAAGAGGAGAAAGAAAACGCUAAGUUUUGGAAGUUUCUUUUCUGUUGUUAUUGGGACUUGUAAUUGAAGUAUUUAGUGGAAAUGAGGGUUAGGUUGUUGAAUUGUGAGAUCUAUUAGGUGAUGGACUGUUUAUAUAGCACAUAAAAGACCAUUAAUAAUUUCGGUUUGUUUGUUCACCAUCAAAUGAGACAAAAAUUAAGUGGGUUGUGCACAAAUUUUUAAAGAAAUAUUAUAAAAUUAAUUAGAAUGAUGAAUUUGGAGAAUAAUUUUGGCCUAUAUAUAAACAGGAAAACUCCACCAUGUUAGCUUAAAUAGAAGCCUAAGCUCUAAAGUUGAGCAUAAUAACAUCUUUGCUCCUCAAUGUUCAACACACAAGUGUUUUCAUUGUGGAUUGGAUUAUGGUACGACAUUUGGAAAAUCUUGGUAGGGCUGAAAAAAAAAAAAAAGUCUAACCAUAAACACUACCAUAAAGAAUGUUCACCCAAUUAGGGUGUAUAUCUUUUUAAAAAGUGAAAAGUACUUUUUACUAAUGUUUCUAGGGUUUCAAACUAUUGUAAGAACGACAAUUGGAAUUUAGGAUGUGGAUAAUAAUUGAGGACGAUAAACAUUUGUUUGAAUCUACACCUACGCAAUUCAAGAUAAUGUUGUACUUGCAAUCAAAGCAUGUUACUAUAAUAACGUUGGUGAUAAGAUUUAGAACAUACGUGACCUCUUGCUUUUAUUGAUUUAAUGAUCUAGACCAUUGUGAUAUCCCGAUCAAGUUCAAAACUACACAAUAAUAGUGCAUGCGACAAGAUGGGAGCUAGCAAACUAGAAGUAUUACGAAGCAAUUGUGUAAGGCACAUUUUCAAUAUGCAUUAAGAAAAGAGUUACACGAUGAGGUGGAAGGCAAUGAGAGCUUCCGUCACUGUGAAGUAGUUGACUUCAUCCUUGUGUAAACACUACUACAAAACUGGCUUUACUUGAGUAAUCUAGUGUAAAAAAUAAGAGAAGUAUACUUGACAAUUUUUAAGCGUCAAUAAACUAAGUUUACUUGACAGGUAAAAAACGUCAAGAAUAUGAGAUUACUUGACGCUUUUUACAUGUCAAGUAAUCCAGUGUCAAGAAUAAGAUGGGUUUUGUUUGACAGUUUUUAAGCGUUAAGUAAAAUUAUACUUGACAAUUUAUAAACGUCAAGUAUAUAAGAUUUGUUGACAUUUUCUACAUAUCAAGAAUUUGCUGACUCUUGACAUGUUUUGCAUGUCAAGUGUUUUUUUUAAUUAUAUAUUUUAAAAUAUCCUUAUAAUUUAUCGUGCACCUGUUUUGAAGUUCAACAAUGCCAAACGUAUAUAAGUAAAGCAAGAGAGUAUACGUACAAAUGUGUUAAAGUACACAUUAAUUGAACAAUUGAAUCAACUAAAUUUUUUCAUCAAAAAACUAAUAAUAUUUUAACAUAUUAUAUAUAUAUAUAUAUAUAUAUAUAUAUAUAUAUAUAUAUAUAUAUAUAUAUAUAUAUCAAUGAACCACAAAUACAUACAUAUAGUUAACCUAUACUUCUAACAAUAGUCUAAACUUUCCAUCUAUGUGUAGCCUAGCUAUAGGUGUAUCAACUAAACUAAUUCACCUAGCUAUAUCAAGUAUAUCAACAAAAUAUCACAUCUAUAUCCAGUAUUAAUAAAACUUGUCUAUCUAACCCAAAAUAUAAUCAUCAUAAAUCAAAUGUGGCCACCCAAAAAAUCAGUAAGCUCCAUGCGCACUUCAUCCAACUCGAGUUGAUUAUGUGGGCUCCUUGUAUCAAUCUGAUAUGAAACCCAAAAUAUUAAAGUUAAUACUUUGAUUACUUGAAUUGUAGAAAAUAAUUCAAAUAAUCAUUUAAACACAACAUAUUGAAUCUGUGACUACUUUGCUCCCAUUAGUGAUUAUAUCUUUCAUGUAACUCAUCACAUAGUAUCCACAUUCCCACUCCAACUUGCAAAGGACACUGUAAAUACAUAAAUUAUCAAAGUAUAUAUUUAAUGGUGCAAAUAGCUCAUAUACCAUAUACUUUUAAUUAACGAAUAAAUAUGUUUAAACUUUACCUUCAUUGUUUUCCAUAUUAACUAUUUUUUAUUUGUUUGAGUAUUUUUCAAAGAGCGAAAGAAAAUAAUAGCCCUAUUUGCAAGAAAAAACUACACUUUAGCCAUGAAGUGAACUUUAUGAUGGUAAACAUGAUAUAUUAAAAAAAAUUACUUAUAUGUCACUUAUGUAUCUAAUAUCUACUAUAGAUGUUGUUCGAAGUGAGUCAAUAUAAUAAAUUGUCUCAUCAUAUGCGUUAACAGCCAAAAGUGCUCAAUGACCACUACAUAGAAAGAAUAUAAGUAGAUUGCCUUAAUAUAAACCAAAACAGGUUUCUCUAUGCUAAAUCAAAAGUAAACUACAACAAUGCAAAGUAACAUAUCACCUAUAGCUUAUUUUAUUUCCUAAAGAAACAUAAUAUGAUCAAAGCUAAACGGAGAGCACAUUAAAGUAUGAGCUAUGUGUUUCAAUAUCAAUGGAAGAAGAAGCAAUACAAUUUAAUUCAAAGAAACAUAAUAUGAUCUAAGAAAUCUUAAGAUUCAACUCAAAUAAACAAAUUGUCUUAAAAUAACCCAAAAGAAGUUUCUAGAAACCAAAAGUAGACUACAACAAUAAAAGUGGAUCCCCUCCCCCUCCCCUAUAUUGCCUUUAACAUAAUCUAAAAUUCUAAACUUCAAUUCAAAGUAACAUAUCACCUAUAACUUAUUCUAUUUCUUAAAGAAACAUAAUAUGAACAAACCUAAAUGGAGAGUACAUUAAAGUAUGAGCUAUGUGUUUCAAUAUCAACCGAAGAAGAAGCAAUAUGUGUGAGUAGAGUCCAUUCACGCACCUGUUUUCAAUCAUUGAACUUAUCAACUUCCAUCUCCAAUAAGCUUCAUGCAAGCUGAUCGAUGAUGUCUUGUGUGGCGUCCAAGUGCUUAUUGAGUCAGUAAGUUUGCCAAAUACCAGGUAAAACUGCCAUGCUAGAAGCACCAACCUGUAAAGAAGUUUUUUAGGAGGAAUAAUCUAAAAGGGAUAGUAAUAUUCACUCUUUAUUUAUUAAUUCAAUACUAACCUUGUCAAAUUAAAUCCUUAAACUAAAAAACUUGAGAAAUUAAUAUCUAUUAAAAACAAAAUAAAAUUUUCCUGUGAAAUACUAAUAAACUAUUGAAAAUUCUACGAACAAAACAUAUAAUAUCAAGCCCCCAAAAAUCCUAAAUUUAUUAAAAAGAUAUAUAGAACCUAACCACAAAUUUGAAACGGGUGGAGGAGGCCGAAAUACCACAAUAGGCCAUUAAUCCACCACAAAUACAUCCAAGGAGUAACCAUUAAUUGUUGACAAUAAAUGUGUUUCUCGAUUGUUUAAGUCCUAUGUCAAAAAUCAAAGUAAAAGGCUAGGAAAAAAAGUGAUAAGGCAUUAGAAAAGCCAGUGUGAAUUUUUUUAUCAAUGAAAUAUCUCUAAUCUACGAAAACAAAGACUCAAUGUGAAUUCUCCCAUAAUGAUACUUUCAUAAUAAUGUUCAACUGAUAUGAACGAAUGAAAAAGAAAUAGUUGAAUUAUUCUCAAGCCUCACAGUCAAUUACAUUUACUCGAGUUCUACAAACCAAUGAUUAAGAAAUCAAUUACCACAAAUCAACCAUACAAGGAAAGAAACCUAAUGGGUUGGAGAGAGGUUAGCAUGGAGGGAGACACAAUUAAGCUAAUAAUGAAAAUGCAAUAGGUCCAAUAAUUAUCUUUUGUGUUACAAUGGAAGCCUUUAUUCGACUGCUUCAUUAUACGAACCACCUAAAAUAACACUAUAAAAAAAAACGUGAUCAUCAUUGCCAUAUGACUUAGUACUUAUGUGCUACAAAUCAACAAGAAAAGUGUCAAGCAAUAGAAACUCUGCUGCAUAAAAACAAAGUUUAUAUAAACAAGAUAGAACUCCAUUUAGUACAAUUGAAUAAUAUUUUGAUAAGAGAGAUGUCGUAGAGUUACAGAGUUCUAAACAAUCAUUAUGAAAUGUUGCACAACAACUGUGUAUCUAACUACAAUGAGACAUAUGAAGAAGCAAAAUACAAAGACUUUCCAUGAACAUUUUAAACCAUAAACUAUUAAAAUCACAACCAUCCUCAACAUCCUCAUAAAAUUCUCUAGCUCCUCCCAAGCCAAAUGGCUUCACAUAAUGCAAAUAUAUUUUCUUCUUUUUUCUAAAAUAGAAACAAACCUCUUUGUUAACGAUAAUAAAUGAAACUAAAGUUCAAAGUACAAAAGUAUUACACUAAGAAUUAAAGAAACUAAGAGAAAAUAUAGACUAAAACUAAAAAGAAUACUAAAACUAAAACAUAAAUAUUAACGCAACCUAAAAACGUUGCAAACUAGUUCUAGCAUCUCAAAUCUUACCGCGUUAAGAAGAUCGACGCAAGCGCGAAGGCCUCUAUUGUUGGAGGCGUUGACGAGCCCACUCUAAAUUUACUCUAAAUCUCACAAACUUUUAAGAGAAGAAAUUUGUUCUCUUAGAAAACUCAAUAACACACAAGAGAAGAAUGUUGUUCUCUUGAAACUCACUUACUUUCUAAAACUCAAUUUUCUUCUAUUGAUUUGAUUCUUUUUAUCUUGUAUACAAAUGAAGGAAAUGAUCUCUAUAUAUAGUAUUCAAGAGACACUUCCUAAAAGACACAAAAUAAAUGAAGUACAUGAAUACAUACCAUUCAUGUACUUGAAUAAUUACAUGUAUCUAGAAAUGCAUAUGUAUCUUGAAACUAGAAAUGUAUCUAUUAAUCAAUCCAUAAUGUAUCUAGCUUAUUAAUUUCUAACAUGCCCCCUUAAGCUAGACUUCCCAAACUCCGAGCUUCUCUUUCAUUUUCAAGAAUGAAUCUGUCUUUAAUGCUUUUGUGAAUACGUCUGCAACUUGAUCUUGAGUCUUGCAAUACCUGAUAUAUACUUCUCCAUCUUUGAUCAAUUCUCUGAUGAAAUGAUAUUUGAUGUUUAUGUGUUUGCUUCUUCCAUGAAAAACGGGAUUCUUCGAAAGUGAAAUAGAUGAUUGAUUGUCACAGAACAUGAUGGUCCCUUUCUCUUGAGGACACUUCAAUUCAUGUAGUACAUUUCUUAGCCAAAGUGCUUGUAAUGCCCAAAGAAAAGGUAAAUAUAUAUAUUAUAUAUAUAUAUAUAUAUAUAUAUAUAUAUAUAUAUAUUUUAUUUUUAUUUUAAUAUUAAAAAAAUUCUUUAUUAUUUUUCUUUUCUUCUUUUUCUUUUUCUUUUCUUUUCUCCCUUCUUCCUCCCGUGCGCCGCGACCCUCCUUCCCCUUCUCUCCGUUCGCGCAGCAACCGCCCCAACCGUCCUCUUCUCCUUCCUCCCGUGCGCCGCGACGACCCAACCAUCUUCUUCUCUUCCGUUCGCAGCAGCUGUCGGCCGCCGCGUCUCCCCUACUGAAGCCGAGCGCCGCCACCUCCAUUCCGUUCUCCAUCUCCGUUCGCGAAGCAGCCUUGCAGCAGCCGCCCCGUAACUAUCCGGUCCAGAUCUGCGGCGCCGUUGCUCUUCCGCCGCUGCCCAGCCGUCUCAGCCGGUUCUGUCUCCGUCGAAGCCACGGUUCUGCAACCGUCUCCGCCGUCUCUAUCUCCGUCCGCGAGGCAAGUCGCACGCCUCAGUCACGAACAGCCUCGCUGACGCAGGUCACGCCGCAUCGCACGAGUUCGGCUACGUUGCCGGGCUACUCCCGUCCGCGCUUAACUGCUGUUGAACGUCCGAACCGUUCUGCCUUCGUCGAUACCCGCUGUCCCAUUUACGAAUCGCGGACCGGUUCGCGUGCAGAAGUGUUUUGCACGAUGUCUUUUGUGUAGAUCCUGCGACAACUUCUAUUUAACGUCGAUUGUCAAAGUCUUGUUACAAGAUAUUGGUAAGGAUGAGAUUGUUCGGUAAUAAGGUCUUACAUUUGUAAAUACAUUAAGAUGUGAUGUUGUUUAAUUGGUUGAAUUGAUCUUUGUUCUUGAAGGCGACAUCGGUGAUUUGGAGUUAGUGUCCUUGAGUUACUCCUUAAGCUUUGUUGGAGUUCGAUUCUUUACUCUUGGGGUUUGUUUGUUGGAAUUAGUUCGACCAAGAAAUUUUACAUAAAAUCGAGGUAAGGGAUUUUCUACUGGACUCACUUAUGAUUGUGAAUUGUAUGUCUGUAUGAUUAUCUCUGACUGAGUAAAGAUGAUGAGAUGAUAUAUAUAUAUACACACGUAUGGAUGUAGCUUCGGUGUUGAAUGUAUAUUGUGGAUUGACUGAAAAUAUAUAUAUGCAUAUGAAUUGAAGUAGACUUAAUGUUGAAUGCAUAUUGUGAUUGUCAUGGAAUAUAUAUAUGUGUGUGUGGAUGUGGACAGGACGAAAAUUGUAGAUUGUGCUUGUAUGAGAUGCAGAUGCGAACUUGUGAUUGUCGUUUAGAUUGGGUGUACGUUACGCUAAAGUAUGACUGUGUGCUGGUGAACUGAGGGGUGUAUUGACUGUAUAGUGGAUUGACUGAUGUAUUAGCAUUUUAUUGACAGACAUAUGAUUGUAGUAAAAUAAGUUGACUGUUAGGAUGUUGAAAGAAAGGACUUUGUGAUUUGAAGUAACUGAAAGAUGGGUUGAAUGGAAUGAGGGGAUAAAUUGUUAGGUUGUAUUGGGAUGUUUACCUUGUAGGUGUCCCACGGGAUCACCAAUUUAUUUUGCACCUUCGGAGCAUUUGACUGAUAUGUGUUUCUGCAGAACACUUGACUGAUAUGUACGUCCCUCGGGGCGUUAGACUGAUAUGUACGUCCCUCGGGGCGUUAGACUGAUAUGUACGUCCCUCGGGGCGUCAGACUGAUAUGUACGUCCUUCGGGGCGUUAGACUGAAAUGUGUAUCCUACGGGAUCACAAGACUGGCGACUGUACAGGGUGUCCCAAUAGAACUUUAACAAUUUAUUUUCCCCUGACGAGACCAGUAGAGGGUCUCUUACUGAGUAUUGUUAUACUCACCCUUCUUAUGUUUAAUUUUCAGGCAAAGGAAAUAAAGGUGGCAAACCGGCGAGGGGCAGGAAGGAAGCGUGAUUGCCAUAGGGAAUGUGUUAUUUUGCUUCCGCUUAUGAUUUCUUUUAAGGUUUAAGAUGUACUAAAUGUUAGUUUACAAACUUUUAUUUGUAAAUAGUGUUAUUGUUAAGUUUUCUUGAAUAUUUGAAAAUCAGGCCUGACAUGUUUUGUUUUUAAAUUGACUUAUGUUUCAAUUUGUAUCAAUCAAAGUUUAUUUGUUAAAAAUUAACGACCUCGACUUACCCAGAAAAGUUGGGCCGUUACAGUGCUUGACAACUAGCAACAGACAAAGAAAUGUAUUCAGCUUCUGUUGUGGACAGUGCUACAACAUCUUGCUUCUUUGAUGCCCAUGAAACUGCUCCAGAACCAAUAUUAAAUACAUACCCUGAAGUACUUUUGAAAUCAUCAAUAUUUCCUCCCCAAUCACUAUCACUGUAGCCAACAAGAACAUUAUCCACAUUCCUUUUAUAGUGGAUUCCAUGAUCAACAGUUCCAAGAAUGUAUCUAAGAACUCUCUUUCCAGCUUCCCAAUGACUUCUCUUUGGUGAUGUCAUAAAUCUACUCAAUAAACUGACCGAGAACAUAAUAUCAUGUCUAGUUGUAGUUAAAUACAUUAAACUUCCAACCAAACUUCUAUAAAUGGUGGCAUCAAAAGCUUCACUAACACCAUGCUUACUUAACUUUAAACCCAAUUCCAUAGGAGUACUGGCAGGAUAAGCAUUCUCCAUUUUGAACUUUUUCAACAAAUCUUUUGCAUACUUCUUUUGGAAAAUUGCAAUCUCAUUAUCACCUUGUUUAACUUCAAUACCAAGAAAAUAAUGAAGUAAACCCAUAUCAGUCAUCUCAAAUUCCUUUUUCAUGCUCUCUCUGAAUUCUUCAAUCAUCAUAUUUGAGUUGCCCGUAAAUAUUAAAUCAUCAACAUAUAGACAAAUUAUCAAGAAAUUACCAUUUUCAUCUUCUUUGGUGUAGAGAGCAUGUUCAUAUGGACAUCUUCUGAAACCAUCCUUUAAGAAAAAAUUGUCGAUGCGACUGUACCAAGCCCUUGGUGCUUGCUUUAGCCCAUACAAGGCUUUCUUUAAUCGACACACCUUAUUUUCUUCUCCAAUCUUUGCAUAACCGGGGGGUUGCUCAACAUAUAUUUCAUCCUCUAAAUACCCAUUUAGGAAUGCUGACUUUACAUCCAUUUGAUGAACUUUCCAGUUAUUUUUUGCUGCAAGGGCUAACAACAAACGAACAGUCUCCAAGCGAGUUACCGGUGCAAAAACUUCUUCAUAAUCCACACCAAACUUUUGUUUGUAACCUUUUACAACGAGUCUGGCUUUGUAUUUUUGCACUUCUCCGUUUUGCUUUAGCUUUGUUCUAUAGAUCCAUUUGACUCCAAGAGCCUUUUUAUUUUCUGGUAAUUUUACCAACUCCCAUGUCUCGUUUCUUCUUAUUGCAUCAAUCUCUUGAUUCAUUGCAUCUUUCCAAUUUUCAUCUUGAAUUGCUUCUUCAAAGUAUACAGGAUCAACAUUUGCAAAUAAAGCAAAAUCAACAUGUUCUUCAUCUAGUAUCCUUCUUGAAGUAUUAUAGAUCUCUUGAAUAUUUCUGGUCUUCCUUGGAGUAGUUUCUUCAUCACUUGUGGAGUGUGAUGAAGAAGGUGAAGUCAGUGGUUGAGUUACUUCAAGCUCCAAGUCUCGAGCAUCUUUUUUUCCAUCCAUAUCAACAUGUAAUGGAUUUUGGUCUUCAUUUGGUGCAUUCCAUUGCCACAAUUUUGCUUCAUCGAACUUGACAUCUCGACUAAUAAUAACUUUCUUACUUAUCGGAUUGUAUAGUCUGUAGGCCUUAGAGUUCUCACUGUACCCAACAAAAAUGCAUUUCUCUGAUUUAUCAUCUAGCUUACCUCUUUUCUCAUCUGAAAUGUGAGAGUAAGCAAUGCACCCAAACACUCUUAGGUGACUAACAGUUGGUUUCAAUCCGCUCCAUGCUUCUUGAGGAGUAAUACCUUGCACACUUUUCGUUGAAGCUCUAUUUAGGAGAUAAACAGCACAAGUUACUGCGUCUCCCCAAAAUUGAUCAGGAAGCUUCUUUGCCUUCAACAUACUUCUUGCAAGUUCCAUUAUUAUUCUAUUUUUCCUCUCUGCAACUCCGUUUUGUUGAGGAGUUCUUCGAACAGUCUUCUGAUGCUUGAUUCCAUUUUCCUUCAAGAAAUCUGCAAAAACAAUAUAUUCUCCUCCACGAUCCGAACGCAAUGAUUUCAAUUUCAAGUUACUUUCAUUUUCCACCAUUGCUUUGAAUGUCUUGAAACAUUCGAAAGUAGCACUCUUUUCUUUUAGUAGAUAAAUCCAUGUUUUUCGACUGUAGUCAUCAAUAAAUGUGAGAAAAUAACGGUUACCUCCAUGUGUAGUAGUUCUCAUAGGUCCACAUAAGUCUGUAUGAACAAGCUCGAGUGGUUUUGAUGCUCUCCAAGAACCUCCAGUCGGAAAUGAAUUUCGAUGAUGCUUUCCGAAAACACAUGCUUCACAGAGUUGAUCUUCCUUUUUAAUAUUUGACAUUCCUCUCACCGUAUGUUGUUGACACAUGUGAGACAAAGUGUCAAAACUUAGGUGCCCAAAUCGACAAUGCCAUAACCAUGAGGUGUCAUUUACUAAAGUCUCAAAACAAACAAGCUUCUCAUAACAUAUUUUAAUUGGAAACAUUUUGUUGUGAGUCAUACGAACCUUCGUUAUGAGAUCUCCAUUCUUGGUUCUAAUCUCACAUAUGUUAUCUUUAAAAAUAGCAUCAUGUCCUCUUAGGAGAAGUUGUCCAACACUUAAAAGAUUGUGUUUGAGACCUGAAACAUAAUACACAUCAGUAAUUUUUUUUGCUCCCAUUUUUGUCUUGACAAGAAUAUCUCCUUUUCCUUUGACUUCAAGCAUCUUGUUGUCACCAGUCUUCACUACACUUUGAUGAGAUUCAUCUAAAGAUAUAAAAAUAUCCUUUCUUCCUGUCAUGUGGUUACUACAACCACUAUCAAGAUACCAUAUUUCUUCAGUGCUUGAUUCUUGAACAUUGAGAGUGAGGAAGAGAAGACCUUGAUCAUUAUUUGAUUGCUCAUGCAUUAGUGUGGUUUCUGCUUGAUUAGAAUUAGUCUUCUUAGACCAACAGUCUGCUUGAAAAUGUCCAUAACGUCUACAAUUGAAACAUUGUAUGUGAGAAAAAUCUCCACGACCAUCACUUCUACCUCUUUUUAUCACUGAACUCUCUCUCUUUGCAUUUUCCUUCCGUCCUCUAUUUGAAAAAAAAUUGAUUGUCUCUGCUUUCUGACUCUGUAUUUGUUACAACGUUGGAUCGUCCAUUGCCUCUACCACCACGUCCACCUCUUCUUCCAUUGGACCGACCUCUAUAGGAGGACUGCAUAUGAAAAGCUUCUUCUGAAGGAUUAGAAUCAAACAUCUUCAAUCUGAGCUCAUGAGAUUGAAGAGAUCCCAUUAAGCUAUUUAUAGAGAGAGUUGACAAAUCUUUGGAUUCUUCAAUUGCUACAACAAUAUGCUCAUAUCUUCUAGUCAUGCUUCUAAGAAUCUUCUCAACAAUCCUUUGAUCUUCAAUUGUUUCUCCAUUUGAUCUCAAUUGAUUAACAAUUAAGAGAACACGGUUGAAAAAUUCUUCAAUAGUUUCAGAAUCUUUCAUUCGAAUUGUAUCAAAUUCAGCUCGAAGUGUUUGUAAUCGGACCAAUUUUACCUUUUCUUCUCCUUCAUACAAAUUUUGCAAUGCAUCCCAUGCUGCUUUAGCAGUAGAGACUCCUGAUAUUCUUUCAAAAAUAUUUUCAUCCACAGAUUGGUAGAUGAAAAAUAAUGCCUUCUUAUCCUUUUUUCUAGCAUCUCUCAACUCAUUGAGUUGUUGUGCUGAAAGACCAUUCUCACUUUCUGGCUCUGAAUAUCCGAUGUCAACAAUAUCCCAAAGAUCUUGAGAUCCAUAAAGAACCUUCAUUUGCUGGCUCCACCGCCUAUAGUUUUUUCCCUCAAAAUGAGGAAGUUGAGGCUGCAACAUGUUAGAUGACAUCUUUCAAUCCUUGCUCUGAUACCACUUUGUUGGAGGCGUUGACGAGCCCACUCUAAAUUUACUCUAAAUCUCACAAACUUUUAAGAGAAGAAAUUUGUUCUCUUAGAAAACUCAAUAACACACAAGAGAAGAAUGUUGUUCUCUUGAAACUCACUUACUUUCUAAAACUCAAUUUGCUUCUAUUGAUUUGAUUCUUUUUAUCUUGUAUACAAAUGAAGGAAAUGAUCUCUAUAUAUAGUAUUCAAGAGACACUUCCUAAAAGACACAAAAUAAAUGAAGUACAUGAAUACAUACCAUUCAUGUACUUGAAUAAUUACAUGUAUCUAGAAAUGCAUAUGUAUCUUGAAACUAGAAAUGUAUCUAUUAAUGUGUUAUCCAUAAUGUAUCUAGCUUAUUAAUUUCUAACAUCUACCACUUAUAUUACAGUUCUGCACAAAUAGAUAAAUAAUUUGCAAUUUGUUUCAAUUUUACUCUUGAAUCUACAUUGGGAUAAAAAGUAGUGACACCGAGGAAUAGUUUUUCUUUUUACCACUACUAGAUGAUCUUCCUUCUUUAAUAUGGAUGUAACUUGUUGUAACGACCCAACUUUUCUGGGUAAGUCGAGGUCGUUAAUUUUUGACAAAAGACUUUGAUUGAUACAAAAUGAAACGUAAGUCAAUUUAAAAACAAAUUAUGUCAGGCCUGAUUUUCAAAUAUUCAAGAAAACUUAAAAAUAACACUAUUUACAAAUAAAAGUUUGUAAACUAAGUUUUGAGUACAUCUUAAACCUCAAAAGAAACCAUAAGCGGAAGCAAAAUGACACAUUUCCUAUGGCAAUCACGCUUCCUUCCUGCCCCUCGCCGGUUUGCCACCUUUAUUUCCUUUGCCUGAAAAUUAAACAUAAGAAGGGUGAGUAUAACAAUACUCAGUAAGAGACCCUCUACUGGUCUCGUCAGGGGAAAAUAAAUUGUUAAAGUUCUAUUGGGACACCCUGUACAGUCGCAGUCUUGUGAUCCCGUAGGAUACACAUCUCAGUCUAACGCCCCGUACUAGGACGUACAUAUCAGUCUAACGCCCCGAGGGACGUACAUAUCAGUCUAACGCCCUGAGGGACGUACAUAUCAGUCUAGUGUUCUGCAAAAACACAUAUCAGUCAAAUGCUCCCGAAGGUGCACAAUAAAUUGGUGAUCCCGUGGGACACCUACAAGGUAAACAUCCCAAUACAAUCUAACAAUUUAUCCCCUCAUUCCAUUCAACCCAUCUUUCAGUUACUUCAAGUCACAAAGUUCUUUCUUUCAACAUCCUAACAGUCAACUUAUUUUACUACAGUCAUAUGUCUGUCAAUAAUAUGCUAAUACAUCAGUCAAUCCACUAUACAGUCAAUGCACCCCUCAGUUCACCAGCACACAGUCAUACUUUAGCGUAAUCAUACACCCAAUCUAAACGAGAAUCUCAUACAAACACAAUCUACAAUCUCCGUCCUGUCCACAUACACACAUUUAUAUAUAGAUUCCAUGACAAUCACGACAUACAUUCGACGUCAAGUCUACUUCAAUUCAUAUACAUUCAUAUAUAUUUUCAGUCAGCCCACAGUAUACAUUCAACACACAUGCAGUUCACAAUCACAGUUCACAAUCACAAUUGAGUCCAGUAGAAAAUCCCUUACCUGGAUCUUUAUGUAAAAUUCCUUAGUCGAACUAACUUCAACAAACAAACCCCAAGAGUAAAGAAUCGAACUCCAACAAAGCUUAAGGCGUAACUCAAGGACACUAACUCAAGGACACUAACUCCAAAUCACCGAUGUCGCCUUCAAGAACAAAGAUCAAUUCAACCAAUUAAACAACAUCACAUCUUAAUGUAUUUACAAAUGUAAGACCUUAUUACCGAACAAUCUCAUCCUUACCAAUAUCUUGUAACAAGACUUUGACAAUCGACGUUAAAUAGAAGUUGCCGCAGGAUCUACACAAAAGACAUCGUGCAAAACACUUUUGCACGCGAACUGGUCCGCGAUUCGUAAAUGGGACAGCGGGUAUCGACGAAGGCAGAACGGUUCGGACGUUCAACAGCAGUUACGUGCGGACGGGAGUAGCCCGGCAACGUAGCCGAAUUCGUGCGAUGCGGCGUGACCUGCGUCGGCGAGGCUGUUCGUGACUGAGGCGUGCGACUUGCCUCGCGGACGGAGAUAGAGACGGCGGAUACGGUUGCAAAACCGUGGCUUCGACAGAGAUAGAACCGGCUGAGACGGUUGGGCAGCGGCGGAAGAGCAACGACGCCGCAGAUCUGGACUGGCAGCGGCGCAGUCUUGCUUCGCGGCGGGGCUGCGGACGGAAGAAGAAAAUGGAAGGAAAGGAUCGGCGGCUGGCUGCGGUUGGCUGCGGCGGGACGGGAAGAAGAAGAUAGAGGUGGUGGUAGCGGCUGGGCUGCGGCUGGCCACGAACGGAAGGAGAAGAGGACGGUUGGGGCGGUUGCUGCACGAACGGAGAGAAGGGGAAGGAGGGUCGCGGCGCACGGGAGGAAGAAGAAAAGGGAAAAAAAAAGAAAUUUUCUUUUUCUUUUUCUUUUUAUUUAAAAAAAUAUAUAAAAUAAUUAUAAUAAAAUAUAUAUAUAUAUAUAUAUAUAUAUAUAUUUAAAAUUUUCAUUUUCUUUUCUUUUAUUUAAUAAAAUGUAGAAUAAAUAUUAAUAAGUAAAAUAUAAUUAAAUACAUAUAUAUUUAAUUAUAUUAAUACAUUUUCAAAUCUUCUUUCUCCCCUUCAACAUAUUUAAAAAAAAAUCUUGAACAAAUCGAAAUAAUUCUCUCAAAAUAAUUUACCUUCAAGUUUGGGGCGUUACAUUCUUUCCUCCUUAAGAAACUUUCGUCCUCGAAAGUUCUAAUCCUGAAAUAACUCUGGAUAACGAGUCCUCAUCUCUUCCUCUCGCUCCCAUGUCGCCUCUUCAAUUCGAUGAUUCCGCCACAAAACCUUUACUAAUGGAAUGCUUCUAUUACGAAGCAUCUUUACCUCUCUAGCCAGAAUCUCCACAGGUUGUUCUACAUAGCUCAAAUGCUCAUCAAUCUCCAAGGGUUCAUAGUCCACUACAUGAGAUGUAUCGGCCACAUACUUCCUCAACAUCGAAACAUGGAAAACAUUAUGGACUGCAGAGAGAGAUGAUGGUAAUGCCAAGCGAUACGUCACAACACCAACCCUCUCUAAGAUCUCAAAUAGUCCAACAAAUCGAGGACUUAACUUCCAUUUCUUCUCAAAACGCAUAACACCCUUCAUAGGUGCUACCUUCAAGAAUACCUUUUCUCCCACAUCGAACUUAAGGUCUUUUCGCCGUACAUCCGCAUAACUCUUCUGUCUACUCUGCGCUGUUUGCAUACGUGCUCUAAUCUUUUGAAUAGCCUCAUUAGUAGACCGAACUAAUUCAGGUCCCAUCAAUCUAUGUUCACCAACCUCACCCCAACAAACAGGGGUUCUACAACAUUUGCCAUACAAAGCCUCAAAUGGUGCCAUACCGAUGGUAGCCUGAAAACUGUUGUUAUAAGCAAACUCCAUCAAAUGUAGAUGAGAGUCCCAACUACCUGGAAACUCUAUAACACAAGCUCGUAGCAUAUCCUCUAAAACUUGGUUCAAACGUUCAGUUUGACCAUCAGUCUGUGGAUGAAAGGCUGUACUAAAAUCCAAUCUCGUACCCAUAGCAGUCUGAAGUCCCUUCCAAAACUUGGAAGUAAACCGUGCAUCCCUAUCAGAAACAAUCGAUACAGGCACUCCAUGCAGUCUCACAAUCUCAGUUAAAUACAACUCUGCCCACUUACUAGCAGUAUAAGUGGAUUUCCCUGGUACAAAAUGUGCCGAUUUCGUAAGCCUAUCGACAAUAACCCAAAUCACUGUGUAACCCUUCAGGGUUUUAGGCAAUUAUAUAAUAAAAUCCAUAGAUACAUUCUCCCACUUCCACUCUAAUAUACUCAAAGGUUGCAACAAACCUGUUGUUUUCUAUCUUGGUGCUUUAACCUACUAGCACACCAAGCACUUACUAACAAGAUUUUCCAUUUCUCUCUUCAUAUUACGCUAGUAACAAACUCUUUUCAAAUCCGGAUACAUUUUUGUGCUACUUGGAUGCAUGAGAAAUGGGAAACUAUGAGUCUCAACCAAUAACCUUGUCUUAAUUGCAUUUUCUGUUGGCACACACAAUUCUCUCUCAAACAUAAGUUCAUCAUCAAAGGAUAUGGAAAACUCCUUAACUUGCCCUACUUCUACUAGGCGAUGCUUCUCAAUCAAAUAAGGAUCAAUGAAUUGAACCACAAGAAUUCUUUGUCUCAAGAUCGGAUGUACUGACAACUGAGCUAACUGUGAGGUGACUUCCCCCACUGAAACUACAAUCUCAGCUCUCUCGUGGUUUUUGUCUAAUGAAACCUGUCUGGUAAUAAGUGCUGUCAAAAUGUGAUACUUUUCUACGAAGAGCACCAACUUCCACAUUCGCCUUACCUAGAUGGUACAAAAUCUCACAAUCAUAGUCAUUUACUAACUGAAACCAUCUUUGCUAUCUCAUACUCAACUUCUUUUGAGUGAAGAAGUAUUUUAUACUCUUUUGGUUAGAAAAUAUCUAUAUCUUUUCAUCAUACAUAUAGUGCCUUCAAAUCAUUAAUGUAAAAACCACAACUGUCAAUUCCAUAUCAUAAGUUGGACAAUUUUCCUCACGAGGAGUACAAGCAACUACUUUAACUUGUUGAAUAAGAAUACCUUUUAAACUUUCCUAAAAGCAUCACUAUAAAUUACGGAACAUUCUGAACCAUCAUGUACGGUAAGCACGGGAGUUGUACAAGCUUCUGCUUAAGAUCCUGAACACUAUCCUCAUAGGCUUUGUCCCAAACAAACGGAGUCCCUUUUCUUAGUUAACUGAGUCAAAGGAGUAGCUAUACGAGAAAAUUCUUAUACAAACCGUUAGUAAUAACCUGCUAACCCUAAAAGACUAUGAACCUCACUGACUAUGAAAAGUCGAGGCCAACUAGUAACAACUUCAAUCUUUUGUGAGAUCCACAUAAAUGUCACCUCUAGAUACCACAUGGCUUGGAAAGAUACUUGGCCUCAUCCAAAACUCACAUUUUGAAAACUUUGCAUACAAUUUGUUGACUCGAAGAGCCUCUUAAAACCAUGUUAAAUGCUCCUCAUGCGCUGUCUCUAUUUUGGAAUAAAUUAAGAUAUCGUCAAUAAAUACAAUCAUGAAAGUGUCUAAGAGAUCGUUAAACACUUUGUUCAUCAAGUCGUAAACAUUGUUUGAGCAUUUGCCCACUCAAAAGACAUCAUAAUGAACUCGUGAUGUCCAUAUCUCGAACGAAAAUCUGCCUUAGGAAUGUCACUGUUCUCUAAUCCUCAACAAGUCAUAACCUGAAUGUAAUUCAAUCUUAAAGAACACGGACUUAUUGCAGUUGAUCAAACAAAUCCUCAUUCAUUGGUAAAAGAUAUUUAUUCUUAACCGACACCUUAUUCAACUUUCUACAAUCAAAACAUAAGUGCAUCGACCCAUCUUUCUUCUUAAUAAACAAAAAUUGGUGCACCCCAAGAUAACAUACUUCGUCGAAUGUAGUCCUUGUCAAACAUUUCUUUCAAUUGCACCUUCAAAUCUUUCAACUCUGUUGGGGCCAUUUUGUAUGAAGCUUUAGAUAUAGGAACGAGUCUAACUCUAUCUCAAUAGCAAGACCAAUUUCUGUUUAGCGCGGUAAUCUUAGAAACUCUUCUAGAAAAAUAUCAUAAUACUUUUUCACCACUGAUUCAAAUAACAAAGAAACAUCGACUUCUCUGGUGUCUACCACACUAGUCAAAUACAACAGGUACCCUGGUCAAGCAACUUACUAACCUUCAUAGCUGGGAUAACUUUUAGCGAAACGAUAGUUCCAACCUCUUUGUACUUGAAACUAGCCUCUGGAGAAGGAUUAGAAACUACAUUUUCGCUGAACAUUUUAUGUUUACAUGGUUAAACUACAUUCCAACUUUCAAACUCCAAACUAGUAACUUUUCAUUCACGAGAAACAAAACUCAAAAUUGUUUCUUAAAGUCACAUCAAGACAACCAUGCUCAUCUUCCUUGUUUCUUUUCCAAUACCUCCAUUCUAAAACCAUUUAAUGUGUUUCGUAUAAACUUGACCGUGUAUUUAGUCCUCUUUAAAACCACCUACAUAACUUAUUUUUCUUAGAUUUCCAAUCACAAAACAGACAAUUUCGCUAACAACGUCUUACUUUUCUACUACUCGACCACUCCUUUGAACAUCUCUACAUGGCAACAUUUUUCCUAAGUUUCACCAUUAAAUCCUUCACCAUUAAAUCAUAACAUUCAUGUAAUUCUAGUUUAACUUAGGCAAGGUCAUAUACAUAAACCAUACAUAUAAACAUAAAGCAUACCUGACGAGAGACGAAGGGUCGCGUUAGCCAUAGGAACACAAAAACAUAGACUUACAUCGUAAGUCAGUCUACAGAACCUAAAACUUAGGCUCUGAUACCAACUGUAAUGACCCAACUUUUCUGGGUAAGUCGAGGUCGUUAAUUUUUGACAAAAGAUUUUGAUUGAUACAAAAUGAAACGUAAGUCAAUUUAAAAACAAAUUAUGUCAGGUCUGAUUUUCAAAUAUUCAAGAAAACUUAAAAAUAACACUAUUUACAAAUAAAAGUUUGUAAACUAAGUUUUGAGUACAUCUUAAACCUCAAAAGAAACCAUAAGCGGAAGCAAAAUGACACAUUUCCUAUGGCAAUCACGCUUCCUUCCUGCCCCUCGCCGGUUUGCCACCUUUAUUUCCUUUGCCUGAAAAUUAAACAUAAGAAGGGUGAGUAUAACAAUACUCAGUAAGAGACCCUCUACUGGUCUCGUCAGGGGAAAAUAAAUUGUUAAAGUUCUAUUGGGACACCCUGUACAGUCGCAGUCUUGUGAUCCCGUAGGAUACACAUCUCAGUCUAACGCCCCGAGGGACGUACAUAUCAGUCUAACGCCCCGAGGGACGUACAUAUCAGUCUAACGCCCCGAGGGACGUACAUAUCAGUCUAACGCCUCGAGGGACGUACAUAUCAGUCUAGUGUUCUGCAAAAACACAUAUCAGUCAAAUGCUCCCGAAGGUGCACAAUAAAUUGGUGAUCCCGUGGGACACCUACAAGGUAAACAUCCCAAUACAAUCUAACAAUUUAUCCCCUCAUUCCAUUCAACCCAUCUUUCAGUUACUUCAAGUCACAAAGUUCUUUCUUUCAACAUCCUAACAGUCAACUUAUUUUACUACAGUCAUAUGUCUGUCAAUAAUAUGCUAAUACAUCAGUCAAUCCACUAUACAGUCAAUGCACCCCUCAGUUCACCAGCACACAGUCAUACUUUAGCGUAAUCAUACACCCAAUCUAAACGAGAAUCUCAUACAAACACAAUCUACAAUCUCCGUCCUGUCCACAUACACACAUUUAUAUAUAGAUUCCAUGACAAUCACGACAUACAUUCGACGUCAAGUCUACUUCAAUUCAUAUACAUUCAUAUAUAUUUUCAGUCAGCCCACAGUAUACAUUCAACACACAUGCAGUUCACAAUCACAGUUCACAAUCACAAUUGAGUCCAGUAGAAAAUCCCUUACCUGGAUCUUUAUGUAAAAUUCCUUAGUCGAACUAACUUCAACAAACAAACCCCAAGAGUAAAGAAUCGAACUCCAACAAAGCUUAAGGCGUAACUCAAGGACACUAACUCAAGGACACUAACUCCAAAUCACCGAUGUCGCCUUCAAGAACAAAGAUCAAUUCAACCAAUUAAACAACAUCACACAUCUUAAUGUAUUUACAAAUGUAAGACCUUAUUACCGAACAAUCUCAUCCUUACCAAUAUCUUGUAACAAGACUUUGACAAUCGACGUUAAAUAGAAGUUGCCGCAGGAUCUACACAAAAGACAUCGUGCAAAACACUUUUGCACGCGAACUGGUCCGCGAUUCGUAAAUGGGACAGCGGGUAUCGACGAAGGCAGAACGGUUCGGACGUUCAACAGCAGUUACGUGCGGACGGGAGUAGCCCGGCAACGUAGCCGAAUUCGUGCGAUGCGGCGUGACCUGCGUCGGCGAGGCUGUUCGUGACUGAGGCGUGCGACUUGCCUCGCGGACGGAGAUAGAGACGGCGGAUACGGUUGCAAAACCGUGGCUUCGACAGAGAUAGAACCGGCUGAGACGGUUGGGCAGCGGUGGAAGAGCAACGACGCCGCAGAUCUGGACUGGCAGCGGCGCAGUCUUGCUUCGCGGCGGGGCUGCGGACGGAAGAAGAAAAUGGAAGGAAAGGAUCGGUGGCUGGCUGCGGUUGGCUGCGGCGGGACGGGAAGAAGAAGAUAGAGGUGGUGGUUGCGGCUGGGCUGCGGCUGGCCACGAACAGAAGGAGAAGAGGACGGUUGGGGCGGUUGCUGCACGAACGGAGAGAAGGGGAAGGAGGGUCGCGGCGCACGGGAGGAAGAAGAAAAGGGAAAAAAAAAAGAAUUUUUCUUUUUCUUUUUCUUUUUAUUUAAAAAAAUAUAUAAAAUAAUUAUAAUAAAAUAUAUAUAUAUAUUUAAAAUUUUCAUUUUCUUUUCUUUUAUUUAAUAAAAUGUAGAAUAAAUAUUAAUAAUAAAAAUAUAAUUAAAUACAUAUAUAUUUAAUUAUAUUAAUACAUUUUCAAAUCUUCUUUCUCUCCUUCAACAUAUUUAAAAAAAAAUCUUGAACAAAUCGAAAUAAUUCUCUCAAAAUAAUUUACCUUCAAGUUUGGGGCGUUACACUUGUGCUAGAAAUUCAGGAUUCUUUACUUAACCUAUUCAUUAGCAAAAUGUUAGAUUGCAUAGGAUCAAACAUACGAGAGUUAAUCUAAGAAAAUGUAUCUAGGUCAAUGCUUAGCAGCGCAAAACAUCUAAUUUGCAGAGGUGUUAAGAUAGCUCAUUAAUAUACAUUUCCUCGUAGGAAAAUUGCAAUUGAUAACCAUUUCAACAAUAAUAAUUAAGAUUAUAACAAAAUUUUAAAAAAAUUACAAAUAUAGCAAAACUAUCAUUGAUAGACUUGUAUUGCUGAUAAAUUUCGUAUGGUCUAUCACGAUAGACAAAUAUUUGUAACAUGAUCUAUCGGUGAUAAACUUAUAUCAUUGAUAGAAUUUGACAAAUUUUUCUAUAUUUACAAACUUUUUAAAAUGUUGCUAUAUACUUAAUUAUUUUAAAUUUAAUCACUAAAUUUGCAACUAACAUUAUCUAGUACUAAACACCUUCAUGUAUCUUUUGGCCUAUUGUAUAUCGAGGCCCAAAUUCUAGAAUAUUAUUCUCUUGUAUUAAUUGAGCGUGGAUGUGUGUAUUGUAAGAGUUUCUCAUCCUCGCUUUUUUAUUUAUAUGCCUAUUGUGAUCGAUAUCAUAUAAUAAGGAUAACCACCCAUUUUCUUCUGUAUCAAUUUCUUCCUCUCUCUUUGAACUUUAUCAUUCCAUUUUUUAUUGUUAUUUUUUUUAAUACGGCUGCAAAACCAAAAUUUUCUACAUUUUUUAUCAUAGUUGUUGAAUUUUUCUUAAAAUAUAUCUCUCAUUUUGCAAUUAAAUAUUUGCUUAGGUAAGUUACUAUUCUAAAAGCUAACCAAAUCUAGUUUGUUAUCAUCGUAGAAAAUUGGCAAUUAGCAAUUUGUAGCAUUGGAGAUAUUCUUAAGUUUCUUGAAUUUAUUAAAUAAUGAAUCAUUAAUUCAUUUUUACCCUUUUCCGUUGAUUUCAUCAUAAGUCCAUUCUCCAAGUUUUGUAGCAAAUCUCACAUUUUCACCAACUAAUGUUGUUUUGUUGCAGAGCUCAAUCUCAAACAUAGCAUAGUAAAACACGAUUAAUUUUAUUUUAUCUCAUUCUUUUUUGACACAAUGUAAUUUUUCCUUUUACCAAUAAGUCUUAAUUUACGACGAAGGUUUUUUCGGAUUUGAAGUCCAAAUGUGGGUUUUGUGUUUUAAUCUUAGAAGAAUAACGAUUUAUUUUAAAUGUUUAGAUGACAUUUUAGUUUUUGAGAGGUUAAGAAACAUUUUAUCUUUUAAGAGAUUGAAUCAAAUUUUAUUUUCUUUAAAUAAAAUAUUUUAAAUAUAAAUAAAGUCUAGUUAUUACAAUUUUUUUAAAAAAAUGUAACUUUGAAAUAAAUUAAUUGUAGAUACUAUAUGGGGUAUUUUUGUAUUCUAAUAAUUAGUAAUUAAUUAAUUUCAAAUUAGUUUUGCUAUUUCUCAUAAUCGAAAUACAUCUUACCAUUUUCCAAAAUGAAAAAGUUCGAAAGGUAAAUUACACUAAUGAUUGUAAGUCACCAUUUUUCAAAUUUUAAUUAAGGUUGUAGCACACAUUUACAUUCAACCCUUCAAAUCAUUUAAAUAUUGAAAAAAUAACAUUAAUGGAAACGAAGCAAAUUCUAUUUGGAAAACAAAAUAGAAAAGAAAGUCAAAUUGCAUAAUUAUAGGUUUUCAUAAAAGUCUAUUGAAUCCCCACUCAUUCGCAAUAAAUAUUGUUUUCACAAUUCUAAUGGGAUAAUUUCUAUAUAGUUUUCACAAGUCUAAUGGGAUAAUUUCUAUCUUUAUUGUCAUAUGAAUAUUUAAUGUUGAAUUUUAUCUUAUAUAACGUAGAAGUAUAUAUAUAUAUAUAUAUAUGCAAUAAGAAAUGUGAUACUUGUUGAAUUCUAAAAAAUUAUGAUUUAUUAAAAAUAUAUGUAAAGACUCUUCUCAAUAAAUAAAUAGUCAAUUUGGCAAUAUUCAACAACUCACACAUAAAAAGUCACAUGAGAUAUGGUAUACAUGGGGUUUAUUUCUAUAUUUGUUUUCAAUUUCAAAUAUAAUGUAAUUUUUUUCAAAUAAUCUGAAGAUGCCUUCUAUGUUAGUUUAUAUACAUAGGUAUAUAUGAUAAAGUAUACAAAAUUUACAACUCAAUUUCAAAUAUACACACUUGUAUGUAUAUAUGACAAAAUAUCUAAAAUUUACAAUUCGAUUUCAAAUAUACACGUAUAUAUGUGAUAUGUGGAAUAUAUAUCUAAAUAAAAACGAGGUUGAAAUUAAAAUAUAAAGUAUAUAUUAUAUAACCACAUUAUAUUUGUAUUUAUGAAAAAAUAUUCCGUGUAUAUAUAUUUGAAAAUCAAAAUAAUGUAUUUGUAAUCAUACUUAUGAAAUUGGAAAUUAUGAUUUUUAAGUCAAAAUUCGAAAUCUACAAAAUAGGAAAAUUUGCACCUACAUCAAUAUAUUUAUAAUCUAAACCUAAUUACGUAAACAAAUUCCUAAAUAUAGCGAUUUUUUCCUCCUCAGUUAGAGAAUACAAAGAAACAACAUUAAAUUAAAACCUAAGUAUUAAAUAAAAUUGACUGUUGUAAUGAAUUCUACAAAAAUAAAUCUCAAUUUUUUGGUAAAAUCAAUGGUAUCAUUUUAAAUUAAACCAUGGUAUUAAUCAAGAGAUAGAGAGAGUGCCACAGAGUUAAAUUUGUCUCAGUUUAUUUAUUUAUUUUUGUAGAAAUCUAUAAGUAUAUAUGUGCAAAUUAAGUCAUUUGUGAAAUUUUGCAUUUGAGGUAGAUUAUAUCUUUAAAUAUUUCUCCAAAAAUUACCCAAUAUAGAAGUGUUUUGAAUUGUAUAGCAAAUACGUGAAAUCCAUGCACAUGAUUCUAAUUUCUGUUAAUCCUAAAAAGGUCAUCAUCAACUUCUUUUAAUUAUUACGAUAUAAUAAAUCCAUCAAAUCCAAAUAGAAGAUAUUUUGACAUAAAUCUCGAUCCUAAUGUAGAAAAUUUUCAAACCUGUAUCAACAAUUAUUCAAUACACUGAUUUUGAUUUGAAUUUUCAAUUCUUAUGUUAUGUUAUUUUUUCUAAAUCUAAUCCUACCUAAAUUAUAGAGGUUCUAAGUUAUUUUUUUUUAUUAUAUUUGUUAGCAAAUUCAUUUUAGACAUAAAUCUAUACAAAUCUUAUUAUUUUUACCAGAAAAAUGGUUGAUCUAUAUAAAUCUUAUUAUUUUUAUAAGAAAAAUGGUUGUCAACAGAACAAAAUUAAAACUAUUUACAAAAUAUAACAAAAAAAAAAAAAAAAGUCAAGUAAGCUAUAAAAAAUAUAAAAAUUUUACCAUAGUUUAUAAAUAGUUUGAAUAUUUUACCAUAUUUGAAAAUAUUCAUUUCUAUAAUUGGAUAUUUAUCGUUAUCUUUACUAUAAUUUUAUUUUAAACAUGAAAUAUAGGGUUUGAGUUCAUAAUGCCUUUUCUUCAUUAACGAAAUCAAUCUCAUAUUUAAACAAAUUAGACUAGAGACAACCAUUGUGAACUCUCAAUUAACUGUAUCACUACCACAAACUACAAAAGCCAACAUGUUAUCAAAAACUCUUUUUGACGAUAUUAGCAAAGAUGACUUUCGUUUUUUGUCUAUCAAAAAAACUGAAAAGCUCUUUAUGGCCAAAACAUGCCAUAAAAAGAUUUCCUUUUUCUUCACCUUAGCUCCAUAUUGAUAUCUUCACGAUCUUGAUUUCCUCCUCAAUGAAUUGUAACAUUGAGAUAAAAGAUUAUAAAUAGCUUCUACAAAUUUUUGAUGCAGAGGUGGGGAUUUGAAUCCAAAGCCUCUUAUCCUCAAGUACGUAUAAGCGUCAGUUGAGCUAACCUCGUGUUGACCAGCUUUUAUAGCUUAGCUUCUACAAAUUUUAAAAAUCCUAAAUUAAAAAUUUUCAAUUCAACUCAUUAAAGUUCAACAAAAUAACUAAUUUAAUUUUGAUAAAGUACUAUCACUUAUUCCAUUUGAAUUAUAAUUACAAUAGUUAACUUUUAAAAACUUUUUAAAAAAUAAUAUUGUAUUAUUGAUGAAUAGAAAGUAAUAUUUGAAAAAAAAAAAAUAGUAAAGAUUUAAGAAUAUUAUUUAUGAAUAUCGUGUUUUCUAAGUCCGUUAACAAGGAUCCGAAUUUCGUGUUUCAUGGAAAGUAAUUUUAUAGGAUAGUUGCAAAUCUAGCAAUUAGAUUCAAAAUAAUUAAGUAUAUAACAACAUUUUAAAAAAUUUACAAAUAUAGCAAAAUUUGUCAUUCUAUCCAUGAUACAAGUCUAUCAUCGUAGACUAUAUUGUAAAUAUUGAUCUAUCAUUGAUAGAUUAUACGAGUCUAUCAACGGUACAAGUCUAUCAGUAAUAGUUUUGCUAUAUUUGCAGUUUUUUUUUUAUAUAUUGUUAUAUCUUUAAUUAUUAUUCCUUAAAUAGUCAUCAAUUACAAUUACCCUAGUUUUUUUCUUGAUAGGCAAUGUCCAUCAAGAUAUCAUUUAUCUUGAUGAGUCUUACCCAUGAUCUUAUCCUAAACCAAAUAUUAUAAAUUAUUUUCUUGAUGAGAUAUCAUUUUUCUUGACAGACUUUGCCCAUGAUUUUUUUAUUUUUUUGUCUUUGUCCAUCAAGAAACCCUAGACCCAUCAAGAAAUCCAUAACAAAUAUAUUAAUUUUUUUCGAUGAUGUCCAUUGCAAACCAAGAAAAUUCAUCUCUUGAUGGGUCUCGUCCAUAAAAAAAACCUAACUAACUUAAUAGACAUUGUCAAUCAAGUAAUAUAUUGUCCUUGAUAUUUAUUGUCCAUCUAAAAAUAGGUUUUCUUGACGUUUAUGGACCAUCAACAAAACUAAAGGAACUUUGCCCAUAAAAAAAUCAAGAAUCCAUAUUUUUUUAACGUUUUUUUGCAUUUCUUCAACAAAAUAAGGGGACUUUUCUUGACGUACAUGACCAUCAAGAUAAAUAUUGUAUCAAGAAAAAUAUUUUUCUUGAUGGUCCUUUGCCAUGACCAUCAAGAAAUCGAAAUUUGGGUGCGUUAAGAAAGACCAAAUUUGAUUAAGAGAACUCACUAAAUGAAUAUUUGUUCAUCUUGUUUUAAUAAUAUAUGAAAAAUUGCAUCAGAUGAUAAUUUUUUUUUAUAAAAAAACCGUCUAUAGCACAUACUUUUUUUGCAUAAUAUGACAAACAAUUAGAUAUAUCAAAAGGUUAUCAAAUGGCUAAGGUACUCGUUCAAGCUUGGGUUUUAAGAAAUCUCCCUUUAAAUUUAUGAGCGUGUGAACUUGUUUGAUGUAAUGAUUUUUAGUUUCAAUUCUAACUAUAUUUUGUUAUAUGUUCGGACGCAUGGGAAAUGUUAACUUCUGUUUUACAUUGAAUCUUUGACUCGUGACAAUUUUACAAUAUUUAGUUAGAAGCAAUAUAUAAUAAGUUUAUAAGUUAGCUGAAAUUAGACAUUCCAUGGGAGUAUGUCUCAAUCUUAAUGCUAUUAGAAAAUUCAAGUAUACAUGCAACAACCAACCUCCUUGAGAAAAUUUAGUUAUGUUAAGUAAUUAGAUUUGUUAUGUGAAGGUUUAGAUAAAUGGUGAUAGCUGAAUGAAUAAAAUGUUUGGAUAGGGUGACAUCAUUAUAACUCAAGCUAAACCUCUUUUUUAUUGAAUCUUUACAAUUCCUUACAUGCAAUUUAAUUUUCUACCAAUUGAAAUCAACUUCAAAAACUCCCUUCAAUUACUAGGGUUGGAAACAAAAGAGACGUUAAAAAUUCUCCACUCAUAGCUUCUUCAACUAUAUUAAAGAUUUAAUCAAAUCAUAUUCAUCAAAUUUUAACAACUAAAUGGACACCAAACCCUAAAUUUAAAAAUUUAAAAAUUAAAAAUUAUAAGAAGUAGAUUCUAAUUUUCUCCAAACUAUAAUCAUCAUCUAAUUUAUAUUUUGACUAUUAAAAACAUGAAUGAUACAAAAUAUAAAGUAGGUAAAGAGUAUAGGUCUUUAUACUUAUGUUUUAGUGUAGUUACAGUAGAAGAAUUCAAACCACAAAUCUCAGUUUGUUACUCAACACAAUUCCUAACAUAAAUUAUAUAUCAAUUGAGCUUUACUAGAUUUGGAAAUUUAUAUGAUACUAUUUCAGAGAUAAUUUAUUUGUCAACCUCUUUUCUAAAGUUAAAAGAAUAACUUAUAUUAUGAUAUAACUAUGAUUGUUUGGAUAGAAGGUGUUAGUUGAGCUAAACAAAUUUCUUUCAUGAAAGGGAGAGACUGAAGUGAUUUGUUGGGUAAAGUUCUCUAGAUGGUUAUUCUGUAUUUUGGACGAGAAUAGCCUUUUCCCCAUGUUUGGUCCUUCUUUGUGAGGUUAUAUAUAAUUUCCUUUGACAAAAUAAUAAAGUCUCAUUCUCUCAUUAAUAAGAAUAUGCUUUUUGUUUGUCUUCAAUAAAUUUGGGUGCGACCUUUUUUUUUUGUCCUUUUCAUUUGAUAGCCUUUCUCAAUUUUCUUAGACUCAAUUUUUUUUCUUUCAAUUGUAUCCACAUAUAUAUAUAUAUAUAAAGAAAAAAGAAUUACACCGUAAUGUAUUUCAUAUUGAUAAAUUUUCUCCUUAAGUUAAGAAUCUUCUCACGGAAGGACCAUCCUAUUUACUUAUAUACAAAGACACCGUAUGGUUGAAUUUUGUUAACGAUGUCCAUCUAUUUUUUUCUAUUAUACUUAGAUGUAUAUGGUUACAUCUAUGUUCGUGUAUUCCUUCGAUCACAAAAGAAAAUCAUGUUUAAUUUUUCUAAUUAGAAUAACAAUUUGUGAUUGGAUACUUGGAUAAAGUUGUCCAAAGAUAAAGGCAUAUGACAUGUACUUGAUAAAGAACUCAUAAAUGUCUUUCUUGUUUUCAAACAUAAGUUGAAAUAGAUGGUGGAAGAAACUCAGAAACUUCAAAUUUGUAGAUGUUCACACUUCAUGUUUUUGGCCUUGUAAAAGUAUGCAAUGAUCUGUUUCGGCUUUUGAAAGCCACGUACUACAAAUAAAAAACCACCUAAUUGCUUUGGUUAUAGAAAGAAAAUAUAAUGUUCAAGUAGAAAUAAAAGUUGUAAUUAGCAUGGAGAAACUCUCCUUCCAUGUGUUGUGCAAUUGUUUUGCUCAUUUUUGCGUGUCUUUCUUCUACUUUCAAGGUCUACAAUUUCUAAAGAAAUUGGUGGGUAGAUUUCUACAAAUUCUGCUUUACUAAACUAGUAACUUUUACCUAGUUGAUGUUUUUAUUUAAAAAAAAAACGUCAAAUAUCGAUCACUUAAAAAAAAAAACGUCAAAUAAAGUUUUAAAAAAUUGAAGUUUUUGGAAAAAAUUUCAAACUAUUUUACGUUAAUUUUACCUUGACAUUUUUUUCGCGACAAGUAUAAUAGGCCCGUUUAGACUGAUACUCAAACUUCAUCUAAGUUUAAGUCACAACAUCAAGUUCAAGUGCUCAUACUGUAGCUAAAGAACUUUGGUUUAUUGAAUUUUGAGUUUAUAACAAGCAUAUCUCUUAUUCAAUAACUUAUCGAAAAAUACUAUAAAAACUAAAUCGUAGAAUAUUUUAACAUUAACAAAUCACGACUGUUUUUUUUGGAAAGAAAUUGUAACUAUAUAUGUAUAUAUAUAAUUUUCACAUGGUCCCUUUGAUCGAUGGAGUCUGGCGUCUAAGUUUCGUUUGUAAUGGUGGAUUUAGGUUUAAAUAUUUGAUUUGAAUUUGGGAAACAACCCACUAUUAUUGUACGGGAAGAAUUGUAGUAUUUGUGAAAAGAUGUGUAUAAAUGGUAUGGAAUUUCAAUUAACUUAUUCUUUAUUAAUAAAAAUUUGACGAUAAGAAAAAAAGAAAAAAAGAAAAAACCAAGUAUUUGAGAACAAAGUAGAACAAAAGGUCUAAUAAAAGGUGACUGUAGUAAAUGGGAAAUGGGCACGAAAGGUACAAAAAUAUAUGAAAGGAUAUGAGGAUAAAAUAGUUUCUUAUUUAUUUUAAUACUUCAUUAUACCCAAUAUUUGUUUUGAAAGAACGGCAAUAGUUGAUGGUUAUCCUUCAUUAUACCACGUUUAGAAUCAGGUUAUCCUUAAUAUAUGUCAUUAAGGAUUUAAGUAUGCGACUUAAGUUAAGUGACUAAGCUAGGAUCAUGCAAUAAAAGGGGCAGACACUAACUUAUACAUUGCUUAACUCUAAUGAUUUAUUAGUGAGAAGACACAAGUUUUCCUCUCUAUAGUCUAAGUGUAUGCAAAAAGAGAGUUUUUUUUUUUUCUUUAGUCUAAGUGUAUGCAAAAAGAGAGGGUUUUUUUUUUUUUUUUUUUUUUAUAAACUAGAGUUGAACACAUGGGACUCAUGUGACUUAUGAUUGAAACAUGUAGGUUGAUUUAGUGCGCUAUAUUGAUACAGUAUUCACAGUAUUGACUAGCAUUUCUAUUAUUAAAACUAUGUGUGAAGUGAAUAGGGAGAGUAAGAAUGUGGUUAGUGUGCAUGCAAUUGAACUCAGCGUGAAAAUAGGCAAGAUCGAUGGAGGAAUGUUUUAUGUAAUACAACCUGGUAGGAAAAUCAAGUUGUUCAUUGAUGUGAUACAGAGCUUCUACUAAUUUUAUAAUCAAGGCAAUAUUCUCUUAUAUAAUUAGUGUGCCACAUAGUCAUACUUGCUUGCCUUUCGGGAUGCAAGUUUUCGGGAUGCAAAUACUUGAACCUACCAAAAGCUUUACAUCUAAUCUAUUUGGUCGCAUUAUUUAUAAUUUAUCCUAUCUUAAGGCGAGCAAUCUCUCAAUGCCUUGCCACCACACACAAUCGUUUCUGACAUGUAUGCUAAAGAUGAAUUCAAUAAAAUGAUUACCUUGCUACAACCCUUUCCCUACAUGUUUAGCAAUGUCUUAGUUAAUAUUCUCUCGAAUAAUAACGCUCAGUGCGACAUUCUUUCUCUGAAAUAGAAUGACGGUUGAAUGCAACACUAACUUAACACGAUAAGUAAUACAAACCAUCGAGAUGCCCUACGAACUUACUUUCACUUCACAUGAAUCACAUUACAAGGAAUGCAUGUAAUUGGGAGUUAAAGAAAAUGGGAGAGUGAAAUUGAUAGAAUUUUGCAUUUAGCAAUAAAACUUUAGGCCUUUCAGUCAUUCAUGAGGUUCAAAAUGAAAUUAUAAAUAAAUGAAGACAAAUGAAAAUGAAUUGAAAUGGGUCAAGCCUCUUAAUAUAAUCUCUUAUGUUGUUUGACUCCAUUUUUAUCUAUUACACUGAGGGAAAAUGAGACUUGGAUUUUUUUACAUCUCUCACCUAUAAAAGAAAAUGUAGGGAUGAAGAAGUUGAGAUCGUUGUCAUCGAAUACUCACACAUGUCCAAAUGAAGGACAUAAACUUGUAUUUAUAGCAGCCUGGAUUGAUGGGACAUGGUAUAGGAUGGUAUAGGUUGGUAUAUCUUCUAAAUUUCUGAUCACUUUUAUGCAGAGCCUCGAUGUCAUUUCAUUCUUUUAAUGACAAUCUCAUCAAUCACUUUUGUCUUCAAGUGAUUCAUAGCGCAUAGCGUCAAUUGCCUGUUGGUUUAUGCUAGCAUAAGUUGCCUGAUGUUCCCCUUCAUUUCGCAAAUCCACUUAUUUUCGUUAAAAAUCUAAGUUAAGAAAUUGAAAAUUGUAAGAACGUGCAUUUUUAUCUUUUGUUACUUGCAUUGCGCCUUUGUUCUAUCACAACCUAUUUAAUCAUGUGUUAUCUUCUUUUAUAUCGUAUAAAGGCCACAUUAUUAUUCUACCUAAUAAACGCCAUGAUAACUAGUAUUUUAUCAUUUUUCUAUAAGUUAUUUGACUAAUGUAACAAUAUUGGAUCUAAUAAUGUUAUAACAAAACAAUUAACAUAUAUAUGAGAGAUCCACAGAGAGAGAAAAUAACACAAGAGACUUAGUAACCCAGUUUGGUGAAAUACACCUACGUUUGGAGGACUUCGACUAAUUGAGUAGAUAUGUUCACUAGAAUAUAUAAAAAAUGGAAUACAAAUAUUGAACUUAUAUCGUCUUUAGUAGACUAUCUUGAUAAAUGACAAGAUUAAGCUAGGUUAUCACUUGGGCUCUACCUAAAUAGUUGAUACUUGAUUGAUUCUCCUUGCUAAAACCAGGCUCCCUCGAUUAUUCAACUUCAGCACUGUAGUGUCAUUAGACUCUCCAUGAACGCCAUAAUCCAAAUUUAUAAAUUAAUUUUGUCCAAAAUAUAAAUUCCAAAUUUAUAAUUUGAGCAUAGAAAAAUGAAGGAUAGAAUAGUUAUAUAUGUGAAGAUUGUCCUUUACAUCCCUUUUAGAUAUACAGUAUGAUAUACAUAUAUAGAUAUAGUAUCAUAGAUGUGAAUUUAUUUUUGACCUUUUUUUCUUAAGAUCAAUAAUAAAUUGUAAUUCUCACAUUAAUAAUAAUAUGCUUUUUAUUCGUUUACAAUAAAUGUAUGUGAGAUCUUUGUUUCAUUGUUUUCUUUUUAAAUUAUUUUUCUUGUCCUAUUCCUUUCAUAGCCUUUUUCAAUUUUCUUCGACUAAAAUUUUCCUUUGAAUUGUAUCCAUAUAUAUAAAAGAAAAAAAUCAUCUUUUUUUUACACCACAAUAUUCCAUUGAUAACUUCCAUCCUGAAGUGUAGAAUGUUUGCAACUAAAGGACCAUCCUAUUUAUUUGUAUACAGGACACCACAUUUGCACCAUUUUGUUAAUUUAUUAUUUGUUAAUAUUUGUAUGUAUCUAAGUUACCUUCACCUCCACACUUUUUUUUAAUGACAAAAGAAAAAAAAAUAUCUUUUAAAACUAUACGUUUUUUAAAAAUAAAAAUUUUGUCGCAUGAAAAUUUGUGAUCGGUGAUACUUGGACAGGUUGUUGUACUGAGUUGCGUACGGCAAAACCAAAAAUGUUUUUUUCUUAAUUAUAUGUGGGUUGUGAUUUGCACUUGACAAAGAACUUACAUGGUUUUUUUUUCUUGAUUUCAAACUUAAGUUGAAACAGAUGGGAAAAAACUCAGAAACUUCGUAUUUGUACACAUGUUCACCAUUCAUAUGUUUGGGGCUUAUAAAUAUGCUAUAAGUUUUGGCUUUUACAACCCACCACAGAUCAAAACCAAAGCCACCUUGCUUUUGUUGUUGGUCUAUACAAAGAAAACACUUAAAAGAAGAAAUCAAAAGUUGUGAGCAUGAAGAAGCUUUCUUUUCAUGUGUGGCUUUGCUCAAUUUUUUGUGCCUUUCUGAUGAUUUCAAGAGUUGCAAUUUCUCAAGAAGUUGGUAGGGUACAUUUGAGUUUCGUAUUUUGUUUAUUUGUACAUGAGUAUACUUCAUUAAUUUCCUUCUAUUGAGUACACCAUUUUAUUCCUUUGUAGUUUCACUCAUGAUCUCUUUGCUAUUUUAAAUAUUAAAUAUUUGAAAUCAUAUAUACACACACGUGUAUACACAUGAAUAUUAGCCAACAUUUUUUUAGAAGAAAACAAAAAUCAUAUAUUUAUUUAAAAAUUAAACUAUAUUUUUGAAUUCUUAGCUAGCAUGCAGAAUUUUGAACAAAAAAUAAUAUUGUUAGAAUAAUUUCUCUUAUGCUUAUUUUUUUCAAAAAAGAAUAAAAAGAUAUGUAUCAUGAAUGUUCCUAUGACAUGUAUAAAUUACAAAAUAAGUUGAAAAUAAAAAGUGAACACGUUUAAAAAUAAUGAUAAUAAUAAUGAUGAAAGGGACACUUAGAUAAUUAGGAAUGUCGACCAGAGAAACCCAUGAAUAUUUUUUUAAAAAAAUAAAAAUAAAUGGAUGGAUUGGUAAAAUUUAAUCUUUUUAUUGAUAGAAAAAAGAAAUCACAAAAGUCAUUUUCAUUUAAACUAUUAUAAAAAGCAUUUAAACUACACUUUAAAAGAAAACGUUUCAAAAGUCAGGAGUACUACUUUAAUUUCUUUCUAAAACGAGUUUUAUCAAAAUUAAAACACUUUAAAAAGCUAAACAAAAAUACCCUCAAUUUUAAACCGCAAUGAAUAUUUGGUUGCUCACGAGUUGGUUUGGAUUAUUGAGUUUGAAAAAGACUCACUUUUUCCUAUUUGUUUUUCUGUAUAAUAUGCAGAAGAUGAGACAGAAUUUGAUUAUAAUGAAGAAGGAGAGAAAGGACCUACACAUUGGGGAGAUCUUAAACCAGAAUGGCAUAGUUGUAAGACGGGACACAUGCAAUCUCCUAUCGAUCUGUUGCAUGAGAGAGUUCGAAUUGCAUCCCUUUUCACAAACAUCGAGUUUAACUACAAGCCAACUAAUGCAACUCUUAAAAACAGAGGUCAUGAUAUUAUGGUAAAGAAAAUAAUAUAAGUUACCUUUAACAUCUUAUUCUCUUUUCAAACCAUUUAUGAUUUUAAACAUACAUAAACCAUAUCUAAUCAAUAUAUUUGAUCAACUAGAUUGAGUGUUAUUUUUUUUGCAUCAAAGCAUUAUUUCAUGUUUUUCUUUUCUUUUCUUUUUUUUUUUGAAAAUUAGUUUAAAUUUAUAUUUGGAUGAAAAUGUAAUGAUUUCGGGUUUAUAUUGUUUUUACUUCUUUAAAAUUAGUUUACUACAUUUGUUCCAUAUGGAUUACUAAAAAUAUAAAUAUUAGAAUUAUUUCAAUUUUUUUUUUUUAAUUAUACAUGAUGUGAUAAUGAAUUGGAUGGAAACAUGUUUUUAAUUCAAAACAAUAUUUAAAAUUUUACGAUAACCAAAACAUGUUUCCAAAUUUAAGCUAAACUAUAUAUUUAACCAAAAUAACCUAAUUUAGAUACAAAUUGUGAUGGUUGUAGUUAAAAUUGGGCCAUGGAGCUGGUUAUAUGGUAAUGAAUAGAACUCGAUAUUUUCUUCAACAAAUUCAUUGGCAUUCACCAUCAGAACACACUAUCAAUGGAAGAAGAUUUGCUUUAGAAGCCCAUUUGGUGCACCAAAGCCAAAAUGGAAAUUAUGCUGUUAUUGGAGUUGUUUAUAACAUUGGACGACGACCCGACUAUCUUUUAUCCAAGGUAAGUAGUCUUGAUGAACUUUAGGGUUUAAGGUUUAAUAACAUUUACUUCACAAACAUUUCCAAUCAAUCUUUAAUUUAGUUUACUUACUAUAUAUUUUAUAGAUGAAGGAAAAUUUGGAAGAGAUUUCGGAUACAUGUGAAGAGAAAGCAUUAGAUGUGAUUGAUCUAUCAAUGUUGAAGAUGCAAAGCAGUCUAUAUUAUAGAUAUAUUGGGUCCCUAACAACUCCUCCAUGUUCUCAAAAUGUACUUUGGACUAUUGUUAGGAAGGUACUUUUAAUUUUUUAGUAAAAUUACUUCUCAAUUUAUUUCUGAAAUUUGGAACCUUUCUCACUUUUAAUCACACUUUAAUUUGAUGCAUGUUUUAGGUUAGGACUGUCACAACCGAACAAGUCAAGUUGUUACGCGUGGCUUCUCAUGAUGUAAGUUAUAUAGUUUUUCUAAGAUCCAUUAAAUAAACCUUUCAUCUUUAAUUUUAACUUUCGUAUUAGAACUUGGAUUGUAUUUCAUUUGAUUAAACAAAGUGUACAACUAAACCCUCAUUUUGAUAAUUUUUUCAAAACAAAGUAUGCCUGUUUUCACUAAUUUCUUGGUAAGUUAUUAAAUUUUCCUAUUUGAGUUUUUAAGAAAAAAUUAGUAAACAAAAAUUCAACGUUUUUAAAACUAUUUGUUUCAUUAAAUACACCAUUUAAAACACUCUUAAAAGUAAUAUACUAAAGAACAUUAAAAUUGGGUUUGGAUAAAAAUUUACUAAAUGAAUAAUAUUUUAAGUAAAAAGAAAAGAAAAUUAAUUGAAGGAUAUAUUUAGAUUUAUAAUUUUAAUAUUAAAACAUCCAACCAUAAUUCUCCAGCUCAUCACCAUUUUGAAAUAACAUAUACAUGUAUACGUGUAGAUAUAUACAUCCGUGCAUAGAUAUAUAUAUAGACACAUAUAAGAGAAAGGAGGUUCACUAGUUGGAAAAGGUUCAUUUAAGUCAGAAAUCAUUUUGUUAUCUUUUUAUCUAUGAUAAAUAUUUUAAAAUAUAAUAUGGUGUAACUUGAUUUAUGUGUUUAGGACUCUAACACCAAUGCUCGUCCUUUACAACCUAUUAAUGAUCGAAAGAUUCAACUUCGCAUCCAAUCAACCAUAUUUUGAAGAUAAUCAAUGUAAUGGACAAAUAUUUAUUCUAUAGUUUUCUUUUGUAAUACAUAGGGUAGUGCCUAUCGCACCAUAUUUUUAUUUUACACUUAUUACAUGUUGUCAGAAUUAUUAUCAUAUCUUGGUAAUAAAAAACAUUUUUGUUGUAUCGAGUAUUAGAUCUAAAAUAUCAAAGCGGACUUAGUUCUACGGUAAUUUAGCAUGAUAUUUUCAUUGCUAGCUUAUAUAUUAUCGAUAUAUUUAAAAUUUAAACACUUUUGCUUGGUAUUAAAAAACUCAUAUUAAAAUGACGUUUUCUAAACAAUAAUAUCUUAAGUUUUAACGAGUGGAAUUUUCUUAAAUAUAAAAAAAUAUCAAAUGGUUUAAAAUUUUUAUGAGAAUUAAGUCGGUAAAUAAAUAGAACCUAGAAAGAAAAAGCUAGAGUUCCGAAUUGUUUUCUAGGGGAAUGAUUUCUCAACAAAAUUUCUUAUACGCAACAAACUCACUUAAUUUUACGUUGUUACUUAAACACUACUCCUUUUUUAUAGCAACCUAUAGUGGUGUGAUAUAUAUGUUGACACAAAUCUAUCCCGAUAAUCAUAUUAUACUCCAUGAUUAAACCACCCACUAAUAAACUCGAAAGAAUAUUAACUCCUCAAGCACCUCUUACCAUUUAUUUCUUAGCCUUCAUUUUUAAUAAAAGCUCCCUCAACUUGCUUAGUAAUAUCAAUGAGUUGAGCAAAAUAAGUUCAUUCAACAAUAGCAGUAACAUAAGUAAAAACCUCUCCACUUAAACUAUCUUUCAAUCUCGUGCAUUUGACCAUCUCGUGUUUGGAGAAUUUAAAUGGCAUACUUGGAGAAUUAACUAUAGUAUUUGUUCUACCACUAACAUAACUUUUCAUUCAGGUUUCUGAAGUUCAUUUUAUUUCGCAUCUUGGGAUAACCUUAGAUAAAGUUAUCAUGGAUAACUUUUAUCUUCCAUGUUCUUUCCAACAAGCUAGUCUUCCACUAAGGCUUAACUUAAUUAGUACAACGCCACAAGUCCUUUGCUCUUAUCUACCACAGGAGUGGAAAAUUUGACCUUUCUAUUGUCGGAACAUAUUUUAACCUAAAAUAUUUCUAUAUCAUCUCCAACUAACUUUCUACAUGUGUGGGUCUCGUUGUCCCUUAAAUGUUGUUAUUCCUAGAGCCUUCAAACGUUAAUUCCUCAGUCCUUAUCGGGACAUAUAAUUGACUUACCCAAAAAAAUUUCAAGCUUGGGGUGCCUAGUUUUCAUCUUUAACUUCCUUAGCCUCACUUUUCGAACCACCAAAAGCAUCAUGCGUUCCCUUAAUAGGUUGCAUGAGUCGUCAACCAAAAUGGGCAUGUUUCUGUUCAACUUACUCAGGCAACUCUAACUCAUUAUGACACUCUAAUCUAUAAUCUCUAAAACUCCAAAACCCUUGCUCAUAACCCUUAAGUUUCCCAAAAUAAUGCUCUAAUACCAAAUUGACACACCUCGUUCUAAGUUUUCCUUUCUAACCUAGAGCAUGACAUGAAAACAGUUUUGGAAACAAACAUUUUCACCCUAAAAUAAAACAAAUAAGUAUUAUAAGAUUCUACGAAGUUUGUUAUAUGGGUUAGCCAAAUCUUAAAGGAGGGAAGAUUUUCACUUCUAUAUAUAAAUAUUCUUCAGACUCAGAAUACUGUAUAUCAAGUGAGUCCCACUACACACUUAUCCAACAAGUCUAGAGUCUCAAUCAGAGUUUAUAAUCAAUUAUGAAUUAGUUACGAAUGAAAUAGAGUCUAAUAAGAGAUUUCUCAAAACUCAAAUCCUUAUCGUGAUUCUCGCUACUUCUAUCCACUAUACAGUGCAGUACAAGACUUGAGUAGCAUGCAAAAUUUUAUCUAAAUACUUAAACUUAAUGGACAUUCAAUAACUCUAAGAAAACUCAACAAAAUCACUGCAAAACUUACCAAAUACUUAAGAAAGUAACCUUAACUUCAAAGGACGAUCCUCUAACAACCUUCAACCAUCAAAUCCUAGCAUCCAAAAAUGAUGGGUUGUUCAAUAAUAGUGCUGAAACUCAAUGGGUAUUCAAAUUAAAAAAGUUUAGAUUCUUAAUUAAUCUAUGCCAAAAUGCCAAUUUCGAGCUUCCAACUGACUAAACAACAACUCUUUCGAAAAUUCAAAUCUAACAUUAAAUUUAAUGAGUAUUGUUAAUCUCAAGUCUAAACUUAAUGGGUAUUUGAAACUCUUCCAGAAAUCUAACUAAAAUGUACAAAUCUUACCCCGAACUCCAAGAUCCAACAAUCGACAACAAGAUCGAGGGAGGGGAAACAAUCCAUUUGAGAUUUAUUCAAAACCCACACACUAGUGGCAUGAGCUUUACUGGAGAAAUUGAGGGACGACAUAGCUCAAACAAAACCAAACAAAGACGACAUUGCAUUUCCAAAUUUGGCGUGGAUGACAUGUGGUGUGGUGGCUGAUCAUCGUUCACUGAAUCAAACGACACGACUAUGGUGCUAGAUGGUGGCAUUUGGGAGUAUCAACAGUAGGGGUUCUUUGUUGGCGUUGGCACGAAGGAGAGAAAAAGAGGUGUAAACAUGUCAUCGUCGAUAAGGUCUCGUUGUCGGUAUGCAUGGAAGGUGGAAGUUGCUAGCGGCGAUGGGGCAAACGGACGAAAGAGUGAGAUGGGAGUGUGUCGACGUGCGAGAAAGAGUGAGAGAUGAUCAGUGGAAAAGAAUUCGAGAAGAGGGAGGCUGUUGGCGUACUUUAGAAGAAGAUAAGGAAAGAUAUAUAUCUUUUUUUUAUCCCUCUUCUUUUAAAAAAAGAUUAUUAUUAAUAAAAGAUCUUUAGAAAGACCAUUAUGCCCCUCAUUUCAUAACCAAGCUUCUAAAUCGGUCUAUUUGUUAGUUUUCCUAUCUUUUCAACACUUCAAUUUCAAAUUCUUGUUCCAAACUAAAAUUGUUCCAAUUUAUUUAUUAAAACAAUUCAACCUUAAAGAAUUGAUAAUUGGAUUUAAACUUGGGACUUCCAAACUAUCAACAGUUCUAGAUUAAACGAAAAGGAAAGAUAUCAUACAACUUUUCAUUAUAAUAAACUUUGUUCGCAGUUGACUUUUUGUCAUCUCUCGGGUUGAGACUAUGUGAUCCAUGAGGGGGUGUGACAUUUUAUCCUCGUUUCUAUUCUCUUAUAUGAUCGUCUAGCUUAUCUUACACGAUCAUUUACGUUCUUAUACAAUUGUAUAGUCAAAUAACCUUUUAUUUAAGAGUGAAUCCUACAACUCUAAAGUCAUGUACUUGGUCCACGACGCCCUUCAUGCCAGACAGUGUAGCAGUAAAAUGAAGUGUUGACUGACACAUAAGAUAGACAUGUGAGAGGAGUUACGUACCCCGUACACUACUUCAGCUCCGUGUUGUGAACUGGGUCCACACAAUUUCGUCUUGUAGACACAUGCGUCUGAUCCACAAUUUACCCUAGUCAAGGAUCAGGUAUAUGAUUUUGCAACAAAAUUUUUUACAUUUCUUUUCUACCUACCCUAUUUUUGAUAUUAUUUUUAAAAAUUACAUUAUUAAAGAAAAUUUCAUAUUUACAACAAGCUUUCUUGUCAGGCUCAUAAACAUAGUUUUGCAUUCAAAAAUUUUGGAUUGAUUUCAAAACAUGAAAUUCGUAAAUAACAAUUGUAAUAUGUUAACAUUUUUCAAUGUGUUUAUUAUAUAGUGUCUGGUGUCCUCCUAUAUAAAAAUUCUAGAUCUGCCACUGAUUAGAGGUAUGAUUUUUUUUAUUUACACCUUUUACAGUUUUUUUUAUUUGUGCCUCAUACAAAAAAAAAUCUCAUGGAUCUUCCUCUCUCCCUUGGGCCAGUGUGUUAUUAUUUUUAGUAAGCCAUUUGGAAGAAAAAAGGUUUGGAGAGUAGCUUGUUGAGCUAUUUCUUGUCAUAUAUAUGAAGAGAGCGUAACAUUUGGCUUUAUGACCGUUCCUCACAGGCUUCCUUGUCUAGUUUAAUACUUUUAUUUGUUAUUAAGUGGCUUAGGUCUCUAUUUUUUAUGGUUCUUUCUCUUUCGACCUUUUUCCUUGAGUUGUACGAACUUUUCUAUUGUGUCUUUCAAGUUCUUCGUUUUUCAUUUAUUAUGAUUCUGUCUUGACCUCCAAACGAGGACACAGUUUAGUUUUAGGGAUCUUUUAAAAAAUAUAAUAAUGCGAAAAAAUAUUUACACUAUCUAGAAACAAUUUCGAAAACGGAAAAAGUCACAGAUCCAUAAUGGAAAAUACCAAAAUACCUCGCAAUUAAUUGACAUCGAACACGCCUAAUAUAUUUGGAAAACAAGUCCGUAAUAUAUUUGAGAAACGGUCGUUUAAAUUUGGCUAUUCUUUCCUACACGAUCGUUUAGAUUUGAUCGUACCCAAAUAUAAAUGUUUUUUUCAAGAUUUUUUGUCCAAGAUUUGGCAAACGAUAAUUUAGAUUGGGCACACAAUCGUUUAAAUUUGGGUAGUCAAAUCUCAACGAUUUUUUUCAAGAUUCUUUGGUACACGAUCAUUUAGAUUUGACAGACGAUCGUUUAGAUUUAGAACACAAUCAUUUAAAUUUGGGUACGAUUUUUUCAAGAUUCUUUGGUACACGAUAGUUUAGAUUUGACAUGGGAUCAUUUAUAUUUGGACACGAUCGUUUAGAUUUGUCACACGAUCGUUUAUAUUUGGCUAUUUUUGGUACACGGUCGUUUACAUUUGACAAUCCAAUAUCCCAACGGUUUUUUUCACGAUCUUUUAUAUUUGACACACAAUUUUAAACAACCAAAUAACAGUUUGAAAAAAAAUAAAAAAAUUAAUGUAGAAGGACAGAAAAAGACGAUGAAAAGAAAGAAAAAUUGUAGAAGAAAAGAAAAGACAACAUAAAUACUUUUUAAAAAAUGCAGAAGAAGAGAAUGACGAUGAUCCGAUGAAAGAAAAAAAUUGCAGAGGAGGAAAAGAAAAAAAUUGGAGCAGAGAAGAGAAGAAAGACGAUGAUAAGGAAUGACAAACCUAAAGUUUUUUUUAAAAAAAUGAUUAGUUUCAUGUACUUUUUUAUUUUGUUAGACGGGUCGUAAAUAUUUUACGAGUAUGUUUGAUUUAUGAAAAAUUUUCUUAUUUUAUUUCAAUUCAAUUGCAUUAGGAAAAAAAAUCAGUUAUAUCUAUAUUUCCUAAUUUUGUUAAUGUAACCUUUACAUUUGGGAUUGUGAUAUCCAUAUAUCCAAAUAUGCAUUGUCAUAUCCAUUUAUCGAAUAUGCAUUGUCAUAUCCAUAUAUCAAAAUAUGCAUAUACCUUCUUUAGUUAAAGGCAUUAAAUAUUUCUCUAUUAUAUAAGGGUUUGUGUGAAGAGAUAUAAUAUAAAGUUAUCAACAUCAAAACAACUACAAAUAAACCCUUAAAAUUAGUUAUGGCUGCAAAGUUCUCUCUCAAGUUCGCUUUCUUGGUUCUAAUGGUUUUGUUUGUACACGUUGUUUCUGGUACAACCUCAACUUUGUCCACUCUCUUUUCAUCAACUUUAUAUGGCUUACAAUUAUUUUUAAACGCAACUCUUUCACUUUUUUACUAAUUUAAUCUUAAUACUUUGUUUUCCUUUUGUUAUUUUCUAUUCUUCAAAAUAAUAUAACUUGUUUCUAGACAAUUUAUGUAUUGAAUUUUCACAUUCGUAUUCUAGCUAAAAUUUCAAAAACAAAGCAAGGUUUUUAAGAUCUAUGGGCUCAUUUGAUACCCUUUACAUCAUGGUGGAUAACGGUUUGAUUUUAGGGUUUAUUAUUGAAAAUUAAGUCAUGUAAAUACCUUUUUCGUUUUUUAUACAUCUUUACUUUAUUGUCCUACCUUUCACCAAUGUUUUCAAAAAUCAAACAAUGUUUUGAGUAAUAAAAAAAAAAAUUGAAAAUUGGGAUUUUGUGUUUUUGAAAUUUGGAUUUAACUCAUUUUACUUGAAAAAGUUGAUAGUAAACUAAAGUACGAAAAGUAGUUCCCACAGAUUGCUUUUAUAAUAGAAAUUAAAAUAUCUUAUAUAAAGGUAAAUACCGUAAUUGAAAUAUUCGAAGAAACAAACCUAAAUUUAAAAGUAGUAAAACUAAAAAUGAUGUAUUUAUCACACAUGACCUACUUUAUUUUUAAAUUUUUAGUUAUGAGUUGGUUUAUGAUCUUAAUUGUUCAAAAAGUAAAAGAUAAAAAAUAAAAUUGUGUUAUCAAAGGAAAUCUUAUUAAUUAUAUAUUUUGUUUAUGUAUACUGCAGCGAGCAAACCGUUAGAUGGAAAUGCAAGUUAUCUUAAACAAAUUCAAUGCAAGACUCAAGCUGAUUGUGGUAACCCUAAAAAGUGUUAUUGUGAUAGUUUCUCUGGUCUUUGCUUUUGCAAUAGUAAGUUGUUUAACGCCAACACCGAUCAGAAGAUGAAUUAUCACAAAGGAGAUCAAAACUAAAGUACCUCUGAAGGACAAAUAAUCAAUUAACUGUUAAGCAUAUAUUGUUUACAACUUGAUGGUUGUGAUGAUAUAUAUGAUGUUACAGAUAUUACAAAUUCGAUCAACUACCAACUUUAUUACUUUUCGAUUUUAUAAGAGUUCAAAGGAAUAAGAUUAUGACCCAAGUUGGAGUAUUUCCGAGUACUAUUACAUGUUUAAUUCUUGUGUCUUUCAUUAUUACAAGUAAAAUUACAUUUAUUGAUGCUUGCAAAAUUUUAAAUUACAUAAUGUUCUUAUGGAAAAAAUGUCAACUGCAUAAUAUUUGAGUAUAUCAAGUUUUGUCAUAAUUUACUUGAUGUGAAAUUUUAAAUGUCAAGGAUAAUUUAUAAUGCAACAAAGGUGACCGAUUGUAGCUUAAAAAAAAAUGAACAGUUCAUUUGAGGAAAGAUGUGAUUAUGAACAAACUAUGGUGUAACCAUGUUUCCACGAUCAAGCUUAAUUAUAUGUUAGGCAAUGCGACCGUACCUAUCGAACCAAUACAAUAACACACUAACAAAAUUUCUCUCUUAUUCAGAUUCGUGGUCAAUUUCGUUUGGAGUUCUAAAGAGCUAAGGUCAUCAUCAUUGUAACAUUUAGAUAAAUUUUGGGAGUUAAUUAAUUAUCUUAUUUUUGUUUAAUAAGAUUUAAUUUAUUAGGCAUUAUUCCGAAGAUUAAUUGGUUUUGGGGAAUAAGAUUAUAAUUUAAUAAUGAAACAUUUUAUCGGGUAGUCAAUCAUACAUAUGUUUAACCGUAUAUAACUGUCAUGAGUGGAUGGUGUAUAAGACAACUUGACGUCAAUAAUGCUUUUGUUCAUAGGAAUCUCUUAGAAAAUGCUGAGUAAUCAGUCUGUGGUUUGUCACCUAGGAAUGACUUUAUAUUAUGUUAAAACAAGCCCAAACAUGGUAUGAGAAACUAACCCCUAGUUUAAAAUCAUCUUUAUUAGUUCUCAUAUAAAAUCAUUCUUCCUACUAUAUACUGAUUGAUUUUGAUUAUCUCAUUUGUUAUGGGCAAUUCCACCAAGGAAAUAGAUACUCUUUAUCAAUAGCUUGAAUAACAAAUUUGCUCUCAAACAUCUUACCUCACUUCACUACUUUAUAUAUGGGUGAUGAAGUCUCCUACCCAACCAAAGGAGGUUUGUUUCUUUCUCAGUAAAAAUAUAUAUAUAUCUGAUUUUUGCUGCAUAAAAUAAAAAUGUUUGAGGCCAAACUGAUUGCAACUCUAAUGGUGAGUGGUCCUAUCUUAUUUGCACGUUAACUUGAAAAGUUUUCUGAUAGAUACUUAUAUAGAACUGUUGUUGGUGCUUUACAAUAUGUCCCUCUCUCAGUCAUCCUGAAAUAUCUUAUAGCGUUAACAAGACAUCAAUUUAUGCAGCUCCAUAAACUAACUCAUUGUUAAUUAACUUGUGAAAGAAUUCUUAUAGAUAUUUGAAAGGAGCUAAAUCUCGUGGCUUAUGGUUAUGCAAAUCUAAUAAUCUAAACUUAGUUUGCUUAAUAACAAAUUUAGGGUACGAAUAUGGUAAUUAAGAAAAUUAAGAAAAAUAUUGCAUAAUGACAAAUAUAUAUGCAUCAAAAAAUAUAUUAGUUCAAACACAACAUCACAACUUAAAUUAUUGAUAUGAACGUUCAAUCUAGAAAGCUUCUUUAAUUCAUUGUGCAAUAUAUAUAUACGCAUGAAAAAAAACGUGAAACAUCACGAUGGAUGCUAAAAUUAUUGAACGAAUACCAUAAAUAAGAUUAUUUAAUAAAAUAAAUUUAUAAAAUUUGUGUAUUGGAUCUACGUUAUAUUUUUUAAAAAAAAAAUAUCACAACACUACUAUCAUAAUCCUUCUCCCAAACGCAUACUAUCAAAAUACUACCUAUCAUAUAAUUGUUCUCCUCAACGCAUACUAUCAUAACGUACGCUAAGACUAUUAUAAUAUUAGGAUUAUUAUAACACUAAUCAUAUCAUAAAUUACUUCUUCCCCAAACGUCCCCUUAGUCUCUGUACCUCCUUAAGUCCACGAGACCAUUUACAAUUUUUUUUUCAAAUUAAUUAUCUCGAGACUACAUAUAAACUAAAACUUGACUUUCUUCAAACAUUGACCAUUAAUUUAUUUAUUUUUGCAAUCUUCUUUUUCUGAUGAGUCGUUCUCACAUCAAUGAUAAUGUGCUUUUUGUCUUGUUUAAAUUUGAAUGUUUGAGCGAUCCUUAUUUUUUGUCCUCUUCUUUUGAUAGCUUUUCUCAAUUUUUACACAAAAUUUCAACCGUAUCUAUAAAACAAUAAUAGAAAAAAGAAUUGAUAACUUUUAUUCAAAGUUGUAGAGUUUUCUCAACUACGGACCACCCUCUUUAUUUCUACAAAGGAAACCGUACGGCAGCUUUUUGUUUCCAAAUGUCAUUUAAAUAUGUAUGUAUUCAUAUGUACCUUUCCAAUGACUCACAUUGCUCUUCUCCUUUUCUUCAAACUUAAUUUAUAUACCAUAGCGCCGUUUUAAUCUUAUUAGAAUUAUGAGUGAUAAAAGAAACUACGUGCAAGUUUUAAUCUUAUUAGAAUUAUGAGUGAUAAAAGAAACUACAUGCAAGUUUUAAUCUUAUUAGAAUUAUGAGUGAUAAAAGGAACUACCUCAAUUAUUAUAGUAUGAGCGAUAAAAGAAACUAUCUCAUUAUUCUAAGUGAACUCUCACAACAACGUUAAGAAAAAUAAUCUCAAUUAAACAAUUUGAAUAAUAAUCCUAAGAAAGUUAAUUAAAACAUAUUUAGCUUGAAAAAUUUAUAUCAUAGAUCAGGAAGAAAGAGAGUUUGUUUCUAACUUUAAUACUUCGAAAUCUCCACAUUCUUAUUGAUAAAAUUAGAUUGAGAAUCUUAAGAUAUGCAUAAUAAAAACAAGAUUACAGAGAAAAACACAGAACUUGAAAGAAUAAACACUACGGAAACUUCAAUCAAAUUCGAAGUUUUCUUUUAAAAUGUCAUCCACGACUAUUUAUAUAAAGCCCCAAUCAUACACCCCAAUGCGAUGAAGGCCCUGCAAUGAGGAUGAUGCGCAAAGAGGCUUCUAUAUGGUAAAACGUGAUUUAAGGAAGGACUAUGUGAUGACAGGUCUCUACACGGAGAGGAUUACUCAUAGUACAAGUCGACAAGCUAAGAUACUUCACCUAGAAACAAUGAUCUUCACUUAGAAACAAUGAUGGGACCUAGAUGUCCAUAGGUCGGCGAUUGAUUUGACUCAGUUGUACGAUUCGAAUUCAGAAUUAGGGAUUGACAGUUCCACAUUGCAUUUUUCCAUUGGGUCACUUCUCGCCGCCGGUUAGAGAAAUCAUUUCGACAUAGAAAAACUUGUCGAAUGAAUCUAUAAAUAGAGGAAUUUGGGUCAUUUGAGGUUGCUUUUACCUUGAUUUUGUUGAGAAAGAACUAGAGAAGUAUCCAAAGGAUUUGAGACAUAGAACGAGCCAAUUUCUAAUAAGGAUUUCAAGAAGAAUAAGGGAGACUUUGGCCUAGGAAGCUAGUCGACUAUGACUGUCAGUGGUUCUCCUUACCAAAUGUUUCCAAACAAAAAAAAAGGUUUGUAAAAUGUGUUUGAAUCCUUAGUAUAUUAUUUAAUUUUAAAAUCAUGAACCAUAAAAUUUCCAUUAUGCUUUUCCACUUCAAAACAUAUAUAAGUGAUUUAUAAAUAGAAAAGAUGUAUUUGUGAACGACCUUCUAGUAGGAGCAAUGUCGUGGAAGUAAUCUUUGAGUCUGAUGUUGCAUUAUGUUAAAUGCGUUGAGAUUAAUAUUGACGUCAUGUCUUGAAAUGGUGACUUCUGAAAGAUGCAUAAUAUCGUUAAAGUUGAGAUAAUUAGAUGAUCUUUAUACCCUAUGUAAUAAGAUGUUGUAUCCUUGUUGUGUAACCUAGGAUAAGAUGUUCUAUUCUUACUGUGUGAUCUGGAAUAGAAUGACAUAUUCAUGUUGUGUGAUCUUGAUUAGAAUGCCUCAUACUUGUUGUGUGAUCUGGUAUGGGAUGCCAUUUUGCUUGUUAUGUGAUCGAGCAUGGAAAUUGAUGGUACUCGUUAGUGCAAUGAGAUUUCUUCACAUGGCUACAACUUAGCAAAAGAGUGUGGGAAACACUUGAGUUAGAGAGAAAGUACACAGAAACACCUAGUAAAAGACAUAUACGAUGCGACAAAUUGUGAAAUAUUUGAUUUUGAUUUUGCUAUAAUGCAUGUGUUCUGAUAAAUGAUUAUGUGACGAAAAGGUGAUUUUGAGACUUAAUUAAAGUAUUUGAUUAAUGUUCGAUUUAGGAAGCUUCUUUAAUUCAAUGUGUAGCAUAUACGCAUGAAAAAAAAACGUGAAACAUCACGAUGGAUGCUAAAUUUAUUGAACGAAUACCAUAAGUAAGAUUAAUUAAUAAAAUAAAUUUAUGAAAUUUGUGUAUUGGAUCUACGUUAUAUUUUUAGAAAAAAAAUAUCAUAACACUACUAUCAUAAUCCUUCCCCCAAACGCAUACUAUCAUAACACUACCUAUAAUAUAAUUCUUCUCCUAAACACAUACUAUCAUAUAUAACGUACAUUGGGAGUACUAUUAUAAUACUAGAAUUAUCAUAACACUAAUAUCAUAAAUUACUUCUUCCCCAAAUAACGUUUCCUUAGUCUCUAUACCUCCUUAAGUCCACAAGACCAUUUGCAAUUUUUUUUUUCAAAUUAUCUCGAGACUAUAUAAACUAAAAUUUGACUUUCUUCAAACGUUGACCAUUAAUUUAUUUUUGCAAUCUUCUUUUUCUAAUGUGUCGUUCUCACAUCAAUGAUAAUGUGCUUUUUGUCUUGUUUAAGUUUGAAUGUUUGAGCAAUCCUUAUUUUUUGUCCUCUUCAUUUGAUAGCUUUUCUCAAUAUUUACACAAAAUUUCAACCGUAUCUAUAAAACAAUAAUAGAAAAAAGAAUUGAUAACUUUUAUUCAAAAUUCUUGAGUUUUCUCAACUACGGACCACCCUCUUUAUUUCUACAAAAGAAACUGUAUGGCAGCUUUUUUUGUUUCCAAUGUCCAUUCAAUAUGUAUGUAGAUAUGUACCUUACCAAUGACUCUCAUUGCUCUUCUCCUUUUCUUCGAACUUAAUGUAUAUACUAUAGCUCGGGUUUUAAUCUUAUUUAAAUUAUGAGUGAUAAAAGGAACUACUUCAACUACGUGUGAGAACAUUCAUCCCAGCUGAACUCUCACAAUGAUAAUAAUAAGAAUAACCCCGAUUAAACAAAUUGAAUAAUAAUCUGAAGAAAGUCAAUUAUAAUAGAUUUAGUUUGGAAAAUUGAUAUCGUAAAUUAGGAAGAAAUGAGAGCUUGUUCCUAACUUUAAGAUUUCAAACUCUCUACAAUCUAAUAUAUAAAACUAGAUUGAAAAUCUUAAAAUAUGCGUUCUAAAAAUAAGAAUAUAAAGAAAAAAAUAAAGUUUAAAAGAAUAAAGUCCAAGGAAAAUUCAUUCAAAUUGGAAGUUUUCUUUUAAAAUGUCAAAUUACAUAAGUAUUUAUGCUCGUUCAAAUGACAUGUUAUAUCCUUUCACCUUAUUAUCUAAAUUCAUCUAACCCACCCUGCCAACUACAUCAUAAUAUAAAGGCAUGAAAUUAAAUUGGUACAUAAUUCAUUAAAAUGUAAAUGAAUCUAAAUAUUUUAGAUUUAUUAUGACUUUUAGAUGAAAAGUUGUGUUUUGAUAUACAUGAACUGAUGCAACUCGUCAACUGAAGUUUAGCUUGAGUGCUACUCGUUUAAUGUUUGAUCUAAUUGUUAACAAUUAUAAUUUUUUAAUCAUUCUUCCAUUCUUUUAGAAGAUUUGUCCUCGAAUCUUAAGGGUCUCUUUGUAGAGCAAAUUUGUAAUCAUUGUCUCGAGCUUUGGAAAGAAUUAUAAAGCCUAUUCAUUACCUAUUAUUUUACUUUAUCAACGAGGUCUCUUGAUUUUUCCAUAUACUCCCUCAACACAUUGUUUCUUUGAAUUCAUCAUUGGAUCAUAUGCUGAAAUUUAUUUUUAAGUGAAAAUUGUAAAUAUAGAAAUCAAACUCAAGAUAUAUAUUUUGGAUAUGCUCAUAUACGACCAUACAAAAUAAAUUAUAAAUAUAGCAAAAUUUUAAUUCAACUUUUGAUAAAGUUUAUCAAUGUUAAAUCAUCUAACUAAUAAAGCUAUCAUUAAUGAAUUUUGUUAUACACAUUUAAUUAUUAUAGCCAUGCAAAUAUUAUCCAUGGUAAUUAUCCUAUUUUAUAAAGCAAAGGUUCAAUUGAACUUCUUAGACUCUAAUAUUAUUUUAUCACUGUGAAAGUUAUCUCAAAAUUAAUCUAUAUAAUGAGAGAAAUUGUUCAUCUAUCUAAUUAAGGGUGUGUUCGGGAUUGACUUAACACAUGCAUAAAUUAUUUAAAAUGAAUCAUAUCCCCUUUCUUGUGUUUAAAAUAUAAUUACUAUUAAACCUACAAAAAAUCAAUUAUAAAUUUUGGAGUUUGAAAUAAAAUUAGUUAAUGUAUCAAUUCAUUUUUUUCAAAUUAAGUUGAAAUAAAAAUAAUAUUUUAAAACUAAAAACAUGUGAAGUUUUUUUUUACUUUAUUAAAGAAAUAGUUAUAAAAGCAACCUCACGUAUUAAAGAAAUAGUUAUAAAAACAAUCUUACCUAGAAAACCAAAUGUUGAGAGAUAAAUUAAAUAACUAAAGAAAUAGAGUAACUAUAAUAAAUAAAUUUUUUAGAAAUAAUAGCAAAUUAUAUAGAAACAUUUUUUUUCAAAUUGCAAAUAUGACAAAGUCUAUCAGCUAUAGACUUUUAUAGAAUUUUAUGGUUUAUCAGCGAUAGACCAAUAUUUGAAACAUGAUCUAUCAGUGUUAUAAAUUUUUAUCAUUAGUAGAGUUUUACAGAUUUUACAAUAUUUGUAAUUUUUUUUAAAGUGUUGUUAAAUAUAUGUUAGUAUUUUGAAUCUAACUAUUAUAUUUGUAACUAUUCCAAUUUACGUGAGCCCUAAGUAAAACAUAAAAGAAAUCAUAAGUUUAAAAUAAAAACUAUUUAUCAAUAAUCAUAACAUUUGCACUAUCGUAGGCCUAUCUUGUCACUCGCCAACUUUUCUUUAUCUUCACCUGAAAAAUAAACAUGGAAAUGGUGAGUAUAUAAAAUACCCAGUAAAAAUCCUACUAGUGGACCUAUUAGAUGAACGGUUAACUUUCUAUUAAGGAUACAUCAUGUGCGAUAACAGUCUAGUGACUCGUAGGAGAACACAUCAGUCAUAAAAGGUUUUUCAUCUUCUUCACUAAGAUAACAAUUGGUUGCAUGCCUUAGAAAAGUCUAUUUGGCAAAUCUUGAAGAAUUAAAUGACGAUUUCUUUUCCAUCAAGGUUGAAUUGGUUUCAAUUUCAAUUUUGGGUAAGUUAAUUUCGGAGAAUUUUUUAACGAUAACCAAUUGUUAAUUUUAUUAAUUAAGAUACUAAAAUUUUCUUUCAUGAUUAGGAUCGGUUUAAUUGGAGAAUUUUUAGUGUCAACAAAGAAAUAUUUUUACCUAAGCAAGUAAGAGAUUCUACUACUAGACCUUCGAAAAUAGAUUAAAAAGCUUGCAUGUAUUUUCUAUUAUGUGCUGAAUGGAGCUAAAAUGCAUAAUAUGAUUGAUAAAGAUGAUAGGUUAUUACUAUAACCUGAUGUGUUAUGACUGAUGUGUUAUGAUUGAGGUAUGUUAUGAUGCAUGGUAUGCUCAUUAAUAACAUGAUAAGGAUUUUAUGAUUAAUAUUCAUAUCAUGUGAGAAUGUUAAUGAUAUUAUAUGCUAUGGACUGUGGUGUUCUGUUAAUUUUAUAUAUUGGAACGUUCCUAUAUGGGUCAUCAUGCUUAACAGGAAUGUUAACGUGACAAAAAUUAUAAUAGACUUCUUUUCUUUUUCUUCAUUCCUUCUUUUUUUACACUAACUAUUCUUCUCUUUUUGUGGACACAUACUUUACUCUUCGUUUUUUGUUAAACCUUGAUAAAAGUGAGUUGCUACGCAUUGAAGCACUAUAAGGCAAUUUAAGUUUAAACCUGAGAAGUUGCAUUUAGGUGUUAGAGGCCUAAAGUUUUAAUUUAUUGUAAAGAAAACAUGUAUAUUGUAUCUGGAACACAUGUUACAAGUCAAUAAAAAGGAGUUCCUUUAUUAUCAUGCGUUGAGUUUUCUUAUCGCUCAAUAGUUUAAGGGUUUAAGUUAGAACUAGGUGAUAAAAAGCUAAUGUUCAAGGUUAAGAGUGAGUGUUCUGGCGUUUUAUGGUUGAGGCAUCAUGAUUGCUCAAGUCAUGUCUGUGUGCUGCAAUGCGAGCUGGUUCAGGAAGCGUUGCGGAGUGGGGCAUGACAUUGAGAGGGUGAAGAGCAACGUUUCAAGAGAAGGGAUUACGAGAGGGAGAGGAAUAGAACAUGCAAGAGGAAGAACAAAAAAGAUCUAGACUAAACCUCCAAAGAUUUUUCUUUUCUUCCAUUACAAGAGAGGAAAAGUCAAAACAAAGAUGAAAAUAUAGUGGAAGAUGUGGGCGACAAAAGAAAAUAGACAAUCAAAGUUAAGAGGAUGAACAAGAACAAUGUUUUGAGAGAAAUGAUUACUAGAGAGAGGGAUUGAACAUGCAAGAGGAAGAACAAAAAGAGAUUUAGACUAAACCGCAAAAGACUUUUCCUCUCGUCCAUUACAAGAGAGGGAAACUCAAAUCGAAGACAAAAAUAUGGUGGAAGAUGUGGCUGAGGAAGGAAAGCAAGCAAUAAGAGUUGAGGGGGUGAAUAACAAUGUUUUGAUAGAAAGGAUUACAUGAGGAGGGGGAAGGGAUUAUGAGAGGGAGAGAGAAAUAGUGUCACUAUAGAGAGAAGAGGGUUGAUGAACAGUGAAAUGAGGGCUUAUUUUUUAAAAAUAAUCCUAAACCUCAAAUUUGUGAUAGUUUUUUGCCUACAUGUGGAGUCGGCCAACCAAACAUGAAAUGAGACUUACCAUUCAAAUUUAUGUUCCCUCCAUAAAAUAUUUUAUUUCACCAUUUUGAAAUUGGAAUUUUUUUAAAAAUAUAACAAGUUAAAUAUUUACACCAUGUAGAACAAUUUUGAAAAUAGAAAAAGUCUACAGGCCCACAAUGAAAAAUAUCAAAAUACUCCAGUUAACACACGAUUAAUCUACACACUCCCGAGUAACUUUUCUUCUAAACAAUCAUGAUACACGAUCAUGUGCAUAAGAUAUGAUACAUAAUUAUGCAAUUCUUUUUAACGAUGGAAAAAAUGUUUCAUGUAAUUCUUCUUCUAAACGAUCAUGAAUAUAUGAAUGUGAUCAUGUAGGAAAUAAUACAUGAUCGUAUAGUUCUUUUUAACGAUAAAAAAAUGCUUCAUGUAAUUCUUUUUCUAAAGAACGAUCAUGAUACAUGAUUGUGUAGGAAAUGAUAUAUGAUCAUGUAGGAAAUUAUACACGAUAGUGUAGUUCUUUUUAACAAUAAAAAAAAUAGAAGAAAGCUUAAGAAAUUUCUCUAGUAUCGAUCAAUAAAAGUUAUUUAUCUUCCUAUAAAAGGAGAAGAAACUAAAGAGAUUAAAUAUAAGGAAAAAAAUCAUGAUCAAUCUAAAUUUAGGGGAUGAUCAAUUUGUCUUGUAUUUAGCUUUGCAAUGAAUUCACCUACCUUUGUUUUUAAAGUUUAAGUCUUUAAUACUUUUCGAGUAAGUUUGAGAUUGUGAUAUACCCAUUUAUACCAUAAUCAACUAAAUAAAUUUUUGAAAAUCCAAUAUACUAAAGAAAUCUUUUCAAGAAUAAUAAAAAGUACAAACUAUUUAAACUCUAGGACAAAAAACCACUAAAGGCGACAUAAACUCAUUACACUUGAUUUUGCCAUCAAGUGUAAAUAGUUUGUUCAUUUUGCCAUUUUUUACAAUUCCUCUAUAUUUUAAAUAAUGAAAAAACAUUGUUGAGUAUAUAUUAUAAAAAUCAUAACACAUAUGUAUAUCAUAUAUAUAAAUGGUAUAUAUGAUAAUAACCAUAUGAUAUUGAGAAAGAAAAAUAAUUCUGGUAUGUGUGUGUCUAUCAAUCAAUCAUUCUGCUCCCUCUAUGCUUGCUUUGAUUCGAAGUUGAACAUUUCGAUUGUUCAAAGGUUGCAAAGGCCUUGCAUUAGUUUCCGAGUCCUACACAUAUAAAUCAAUUUUCAACUUCCUUAUAUUAUAUCUUAAGACUAAAUUUUUUUAGCUUUAUGCAUCAUAUCUUUUUGAUAAAAACAUUAUAUUUGAAACUAAAGGUGUAAUUUAACUAGAAUUGAAAGAAGUGCUGUUUUAGAUGAAAUUAUCUCACUUACAUCAUGGACGGCUACACGAAGUAAGUUUACUUGUUCGGGUGUAACAGUCCUAACCUGAAAAAUUCAUAAGAGUAAUUUAGACACAAAAACAAGAUACCUUAUCAAAGAAUGGUCAAGCAGCAGCUUAUACAUAAGAUUGGAAAUAGAGAGGUUAUUGAAAAAUAUACCUUCCUGACUAUGGUCCAAAGCACAUUUUGAGAACAUGGAGGAACUGUUAAAGAGCCAAUAUAUCUAUAAUAUAAACUGCUUCGCAUCUUUAACAGCGAUGGAUUGACCAUGUUCAGUAAUUUAUCUCUUUGUGUACCUGAUAUUUCUACCAAAUGUUGUCUCAUCUAAGAAGGAAAAUAAAUAGUACAAAAGUUAGACUUUGUGAAUUAGAUUAUAUAUUUUUAGUAUCUUAUUUGAAAAAAUUGAAAAGAAAAUGAUUGUAAAAGACAAAAAUGUUGAAAAUAUUUACAAAAUAUUAUCAAAUUUCAUAUUGUACCAAUCAUGGACUCAUAUAUAAAUUUUGUACAAAAUUUAUGCAAUCUAACUUCUAAAAGAAGUUAAUCUGUCAUACCAAUUUCUUUAUAUAAAAAACAAAUCGAUUUUAAAGUAUGAUUACCUAUGUUUUAUUAAUAGAAAGAUGCGUGGAAAAGAGAAAUUAUGAUCUUUAAAAGGGUUGGUGGUUAAAGGUUUUGAAAGAUUACCGUAGACAAGAAGUAGUCAGGUUGUCCAAUAUUAUAGAGAAUUCCAAUGACAGCAAUCUUUCCUGUUUGGCUUUGGUGAACCAAAUGAGCUUCUAAAGCAAACCUUCUUCCAUUGAUAGUGUGUUCAGAUGGUGAAUGCCAAUGAAUUUGUCUUAGAAAAUAUCGAGUUCUAUUUACUUCCAUAUGUCCAGCUGCACUUCUCCAUUUUAACUGCAUGCAUUCAUCACAAUAAUAUACAUUUAUAUAUUAAAAUCGUUUUUUUUACUCUAAACAUGAUAACCUUAUGGAUUUUUAAAUAUGAAGCCGAAGCAGGGUUUAGAUAAACGGUAUAACCUGUGAUAUAUAUGCUAACGGCAUUUAUUCAAAUUUUGACCGAUCAAGAAAAAAAAGUUGUAACGUUGAAAGUUUAGUUGAAUUUUUUAAUCAAAGUGUUAACAGUUUUCUCGUCUAUAUAUACGACAAACAUAUUUGAAAUCUUUUAAAAAAUAUUAUUUAAAUUUGACGAAAAAAUAUAUUAGUAAUUCUAGUUAAAUGUUAUCAUCAUGUUGCAUGUAAUAAUUUUGGAAGUUUGCAUCAAACAUGAUUUAAUUUUAAAAAAUUAUAUGUUUUUAAUAAAAUAAAAAUACUAAGAAAUGUUAUUCUUGUUACCAUUAUAUCAUGCCCUCUAUUCUUAAGAGUUGCAUUUGAAGAUCCAUAGUCGAUUUGGAAGUCCGUAAAAUGCGACACAAUACGAACUCUUUGGUUCAACAAAUCAAUAGGAGAUUGCAUUUGUCCAGUGUUACAGUUAUGCCAUUCUGGUCUAAGAUCUCCCCAAUGUAUAGGUCCUCUCGUUCCAUUUGUGUUAUAAUCAAACUCUCUUUGAUUUUCUACAUGCAAUACCAAAGAAAAACAAAUGGGUUGGUAAGUAAAUUCCUCCACAAGGCAUUGAAAGUCAAAUUAUUUAUUAUUCCAUUGGAGGAAAAUCAAAAUCUUCAAAUUAAAUGCAAUCAUUCAAUCAAUUUUUUAUUUCCUUUUCCAGUUGACUUUCAUUCCUGAUCAUUAUAUUCACAGAUUGAUUAUAUUGAAUAACUUUGCGAAAAAGAAAAAGAAAAUAAAUAUACAUGCAUUAACUUUAUAACAAACUUAUAAAUUUCUAACAAAAAAUUAAGCAUAAUUUGUUUCCACAUAAUUAGGACAAUUUUAGAGACAUAAUUAAUAACAAAAGUAAUAACUUGACAAAAUAUUUUUUUAAACAACAUGAAUUGAAAGUGUUUAUUUUUAAAAUUUACAUACAAAUAAAAGGCCAAACCCGAUUAAACUUUAAUGUAAUUGCCCGAGAAGAAACUAACUCUAAAAAACAAUCAUAUUAGAAAGAAUAAGCAUGAAUCCCUACCAACUUCUUGUGACAUUGCAGGCCAUGAAACCAAAAUAAAAGCAAAGAAAAAUGAGCAAAACAGCAGCUCAAAACUCAGCUUCUUCAUCAUCUUCUAAUUAAAGACUUUGAUUUCUUCUUUGUAUAACCAAUCAAACCCAAUCUUCUUUUGGUUUGUGGGUUUUUUAGAACAAAAAAUUUGGUAUUUAAAAUGCCAAAACUUGGAAUUGUGAAUGGGAAGAUUCUGAAACUUCUGAGUUUGUUCCAUAGUCAAUUUCAACGAAGUUUGAAAAAGAGAAAGAAAUAAGGCAAUCAAUUGUUGGGCCAACCACAUCAUCACAUAUACACAUAAAUAAUUAAUGGUUCUUAGAAACAAAGUGCUGCCGUGGGAUUUCUUUUACAACUACAUAUAUAUAGGUGUGGUCCUCUUCAAGAUUCUUUAAUUUCUACCUCGCGAUGAUUCGAGAUUAGUACACAUUUGUGAUAAGUUAUUUUCAUCUGUACAACUUGUUUGUUAAUUAUUUUAGGUGACUUAUUGGCUACUUUCAUGCACGUAGCAUUUUUUGUAAUCAAGCUAUGACGGUCGAUAAAAGGUUAGUGAUGCAUGGUUGAGAUUAUAAUGACGUCUUAUGACCGACAUUGUUGCUGAGAGUACCGAAGUUGAUAAUUGAUAACGGACAUUUAUGUUUGACACUUUUUUUUUUUGUCUUACCAGCCCAUUUAUAUAGGUGCACCUUGAGAUAUUAUAAUAUUAAGUUUGACAAACUAUGAUGUUGUAUUAUUAAAAUAUUAACUAUUAAAAAAAAGGGUAUUUUGAAAAAUAGAAAAUUUGAUGAACUAUUUACGUUUUAUAGAAUAAAACGGCCAGAAACAAAUUUAAUUCACUUGAUUUUUCUGUGUAGUAUAAAUAUUUUGUCAAAUGUUCUAUUUUUGACAAAAUUUCUAAAAAAACAUAUGUGAAUUUAUUAUUUAAAUAUUUUAAAAACAUAGAAUUAUUGAAAAAGGUCCCUUGGAGUAAGCAUCACCAAGGAAGUCAAGAUUAUUGAAAAAGGGCAUUUUCCAUUUGAUGUGGCCCUUCCAAACUUUUUGCACGCACCAAUCAAGGCGUUUGUAUGGAGGAGGUUUUUCAGAGGAGCUUCCAAUAUUCGAUUGGAGGUUGUGAAGAAAUUUUAUGAUAGAGAAUACAAUCCAACCAAACACUACACGAUAGUGGAAGGCGAGAGAGUUUAUUUCGAUGCUAAGGCCAUAAACUCAUGGUACGACCUGCCCAAAGAUGCUAAGGCUUUGGGGUAGGUGUUCAAUGAUGCUGAGAUUCUUGGGUAAGUAUUAAUUACCCAACCUUUGAAGAGGUAUAGGCCAGGGAGGCGUUACAAACUAUCGUGUGGCCAGAGGCGGAGUAAGAGAUUAAUCACGUAAUAGUUAAUUGGGAAGUAUAAAUUGUAUCCACACCAGCAAAUUAACUACUAAGGCGAGCGUGUGCCUAUUUUUUUUAUCAAGAAGAAGAUACUUUCCACGCGUCAUGAUAGCACCAUCACUUUGAAGUAUUCAAUGUUAGUCUACUGCAACAUGAAGAAGUUGACGUUUAAUCUUGACGUCGUCAUAAGAGAAGUCAUCCUCGCUUGGAUGGAAAUACCCAAAGGCGGCAUGCCCAUCCCUUCAACCGUUGAGGCUCUUUGUUUGCAAGCCAUCCCAUCCUUGGAAGCCAUCUCACAAGCCAAUCUACCGGGUGGCGUGUUAACGAAACAACCCUCAAUCGCAUAAUAACUCUUCAUUAGAACAAUGAUGAAGAGCACCGCUUGAAAACUAGAGGCUAAAGUAAAGGCUUGGAUGACACAAACGUGAUCUCUCUGCCCCCCACAACCCCUUAAAAGGAAGGUCGCCAUUGUUGUGUCAAGCUCUAAACCCGUUAAAAAGAAAUCUAGAUUUGAUGCGACUAUUGACCUUAAACCUCUCAAAGUCAUUGCAAUGAUAGUUAUUUGUUGUCAUAAAGUAAAAAUUAAUAACAUUUAUUUUCCGUCAUGAAAAAACUUAUUGUGAUGGUUUUUUAAAACUGUCAUGGAAGGACUUUCCACAAUAGACGAUACUAUGACUAAAAAUAACUGUCACGGAUUUUGUUCGCAACAUAAAACAACUGUCAUCUUAGACCAUUUUUGUUGUAGUGUUGCUUCUUCCACUAGUACAAAAUUCGGUUUUAAUGUUGGUUUGCAACCGACAUCUAUAAUUGUGUUAUUAAAACUCUUUAAUAUUGGCUGGGCUUUGAUGUCGAUUUAAAACCGACAUUAAAGAGACCAACAAUUUGAACUUAAAAUUGACAUCAUAGAUCCCCAAAAUGUUAGUUUAAAACUAACAUUAAAGCCUUAUCUUUUGGGUCCAUUUUUACAAAUUUAUUUUUAUUAAAUUGUUGCAUUAUUGUCCAUUUUUUAUGACACAAAAGAGUUAAAAACCGACAUUAUAUGGGUCCAUGUAGAUAAAUAUUUUUUCUUAUGCCAACAAAUAAAAAUAAUAAUAUUUGUUUAGAAACUAUAAUAUUUCUCUUUUUCACGUGUAUAUACAAAAUGAAAUCUUAAUAUUGUGUUUAUAUAUACAUUCUACAGCAGUACACGAAACAAAAUCCUAGUACCAAACUUAAAUAAGAAAUCCUAAAUAUAUUCACAGUCUUCAACCUUCAACGAUUGUUUAGCUAAUUUAUACUCAAUUGUCUGGCUAUCUACAUGAUGACUUAGCUAUUUAUAAUAACAAAGAAAGUGAUCGUUUAGCUACUCCAACGACAAAGAAAGCGAGAAGUUUAACUAUUGAGUUGACUAGCUAAGUACCAUUUACGAGAAUGGGAAAAGUAAAAAAAAAGAAAAAAAAAACUUUCAUAUGGAUGAAAUGAAGAUGCUUGAAGCCUGUAACCAUAAGAAGUUAUGUGAGAAAUAUCAAUAUAUAUAUACCUCAACAUAAUAGUGCAGCCAAUGAAACUGUAAGCAGUAAAGCUUCACUUCCCCCUUCAUUAAAAUAGCCUCCAAAAUCAUAAGGUUUAGCGAGCUAAAUUAAACAAAAUUAAGGGCGAGGAAAAAUAAUACAGAAGAAGUACUGUUAAAUAACAGACUUCGUAAGGGCAGAAUCAAUAUCCAACUUCAUCAUCAAGUAAUAAACCACUAUUCUUUGCUGCAAAAUAAACGCAACAAUCCAUUCUUAAAAGUUAAAACUAUAAACACAGAUGAUAUCAACAAUCCCAAGUCUCAGCUAUGUUAUAUGCCAUGUCCAAUCCUUUUACUUUAAACUAAGUCAUUAUGAGCUUAAGCUUUAGCAUCAGGUUCCCUGCUUGAAGUACCAGGCUCGUUAAUAGGCCCUGCAAGAAAUGUUCUAUCGACUUUUUCACCUUCUUUACAAACUCCAACUUAAGCUUCACAUCAUGAUCAUGAGCAUCUGGCAAAGUCAAUUGUAUGAAGCGUUACCUGAAAAACUAACUGAGUUAAUCGCAAUGCUACUAGUAAGUGAAGCAUUAACUUCUUUUCCUCAAGCUUAUCGUCACUAAAAAUCUUCAGCCUUUCCUCGGCAGCCUCACUGGUAAGACCCUCUUUGCUACAUCUCAGAUUUUCAUAAAACCUCUUUAAUGGGUAUAUUUUCCUGCAGUUAAAGAAAAUGAGAACGCAACCAAAACAAACAGCCAAACACCAAAAUGGCUUCAUGUCUAUAUUUGCAGAUCUUUACAAAUAUUUUCAUCGAACUUUACAAAAUUUUCAUCAAACUUAAUACCAAAAAAAAAAAAAAGAUAAAAAAUAAAUAAUUCAACAACACAGAGUUCGCAAUCAAUCUCACUAAACCACUUAUGUACAGGGAUGGGUAUACUUUUCUAAACUUACCAAAUUUACAGCAUAUUAUUAGUUCUAUAUAUAUAUAUUUCUCAUUGAGCUCUUUUCUAACAUAUAUACCACCGAAUAAAUAUAAGUGAUAUUGAGAUAUAAGCUUACCUAUAUACUAGUUCAUAUGCCUGGACAUCCUUGCAUUCAUCAACAUCUGGACAUGAAUGAUGAGCAAGAGCAUGAACCAAGUAUGGUAAUAUGUAUUCCGGAUAAGCUGUAGCUGAAUUGGUUUCCGAUUGCAUUGACAGGUCGUGCUUUAUCUUGGUGAUGCAUUUGAAUAAUGUCAGCAAGAUUUUGUUUCUUCUGUUAACUCAAAUAGCACAUGAAAUUAACAAAAAUUGAAAUCCUAGCCAACCGAGGCAAUGAGAUGCGUAUUUUCUCUGAUGAAUGAAAAGACAGUUCAAAUCAUGUCUAGUUUAAUUCCUCACCAAACUCAGAUGGAUUGGAACCAUUUAUGUUAAAUAAGAAUUCACAUGCAUCUUUUUGCAGCCAACAUUCAAUCUUUGAUGAACUUUGUUCAAGAAUACUUUUCCCAGCUUGAGGAAACGUGAUCUACAAUAUACCAGAACAUGCAAAAGCACCAGUUAAACUUACAUUCACAAAUAAAACCCUUCUUUAGCAUGAUUAUGACAAGAAUAAGUUUCCAUACUACCUUAUAUGAAAUCAGACCACAUCAAGAAAUUAAAAAGAUCUAAAAAUGUGGCAGUUUGAAAGACAAACUUUCUAUGGACUUGCCUAUGGUGUUUUUAUGGUUAAGUGAAAGGUACUAAUUGUAUCUUUAUCAUCCCAUUGCUUAGAUAGUCGAAAAAUAAUUUCAAAAUAAUAAAAUUUUAAUUUUUGGGUGUUUCAUGUUUAUUAAUUAACGUGUUUUUAUUGUUAUUAUUUUUGUUAUCUCAAUUUAUAAAAAUUGAGGCUUUAUAAUCACACGUGAAAAUAAUAUGAACCAUGGACACAAAAAUUCUAAUUUAAUGAGAACAAAUUAUACUUAAAUUAUAAUCAACCAAUUAACGAUUUAUAUUUUAAUUGACGACCAAGAAUUAAUGGUUUGAACGGUAUAAAAAUAUUAGAAAAAUUUUUAAAAAUAGCAAAAUAAAUUAAAAUGUUUAUAAACUAUAGCAAAAUUUUAGAUUCUAUUACUGAUAUUUUUCUAUCACUAUAACAUAUGAAUGACUAUCAGUAAUAAAAUUUGCUAUAGGUUGUAAAUAUUUGGUAAAAUCUACUGUUUUCUAAAAAAAAUCAUAAUAUUAGAUUGUUCUCUCAUCCCCGUAAAGAAAGAUUCAUUUAUAAGAAAAGAGACUAAAGAGAUGAAACAUAAGAAAACAAUGUGGGAGAUCAAUUUGUCUAAUAUUUAAGCUUUGCAAUAUGAAUUCUUUAAUACUUCCCUUGUAAGUUUGAGAUUGUGAUGUACCCAUUUAUACCAUUAUCAACCAACUAAAUUGAUGAAAAUCCAAUAUAUUGAUAUAAAGAAAAACAUUAUUGAGUGUAUAUUAUAAAAAUGAUAACACAUGUGUAUAUCAUAUAUAAAUUAAACAAAGAAACAAGAUAUGUAUGGUAAUAACCAUACGAUAUUGAGAAAGAAAAAUGAAGAAAUAAUUCUGGUAUGUGUGUGUCUAUGAAUCAAUCAUUCUGCUCCCUCUAUGCUUGCUUUGAUUCGAAGUUGAACGUUUCGAUUAUUCAAAGGUUGCAGAGGCCUCGCAUUAGUGUUCGAGUCCUGCAAAUAUAAAUCAAUUUUAAACUUCAUUAUAUCUUGAAACUAACAAAUUUUAGCUUUAUGCAUCCUAUCUUUUGGAUAAAAACAUUAGAUGCAGAACUAAAUUUGUAAUAAAAGAAGAUUGUUUUAGAAGAAGUUAUCUCACUUACAUCAUGGACGGCCACACGAAGUAAGUUUACUUGUUCGGGUGCAACAGUCCUAACCUAUAGAAUUUAUAAGAAUAAUAAUUUAGGCACAAAAACAACAUAUCUUAUUAGAGAAUAGUCGAGUAGCUGAUAUAAGAUUGGAAAUAGAGAGGUAAUUGAAAAAUACCUUUCUGACUAGGGUCCAAAGCACAUUUUGAGAACAUGGAGGAACUGUUAAAGAGCCAAUAUAUCUAUAAUAUAAACUACUUCGCAUCCUUAACAGCGAUGGAUUGACCACGUUCAAUAACCUAUCUCUUUGUGUACCUGAUAUUUCUAUCAAAUGUGGUCUCAUCUGGAAAGGGAAAUAAAUAGUACAAUUCUUAGAACUUUGUGAAAUAGAUUAUAUAUUUUCAAUAUAUCUACGUCGAAAAAAUUGGAAGGGGAAUUAUUGUAAAAUACAAACAUGUGAAAAUGUAUACAAAAUAUUACCAAUGAUAGACACAUAUUGUACAAAUUCAUGCAAUCUAACUUCUAAAAGAAAUUAAUCUGUCAUACCAAUUUUUUUUAUAAAAAAAAGAUCGAUUUUAAAGUAUGAUUACCUAUGUUUUAUUAAUAGAAAUAUGCAUGGAAAAAAGAAAUUAUGAUCUUUAAAAGAGCUGGUGGUUAAAGGUUUUGAAAGAUUACCGUAGACAAGAAGUAGUCAGGUUGUCCAAUAUUAUAGAGAAUUCCAAUGACAGCAAUCUUUCCUGUUUGGCUUUGGUGAACCAAAUGAGCUUCUAAAGCAAACCUUCUUCCAUUGAUAGUGUGUUCAGAUGGUGAAUGCCAAUGAAUUUGUCUUAGAAAAUACUGAGUUUUAUUUACUUCCAUAUAUCCAGCUCUACCACUCCAUUGUAACUGCAUGCAUUCAUCACAAUAAUUAAUAUGUCUAUAUGUUAAAAUCUUUUUUUUUUUUUUUCAUUCUAAGCAGGAUAACGUUAAAGAUUUUUAAAUGAAGCCGAAAUAGGGUUUAGAGAUGUUAUUCUGGUUACCAUUAUAUCAUGUCCUCGAUUCUUAAGAGUUGCAUUUGAAGAGCUAUAGUUGAUUUUGAGGUCUGUAAAAUGAGACACAAUACGAACUCUUUGGUUCAACAAAUCGAUAGGAGAUUGCAUUUGUCCAGUGUUACAGGUAUGCCAUUCUGGUCUAAGAACUCCCCAAUGUGCAGGUCCUCUCGUUCCAUUUGCAUUAUAAUCGAACUCUCUUUGAUUUUCUAGGUGCAUACCAGAUAGAAACAAAUGGGUUGGUAAGUAAAUUCCUCCACAAAUAUUGAAUUCAUAUUAACCGUUUUUUCAUGGAUGAAAAUCGAAAUCUACAAAUUAAAUGCAAUCAUCUAAUCAGUUUUUUAUAUUUUUCAUUUGACUUUUUUCCAAAAAAAAAAAGUUUUUAUUAUUUUUCCUUAGAUAAGAAAUUUUCAUUUUUUUUUGUUAGAAAACAACCGUUUUAUAUUUCAAACAUAGAGUUCUAUAUUCAUUAUAAAAAAACUAAUAGCUAGAAAUUUAAACAUCAAAUUUUCAUAUUCGAAUCCAUUUAGAUCUUUUAGUUAUAACUAUCUUCGCUUAAUUUCAUUAAGAUCAACUAUAAUUGUCGAUAUAAAAUUAUUUCUACGUAAAUAUUAUGAAAAUUUUCUUAAAUGAGCAAGGACUGCUUGUAUUAUUAGUUUAUGUGAAAAUUUGUUUGUGUUAAUCUUUUCUAAAAAUUAUAUUAUAAAUUUAAUUUAAAUAAUUGUCAUUAAUAUUAGAUUAUUUGCACUUAAACUAAUACACAUGAAAAAUAUACACUUAAAACUCUCGGUUAGUAUUGGUGCUUGUGCUAUCAACCUCGUAGUUUCUCCUACCUCACAGGUUAACGUAAUAAUUUUGUAAAAGUGAAAGAAAAAAAGAGAAGACUUUUAUAAAUUUCUGUAAAAAGCUAUAAAUACCAAAUAUUUACAAAUUAUAUAUAUAUAUGAUAUACUAAGAUAAACUAUAUUUAUAUGUGUUUAUAGACCAUCAUUUUGUUAGACACAUAUAUUGGUCCGUUACAAAUAACCAUAGAUAGAUUACACUAUUUUAUUAUAUUUAUAAAUAUUAUCAGCUAUUUUUUCCUUUAAAUACUUUUCUUUAAAACUAAAUACUAUGAAAAACUGACCAAAUAUUAUAAGCGUGGUUAGAGACAAAUUGAGACAAAUGUUAUUCUAAAAGGAAACUUAGAUCAAAUUAAAAAAUAAAAAUAAAAGAGACAAAAAUGCAUGGUUGGUUCUCACAUUUACAAUCUAUAUGACUUUUAAAGUUCGAAAAUAAUAAGCAUGGUUAGCCCCUCUUAAACUAUUUUUUAAAACAUCCUGAAUUGAAAGUGUUUAUUUUCAAAUUUUAGAAACAAAUAAAAGUCCAAACUCAAUUAAUCUUUCAUGUAAUUUGCCUUAAAAGAAACUAACUCUAAUAGAACUCAUAUUAAAAAUAACAAGCAUGAAUCCCUACCAACUUCUUGAGACAUAGCUGGCCAUGGAACCAAAAGAAAGGCAAAGAAAAAUGAGCAGAACAACAGAUCAAAACUCAGCUUCUUCUCCAUCUUCUAAUUAUAGAACUUUAUUUCUUUUCUGUAUAUAAUUUCUUUGUAUAACCAAUCAAACCCAAUCUUCUCUUUUGGUUUGUUGGUCUUUUAGAACAAAAACUUCGGUAUUUAUAAUGCCAAAACCUGGAAGUGUGAAUGCAAAGAUUUUGAAGCUUCUGAGUUCCUUCCAUAGUCAAUUUCAACCAAGUUUGAAAAUAGGGAGAAAUAAGGCAACCAAAUUAAUUGUUGGGCAACCACAUCGUCAUCACAUAUACAUAAAUAAUUAAUGGUUAUUAGAAACAAGAUGCUGCCGUACCAUUUCUUUCACAAACUACAUAUAUAGGUGGUCCUUCAAUAUUCUGUCUACCUCGCGAUGAUUCCAGAUUAUUUCAUGUUUGUGAUAACUUAUUUCUAUACGUACGACUUAUUUGUCGUUACUUCAAAUGAUUUAUUGGUUAUUUUUAUGCAUGUAACUUUUGUUUUAUCAUGCACUUACCAUUACAAAUUAAAUCUUCUAUGUCAAUAAAAGCAAAUGUGUGUAUAGCAAUGACGGUGGAUAAAAUUAGGUUAUAAUGAUGUUUUGUGACCAACGUUAGUUAGCAAAGCUUACCAAAGUGAUAAACUAACAGACGUUUAAUAUGCGACACUGUACACAUAUUUUCCUUACCAACCCAUUUAUAUAUAUACACACACACCAUCACAACUCUACUUAUCGACAAUGAAUAUUAUGAUAUAUAAAUUUAAGAAACUAUAAUGUAAUAUAUUAAGUUUUUAAAGUUAUGUGAAUGUAAUAUUAUUUUCACUAUUCUUUACACAUGGAAUAUUAUUGUUCCUGUUAGAAAAACUGUAUAAUUUUUUAUUUACAUGAAAGAUCGUAUUUGAAAGCCGUAUAAAGGAUUUAAAUUUCGCCCUUUGAGCUACUUCAAUUUUGUGACACCACACGAUUUUGGUCUCUCUUUUAAUGGAUCACUCUAGGAACUUGAACUCAACUCAAGACAUCCUCUCUCUCUAUCUCUAGUAUGAAAUUAUCUUAAAUAAUGGAUUGAAUCAAAAACUUGAGCGAAUAGAUAAUGAUAAAUUUUAAUAUAUUAUAUCAUCUAGCACUUUAAAUUUUUGUUAGGAGAAUUAUUUUUAAGUAAAGUGUUUAAGAUCAGUUUGUGAGCUUUUGGAUUUAUUUGCAGUAGUUUUCCGUUAGGAAUGGAAGAACUUAAGGUUGUCUUGAGAACUCUGAAAUUAUAAUUUUGUUUAAUUAUUUAAUUUGAAAGGUUGGAUUGAAGAAAAUAUAUAUUUUUCCAAAUACUCCUUUUCAAAUCAAACAUUUAUGCAUAAUUCCUUUUGUGUUUAUGGGAGUGCAGAAAUAGUCUCCUCUCACACUUCUCUGGUAAGCAAACAAUUCCAUGGUUUGGGUAAAUAUAAGCUUUAUACUUUGCAAUAUAUAUAAUUUCUUUUUAGGCAGAAUUCAUUUAUUUUAAGUUCUUUCUAUUGAAAAUUUGUAAAAGAUAGCAAAAUCGACAAAACUUCAUAGAAAAGUAAGUAUAAUAAAUUUUUUGUCCUGGACUUUUUUGUUAUUUUUUUAAAAAUUCCUUCUUUAUUUUGUACUUAAACAAACAUACCCCAUUUGUUACCGUCUCUUAGGAAAAUAAUUAUAUGAGCCUCCAAAUAGAGAAUAAGUUCUCAAUCUUUGUAUUCUGCAGGUGUGUAUAUAUACUGUUUAAUGUACAUUGGCUCAACAAUUUGUCAUGGUUUCUUUAUUAUGAGUUCAAGUGAAUUAGUUAAUUUUUCUGUUUGAUGAAAUCUGAGUUAUGUAUAUUAAAGGAAUUGAUAUUUUAUUUUGUGCAUAUAUAUAUAUACAGGUAAAUGAAAAAAUAUUUCUAUUUUAUUUCUCACUCGUGUUUUUUCAAUAAGCAAAACGAUGACAAACAUUGUCUCUUACCAAAAAAAACAUUAAAAUGUAUGAAAGAUACAAAAGUAAAGGGUAAGAAGAGGCCAUAAUACAGAGAUAAUGGAUUAUAAGUUCAAAUUAAAAUGGUGAAUAUUGAUUGGGGCAGACAAUUGAAAUAUCAACGACUGCAAAUUAGCCUUUUAUUGGUUAAAGAAAAUGUUAAAUAUUUACCAGAAAUCAAACUUUUGGUUUCAAAUAAAUACUUUAAAGAUAAAUUUUUAAAGUUGGACAUCUUAAGUAAUUUUGAUGUGGCUGUCAUUUUAGAUUAAUAUAUUUGUUCUAAAUAAAUAAUCUGUAAAAGAUGUUUGUUUCAUUUGCAGGUGAUGUAUUGAUAAGAGGAAAAUGACCCUCUGGUGAAAAAAAUGUUUAGAAAUGAUAUUUUGUUACCUAUAAUAAAAUUAUUCAUGUAAAGGAAGAAACUACUAAAAAAAAUAUCCGUAAAAUAUAGUAGAAUUUGAGUAUAUAGUUUCUAUCAAAAUUUAUAGAAAGAUUAUAAAUAUUUGUAGAUAGACCCUAAUAGACACUCAAGAAAUUGAUAAAGAUAAGUCUAUCCAUAUUUAUAAUUAAAAGAGUCGAUUAUAUUUUAUAAAUAUUUUUAUUUAUAAAUGGUCUACAACAAAAAUGGUCUACAGCGAUUGUUAUUUUCUAUCUCGAACAAAAUCUUUGACAGUUAUUUACAGUUAUAGUAUCGACUGUUGUAGAAAGUCUUUUUAUGAUAGUUUUAAAAAAUUGUCACAAUAAGUUUUUUCAUAACAAAUAAUAAAUGUCAUUAAUUACUAUUUUAUGAUAACAAUUAACUGUCAUAUUUUAUUUUAUGACAAUAAAUAACUACCAUCAUUUGCAUAUUAACGACAGUUAUAAAAAUGUCAAUAAUUCGUUUAUUAUGACAUUUUUUAUCUGUCAGUGAUAUGUCAAUCGUGACAAUUUUUUAUAAAAAUAAAUGUCAUCUUUUCGAUAUUGACGACAGUUACAAAAAUGCCACGAAUUCGUAUAUUAUGACAUUUUUUUCCUGUCAAGGAUAUGCCAAUCGUGACAGUUUUUUUAUAAAAGCAAAUGUCAUUGUUUCGCUAUUGACAACAGCUACCAUUACACUAACCAUUUGUAUAACAAUAAUGUUCUAAUACAUCAUACCCAUAUAGAAAUAAAGAGUGAACACUUUAAUAUAUGUACGCUAUAAUACAUUUUGAAAUAUUCAUACAACCAUUGACUAAUAACCUUUUUUUUUUUUUUUUUGUUAAAAGGUAGUUUACAUACAAAAAGAAUAAACAUUAACAUCUUUAGGUACCAACAAACUUAAAAUCAAAACAUUGGAAUCAAGAUUUUUCUACUAACCAUACAAAAAGCUCUAUAUCAAUCCAUUGCUCCAUGUUGGCUUCACUACUCCAAUGGAUUCUUUCAAACAUAAUAAGAACACAAAAUCUCAUUUUAGAGUAUGACUAAAUAACAUAGUCUAAGCAAAUCAAUUCACAAGUAAACAAAAACAGUUAAAACGGACAAGGUAAAGAAAUGAUACACCACUACAAAUAAAAUGGCCUACUAUCACUUACUUGGUAACUUAGAAUUUGGAGGAAGUUUGAUAGAUUCAUGUUAUCAGUGUUGAUACAAUUGUCUACCAUCAUUUUAGAUUCAUGUUAUCAGUGUAGUAACAUAUUCCAAUUUCUAAGCCAAAAUAAAUAAAUAAGAUGCGUAAUUGGAGAUAUUGAUUUAAAGUUUUCAUCAACUUGAAGGUGCAGAAAAAACAAAAAUACAGCAAGCAUCAACAUAGUUUGUUUUAAGUCUUCAUAUCCAAUUGAAAACAAAGUGAGGACUAGCAAUCUUUAUAGAGAUAACCAACAUUCAAGUUUUCACAUUUCAUGCCAAUGUCUACAUAGAGCACCAACAUUCUAAGAUUUUGUAACACAGAUACAAAUAAAUACAUCUCUCCAAAUCAUAGAAGGAAAAUGGUGGCAUACCUCUGGAUGGGAACUCACAAAUUAUGAUUGCAUAUACUGGUAUUCCUUACUCUCUACUAGGACACCAAAAUUGAAAGAAAUAUGAAGUUCUAGCUUUAUGCAGCUGAUACGCUUAUCAAAGACCACAACUUUCUUAAACAUAAUUUCUUCCCUUAAAAUAAACUUCAAUUGAGACAAAUGACGGUAUGAAAACCUUCUGCAAUCAUAACCAUCAAUUUUAGAAUUAAAGAAAAGAGCUUAGAUACGAACUCCACCCUUUCAGAUUUAACUUCAUCAAUGUCACUUUGAGAAUACUUACGGGACUUAUAAGUACUUAUUUAGUUAAAAGAAAUCAAGUGUAACAUAUUUGGUCACCAUGUAAUGCAACUAAUAUGAAGGGAAGCAUACAUACAUAUAAAGUAUACAAAAUAAUUUGAUAAGUACUUUUUCCUAGCGAGUUAAUAUAUAUAUAUAUAUAUAUAUAUAUAUAUAUAUAUAUAUAUAUAUAUAUAUAUUUUUUUUUUUUUUUUUUUUUUUUUUGUUAUAUUAAGCAUAUAAAGGGAGGGACUUUAACUUAACAGUAAUUGACUAAGUGAUUAAAUCCUUCCUCUCUAUAUUUAGUAUACUGCAAAAAAAAAAUCCAAUUUCAACCUAAUUUUUACCAUACACAAACAAAUUCAAUGGUCAACUUUUAAUAACCAAUUUUUAGGGGAAAAAGCUAUUAGAUUUUGAGGUUUUUUUUUAAAGAACAAAAAAAAUAAACAAAAUACAUAUACAUCAUAACAAAACAAUCUCCUUUUUAAACAUAACAAAACUUAGACUCAUCCAAACUAACUUUGAUUUUGUUAUGCAAUUCACAUAAAAGCUAAAAUUACCAAACAAUCCAAUAGUUCACCAUCAAAAUAAAAGUCUCUCAAUAAUCAAUUUCAAGCUAAAAUCACCAAACAUUCCAAUAGUUCACAAUCAAAAUAAGAGUCUCUCAAUAAUCAACUUGUUUUUUCAGUUCAUUUUCCAAAGUAGAAUCAAAUUCUCCACAAUCUAACUCUAAAGAACCAGUAAGAAACACUAAAAUUCAUCCCAACUCCAUAUUCAUAUCCUUUCUCACACAGUUUAGAAAUUUGAGCAUCUACCAAUUGUAACUCAAAGAUCUCCAACCAUAAUAAAAAGAUUCUCUUCGGAAGUCUAACAACCAAAUUCUACUUAUACCAUCUAUCUAUCUUCAAAUCAGAGGUGAAAUAUAUAGAAAAUACCUAAAUCGAAGGCGGCGAAAGAGUUGGAUUUAUGAGAAACUCCACCAUAUGUAGCAAUCUAUUCUAAUUUAAAUAGUUUGCAUUAUGCAUUAACACAAUUUAGAGGAUCAUGAAAACUUCUAUAUAAUUAAUUAAUGACAUUAUGAGUUAACAUUCAUUACAUAGUCAAUAAUAACAAUCCUAAACCUCGUUGGCUAAUGUUUGCAUUAAUCCUAAACCAUUUUUCGUUAUAUGGAUUAAAGCUUUAUGAGAAUGUGAUGAGCAUGUUGAGUUCUAGAUUCAAAAGGACACUAAGAUGAAAGAAUCCUUCGUAGGAUCUGAGAGAGUAAAGUAAUUUAAAUGUGCCUCCUCUUUAAGGCUCACAAUUUAAAUUAUCUAGUUAAACACUGAAACCAUAUUUAGAAGUUCAAAUAAAAUAUAAAGAGAAAAGUCAUUCAAAUGCAAGAAACCAUAUAAUUUUUUGUUGCAAAUAAUAGUAGUAUAAUCAACAAACAAGAGAAUAACCCUAUAAAGUAUAAAAUUUAACCUUAUAUGAAUCAACAAAACAAUAAGCAGUAUCUAGAAAAGCAUGAUGAAUUAUUGUGGAUAACUGUAGUCAUACAAACAAGUCAAAAAGGGAGAGAGAAGAAGAAGAGAGGGGAAAAUAAAAAUGAAUCAAUGUAGAAAAUUCACCUGAUUGAAGAAAUCAACAGUUGAAAUAACCAAAUGAAUGUUUAAGUAUUGGAACAAUAAGCAAAUGAAUGUUUCACUUUAAAUUUCAAAUUAAAAUAAAGUGAAAUUUUAUUUAAUUUAUUAUUAUUUUAAAUAGAAAAUAAAAUUGACGAAACAAUCAAAGUUGAUUAAUAAAAAGGGUAAAUAUCUAAAAAUAUAUAUAAUCCAAUCUUGAAUUCAUAUAGUUGUAUCACUUAGCUUACUACCUCAAACUCAUAAUUGUGUUAAGUAAUUACAUUUUUACGGCUUUAUAAGUGAAUUAAUUAGACCAUCCAACAUGAAGAUUUUGUUUUAAAGCUAUUGUUGUCAUCUUCUCUUUUUUCCUAAAUCUAUUUAAAAAGAAUUAUACAAGGAUUUUUUUUCAAUAAAAAAAAUUACCUAUAUUGUGUGGACUUUUGGAAGAAGAAUAAUUUAAGUAAUUUUGAAUUGAUUUUAAAAUAAAUAAAAAAAACUAAUAGAAUUUUCUAGGUUGAAAUGACAUAUAUUCUGGCAUUUGAAAUAUGUGGGAAUUAUUAUGGAAUUUCUGUUUGAGAGGGAAAUUUCAUGGAAACUUUCAUUAUAUAAGAGGUAAUGUCCAUGAAACUAACCCUUCUCUCAUUUGAAAUUAUAGAUCAUAAAUAAUUGAGAAUCCAAAUAGACUAUGGACCUAUCCAAUUAGACGAUUUUGUGCCAUUUAAAAUUUGUGGAUCAACUUUUUGUUUUUUUUUUCUUAUUUUCACUUUCUUCUUUUUUUUUAAAUACAAUACAUACUUGGAGAUUUAAAUUGCAGACCUCUUGAUCGAUAACGUAUAUUAAUACGUCAAUAAAACUAUAUUUGCUUUGAUGGACUUAAAAUUCUACUAAUGUAUGGGAAAAAAAUAGAUCUUUGUUGGUGUAUUAGUGCUUUGUUUUUUUUAUUUAAUUUAUAGUAGUUAUGUAAAAUAAAAAAUGAGUUCACGUAUUUGAUAGCAGCAAAAAUGUGUUAUCUAAUCUCAAUUAAUUCGAGAUCGUUUUUGUGAUUUUUAUAUUUCAAUUUGAUUAUUUUAUAGGUUAAUCCGUGAGUUACAUAGGUAGAAUCGAGUAUAAAGGAGAAAAAAAUGAAGCUAAAAUGGACCAAUUUGGAGUCAUGGCAAAGAAAUUAGGCCAAAAGACUAAAAAAUUACACUAAAAGGGAUGCAAAAUUUUCGCUUUUGUGACAGUUUCUUGUACCUUGUGACGCUAUUGCACGCAUAUAAAUCUAUAACUUCGAUUUUUAGGUUAUAACUUUUGAUCUAAGGGGCUAUUUUGCAUGUAUGACCACUCACUUUGUUAGACCCGUACCUAAGUAAGGAGGUCAAUUUGGGACCAAGUGUUUUUGAAGAAGACGUUUUGAAAGAAAGAUGCGAUGAGAAGCUGGUGUUGAGUUUGUUCGUGAGAAAAUAAGGGAUGUGAUAGGACUUAUGGCAUUUCAAAUUUAGCCUCCCCUUUAUUCUCUUUGCAUUUUUUAAAAUAAUUUAUACCAAUUUUUUAGAUUUUCUUGUAGUUUCAACAUUUUUUGCCUCUAUUUGUUCUUUUUCAUUUAUUUUAAGAAUGUUUGGGUUUUUUUCAUUUGGUUCUAUUCUUCUAUUUAUACUCAUGGUUUACGUUUGAUUUUGUUAAUUCUAUUCAAUUUUUUAAAAUCACCAUUGGCAUGAGAUUUUUGGUUUCUAUAUAGUUAUUGAGUAUUUGACGAGUAUGAUGGAAUGUUUAAGUAAUCAAAUAAUAAUCAUAUUGUAGUUGGUAUUAGUAAUCAGCAAUGGACUUAUUAAAUUUUAUUUUUUAAAGAAACAAUAAACAGAAUUCACAAUCAAUAUCAAAUAUUAUUCAAAUAACAAUCGAAUAGUAAUCGAUAUCAUUGUCAAUCAAAUAAUUGCUAGUAUUAAAUAGCAAUUAGACAACAAUUAUGUAACAAAUAAGUAUUAUAAGCAAUCAAGAUAAGACCCGACAAGAAUAUGUAAAUUUGAAUUUACAAAUCAAAGAUAUAGUUGUUCUUUUAGUACUUUUUAGCAUAUUAAAACACAAAGGUUUGGUACUUAAAAAACCUAAUUUUUCAAGUCAAACAUUGAGAAUUGUCAUUUGACCUUCAAUGUUUCCCGAAAGAAAUAAAUUGAAGUCACAUGAAGUUAGAAAAAUAAAUAAAUAUAUAUAUAAUCGAUAUCAAAUAUCAAUCAAACAACUAUCAAAUAACAAAUAAAUAUAUAAUAACAAUUAGAUAACAAUCAAUAUCAAAUAACAAUUAGACGUGUCAAAUAAAAAAAACUAAUCAGAUGUCAAUUAGAAGGCAAUCAACUAAUAUAAAAAAGGUACUAUGAAAAAUAUAACAAUUGAAAAGUAACCAAAAGACUUCAUAAGCUAACUAAAAUUGAAAAAAAAAAAAUCAAAUGUUUAUCUUAGAAGGUUAGCUAAAAUUGAGAAGAAAAAAAAUAGAAAAUAAUCGGAUGACAAUCCAAAGGUAAUCAAAUGAUAAUCAGGCGGUAAUCAAAUGAUAAUCAGACGGUAAUCAAAUGACUAACCAAGUAUUUUGUUAUUAUGAUUAAGCUUCCUAUGGUCAUUUUUCAUAAUGGCAAUAGAUAGGAUGAUCAACAAUGUUAUGUAGAUUACAAAAAUAGAUGUUAAUCAGAAACUACUUAGUAAUUGCCCAAAUAAAUGUAAGGUAAUCAAAUGUCAAUCAUAAUGCAAUAAAAAAAAUUCUUACCCAAAAAUUCUUAAUCAAAUGUCAAUCAUAAUUGCCCAAAAAAAUGAAAGGUAAUCACAUGACAAUAUAAUGGUAAUUAGAAACUACUUAAUAAUUGGCAAAAGUUAGAAGAUAAUUAAAUGGUUAUCAAAAUCUACUUUAGUCAUUAUAAAAAAAAAUGUAAGGUCAUUGGAUAGUCAUUAGUAUCUCUUGUAAUUAAAUAACAACCAAUAUUCUAAUUAAAUAACAACUAGAUGGUAAGUCGAUAUCAUUAACAAUCAAAUAAUAGUGAGCAUCAAAUAUCAAUUAGACAGUAAACAAAAAAAACAAUCAAAUAGCAAUCAACAUCAUUGAUAACAAAUGUUAAUCAGAUGAAAAUCCGAUAUCAAUCAGACAAUAAUCAAAUAUAGUUUCACAUUUUUAACUAUAAGAGCAUUUUAGUCAUUCGACAGUUUCAAUUCGGUUGGACUUGUUAGUCAUAGGACGUUUCAAUUGGAUUGAGUUUGUUAAUUUGUCGUUUCUACAAACUUUAAAAUAUUAGAUCGUAAACUUAAUUUUCAUUUUAUAUUUUGUAACGAUAAUAAAUGCGUGUAAUCUUUUAAAUGUAUGUGCUUAUUGUUUUGUUACGACUACAUUAGUUAUACUUGCAUAUUUAAGGGACGGGUGAACAAAUGGCUAAAACAGAAUGAAAAUAUUUGCCUACUAUUUAAAAAUUAGCAAACAGACGAAAAUAUUUCUACCGUCAAAUCCCCGUAUACAUUAAGGGUGUGUUGGGGAGGGAAAGAAAAGGGUUAUCAUAAUCCUUCCUCAAUUCUGUCCAUCAUUCCUCAUUCCUUAUUCCUUACUCGAUUCUUUCUUAUUCCUUCUUAUUCUUUCCUUAAUCCAUAUCAAUCAUUUCUUAUUUAUAAUUUAUAAAUUCAAGUUUAAAUACUAUUUAAUCCAUUUUUUUUCAAAUGUACUUACGAGUUUGGUUAGUUUUAAUAUUUUUAUUUAAAAAACACAAUUUGUUUUUAAGUUAUGAAUUUGGUACAAUUACAUUAGUUUAAAAUUUUAAUUUCUUCUUUUAUUCUUGAAUUAGGUAAUUUGUUGUGAUUGCACAGUUUGACCCGUACUUUCUUUUUGCUCAUGCAUUAUGAAAACUAAGACGGUUUUGUAAAUUAAACAUACGAAAUUUGUGUUUUGGAUUUAGAAUAUGAAUUUUAAAAAAAUACAUCAUAAUACUACUGUCAUAAUUCUUUUCCCAAAUGCAUACAUUCGAACUAUUAUAAUACUAAGAUUAUCAUAACACUAAUCCUACCAUAAAUCAACCAUUCCCCCGACAUCUCCAAGUAUUUCUAACAAUCUAAAACAAGAUCUAGUGAACUAAAUUGCCAAUUGUGAAACGAAUGAAAAGAAAAACCUAAAACGGCCAAAAUCAAAUAGUAAAUCAAAUGGAACUUUUAGUCCUUAAACGAAUCUAAAAUAAUAUCACUAAAACAAAAUCGAUAUCAAAUGAAGUCGAUCUCAUACUACCUUCUGCAAAAGUAAAAAGCAACUUCAACUUUAGUAUGAUUACCUUAUAUUAACUAUAAUCUUUCUUCAUAUUUUAUCAUCCACCUAAGAACAACUUAAAUCCAGCUAAAAAACAAACAAACUUCAUCAAGUCAUUACAAAACGAAAAGUAUUUUAUUCCCAAAAUACUUUGAAGCAUAGGUUCCUUUUGCCAUUCUUCAAUAAUCUUCGAGGAUGCAUUUAAAUGGCCCAUGCUGGGAACUUCAACAAACCAAAUUAAAAACACUUCAAGAAAACAUUUUAUUAAUCAGUGUAAGCAGAUUCCAUAUUCUUCUUCAAAAUCCAUGCAAGUCAAAUUUGGUUAAAAGAAGAAAAUAACAGUUUAUUCUGCACAACAUUUGUUUAUGAGAAGAUAAAAAAAGGCAGAUGAUACAGUUUCAAGUCUCGAGCAUCGCCGCUUCCUUCUUUCUUCUAUAUAUUUGAACGACCAACUCGAACUUGAACCCUAUGCCAUGAGGUGUUGAGUAUACCUCUUAAAUUCCAUAUCUCUUCCACUGUUCCAGGUUGCACAUUUGCUGCUGAAUCAACCUGCAUUUCAUUUCGAAAUUCGACUAAAAGCUUUGCACACUUAUAAACAAACUUAGAUACAUCAGCAGCCCAACAACCAAUCACCCAUUUUUUUCAAUCAAAGAGACUUGCAGCUUCGCACUAGUUAAAUUUCUAGGCAUCAAAUAAGGGACUUACAGCUUUAGCAAUGAUUUCAGUGUUCCGUUGGACAUUGAGUGUGACCUCGAAAAACACCCAUGCCCACUUGUCACUGCUCGGACUAUCAGCGACGUAUGGGACACCAACCUUCUGAGAUCUGGAGGCUUCAAUCCAGUUUUUACCUCCAUCAACAGAUAUGUCUACUCUCUCUAUUCCCCGACCACCUCCUGACACUGCGUAACCACUAACUGUAACCUGACAUACAUUUGAAGAUCACCAUCACAUUUGCUUGUUUAAAGUAGCCACACGGCGCUAUAAAUUAACUUCAAGAGAGUAAGAUGAAAACUAUUUUUAUUAAACAAUGUAAAAGAGAUGAGAACGAGAUUAUAAAUAUGCAAGUAGAGCAAUAUUCUGCAGGAAUUUCUGAUUUACAUGUCCCAAAUUACGACUUAACCUGGACAGAGAAAGGCAGAAGAUUGGAGGCUCUUAGAUCUGAAAUAGGAAAUACUUUGCAUAGAUCAUCAUCUGUAUUUUAUAUAUUCGACUAUUCAUUGAAAUUACAGAAACAAACUAACCUUUCCAGGCUUUAUAUGAUCUACAUCCUCCAAAGAACAUAUGACACACUGCAAUUCAGUAAGUUCAACCGCAUUAGACUAGUCAGGUCAAUUUGGACAGUGACAACAGAGAAUCAAACCCUGAAAACUUUGUUGGGCGUAUGCUCAAAGUAAAUAAUGAGAGCAAAGUAAAUAAUGAGAGAGGGUGAUCCUUAAGGUUUGUUGGGUGUGCACGAUCUUGUGGAUUUUGUAGCAUAACUGGAAUAGUAGGGUGAUUUGGGGUGUGGAAAGAGACCAGGGUGAUUUGGGAUGUGGAAAGAGACCCUACAGAGAAGUUCCCUCAUUUGCUUUCUAGUCUCUUUGUGGGUCUCAAUUAUGAAUUUUUUUUGUAACCAUCCUAUAGUCACGAUUUCACAUAGUUGGAGUCCCUGUACGUGAAGGAUGCUCCCUACAUCUGUCGACUUGUCUUUUUGUUUGUCUGUCCCUACAUCUGUCGACUUGUCUUUUUGUUUGUCUGUGCAUUCUUUCAUUUCUUUUUCUCCAUUAAAGAAGUUGUUUUUAUAAUAAUAAUAUUUUAAAAAUAAAUAGAGUAAAUGACGAGGGAGAACUAUUUUCUAAUUUUCCUAAUCAACGCAAAAUUGAGGAGAAGGAAUAUAGUACAAACCUGAACAGGAAAAUCCAUUUGAGGCCUCCUGGUCGACCAAUCAAUAUUAUCCCAAUUUACGGAAGGCGGAAACAUUUUGUAGUCUUUUUGCAUAAAGAAACCCUGCAAGACAAUGCCAUGAACUCAAUUAUAAAGAACGCAAUUUCUUGAGGAAAAGAACCAAGUUUUAAAUUUCACAUUUCCUACCUGACAUUCCUCUGCAAUUAUGUUAAUAGAAUCGAUCCAUUUAACAGAGCGAGCACCGAUAACACCCGGGACAACCACACGUAAUGGAUACCCAUGAUCCCUGUUAAGAGUCUUUUGUGAAAGAGUAAAUAAUAUCAAGUAUAGUAGAGCGGCACAAUAAGCAACGUAACAGCAUGAGAUUUAGAAGUUAAACUUCUCCCACCCCUUCAACCUAUAUUUAUAAAAGCAACGAUGUGAUUACUCAACAUUAAAAGGAAUACUUGUAGAAAAGUUCCAACAAGCAUUAAUAAAAACUACAAUAACCAAAAAACAAGAAAAUUAAUUAAGGCAAUCCCAUUUGAUCAAAUUGAGUUCAUUCAUUGUUGUGUAAUCAUUCCUUUUACAAGUGCAUUGUUGUGCAAUCAUAUAUUUGAUAUAUUGUCUAUUAAGUAGGAGAGACGAGGAGUUUAACAUGGCAGGUAUUUCAAUACGUAAAAAUGUACUCCUAACUUGUUUAAAGCAAUAUAACUUACUUCUCCAUUCAUUUCGUAAGCCAGCAAAACAUCGGCUUCAGGAUCUGAAGCUUGGCUAAGUGGAAUUGAUCCCUUAUAUGGGCCUCCCUUUUCUUCCUGUACAUGAUAACCGUAGUAAUCAGAAUUAUUGGUCUAUAUCCAUACAUAAUUCCUUCAAACUAAAGCAAGUUAACUUUCAAUAACAUCAGUCAUAUCUUCUUCAAGACAUGCCCUGUUUUUUCCAUCUUCUUUUUGAAACGAGCAUCUAAAUUUGCCAUCGUUGUACCUUGCAUCUAUCAAUGCUCACAAACUCAACAUGUUUUCCACCUUUUUGUGUCCUAUAGCUGUACUUAGGUAUUCCAACAAGUUCAAGAACAUCAGCCAAUUUAGCACCACCCCAAACAGCUGUAAGAUUCAAAACAUUAUUUCCAAAAGGAUGAACUUUAUAACUAACACAUCUAAAACACUAGCUGGUUCAUGUCUUACCAUUUCCUAGAGCAGAAACAUCCCAGCCAACACCCUUCACUGUUUUGGUUUUGCUCAUUGCUGUCCUUCUAUUCCCUGCACACUAUGUCCAUAUAUGCCAAAUGGUGUUAAAUUAUAGUGAGAACUAUUCAUAAACCUCGUAGUUUUCAAUUAGCAUAUUGCAACCACAGGGCAAAGAAAAAUACUUGCAGCUAAUGCUUGGUAAUGAGAUACCUGUAAAGUGGCAGUGACAUUGUACUUUGGAAGCAUCCUGUUACAUUAUAAUAAUCUUAGCUGCUUUGUGAAGCACUUUAUUAUACAAAGUUUCGUCGUAUUGGUAUCUUCAUAAAGCGGAGGAAACGCUCUUUUAAAUCUAAAAUACUACAGCUCACCUGAUAUCUUUCAUGAACAGCUCUUUUGGGUUGUCUAUUAGGCCAUUUAUAGAAACAAAAUAUCUACAUUGUCAAAGAAAAGGUUUAGUAAUUGAAUUGGAGAUGGAAGUGAAAAGAACGUUUACAUUCAAAAAAGAAAAGAGAAAGGAGAAAGAAGGAAGAAGGAAACCUUUCAAUAUCAUUAACUAAUGGAAUAGGUCCAUGAUUUCUCUUGUAAAAGAAAUCUACAGGGGUGACAUAAGAUGAAAUCAGGGUUGAGCGUGGUGGCUCCGCAUUGAAGGGCUCCUAAGGCAGAGAUAUAAGAGGGAGAAGAUCAGCUAAAUAUUUAUUGCACAUCUGUAAUUGCUUCCCCUGUAGUUUGAUUCAUUCUAGACGCUGAGGAAAGGCAACCAGAGCAGGAAUAGCACACUUUGAUACAAAAUAUUCACGAUUCAGCACAUACGAUGGACAAAUUUAUCAACCACUAAAGCAUCGUUUGGUCUUUUUGUUUCUUUCUUAAAUUAAGCCUGUAGACACUCCUCUGAUUCUCCCACCUCUAAAUUUUUUAAUUUGUUCUCUUUUACCAAUGUUUUCAAAAGCUAAGAGUAAUUCGUACGACGAAAAGAUGGCAAUUUUUUAAAACAUAUUUUUGUUUUUGAAAUUUAGUUAAGAAUAACUCUACUAUUUAAAAAUAUAUAAAUCAUGGUAAAAAAAAGUUGAGUGGAAAUAUGCUUACUUUUCAAAAACAAAAAACAAAAUACGAAAAGAAUUACCAAACAAAGCCUAAUUGUUUCAACUUUGUCAUUUUCGUGUACCCAUCAAACAACAGCCCUUUUAAGGGUUCAUUAGGGACUGAUUCACUCUAAGUAAAAAAGGCAAAGCCAUUGUGUUUUUCACAUAAUGUUUUUUCUUUUUGUUUGAUAUUCAUGGUCAGCUUAUCCACAACUUAACUAAUCUAUCUGGAUAAUUCAUCUAACCCUACAACAUUUAAGUUUAACUCAUAUGAUAAAAUCGUAAGACAUCACCAACACCCUGGAUUAAACCCAUCCAACUUCAAACCUAGGUGUUUAUAAAUACCUAUUAGACAAAAACAUGAAACUUCUUGUACUAAACUUGUGAUCGAGCACACACUCCACCAUUCAAUAUACAAGGAAAUUCACAUAGAAAAUGAAACAAAAAUCACAAAAUAUAUCCUCAGAAGUAUAGUUUUCAACAAAAUUGACAAGCAAACGGAAAUGAAAGAAACCCAAAUCAUGAAGUUGAUUAUGACCCCUUAAUAAAUCAAAUGUUGAUGAAAAAAAGGAAUUGGAAUUCCGAGAAAUAACUUGCCUUGGCGUUGAUUCGGAGACAUGGGUGACGAAGUGGUUCUUGUGAAUAAUCUGAGGGUGCAAUCAAUCCAGGCAUUUUCUCAAUCUUUUGGGAGCAGAACACAAAUGUUCUCGAAAGCUGGAUGGCCACAGAUUUCGUGAGAGCGACGAAAUGUCGCAAUUCAAUGGGUAAUCUUAAUUUUGGUCACAGCCAAGCGAACCCCAAUUGAUGGAGAGGCUAAGCUAAGCCUGUGAUUAUUAUUAAAAUCGUCACUGGCGAGUGAUGAACUGACAACGAUGAAGCGUCGAAAGUAUCGAUGGCAAGUUGCCAACGCCCAAUACACACUUUCUUUUGUUUUUUAUGCAUCAUCAAAUUAAUUUCCAAUGUUUAAUAUUUGGUUAUGAGAUGGAAAGAUCAAAUGUUAAUUUAUUUAGGAAAUGGAAGAAAUUGGAAAUUUAUUAUGAGGUUUUUAUAAAAAGUACAUCAACCGGUGAAUACAAACAAUUUCAAAAACGGAAAGAGUAAACAAACCCAAAGUGAGAAAUACAAAAAAUAUUGCCGUCAACAUGGGAUUAAUCAGUGACACGAGUGUGUAUCACACCUCGUUCUAGGUUUUUGCUUCUAACAUAGAUCGUGAUGUGAAUCUACUCUUUAAAACAUUUUUUUUUCAAACGUAAGAUUGCUAAAAUACUUUUCAAAAUUUUCUAUAAAAAUUUUGGGAGAACCUCCCAAAAUAUGGGGUAGCCAAACCUAAAAAGAAUGAGGUUUUCACUUCUAUAAGUAUAUAAACAAACUUCAUAUUGCACAACACAACAAGUGUGGCUCACUACAUACAUAUCUAGACGAUUCCAGAGUUUAAUUUCAAGCAGAGUUAAAAUUCAAACUAGAUAUUACGUGGAAAAUGAUUUUCGUCUCAUAAGGGAUCUCUAAAAAACACUAGUCUUUGGCAUCACUUUCGCAACAUCUAACCACCCCAUGAUGCAAUACAAAAAGUUAAUUAUAUACGUAUGAAAAUGAAGAUCUACAAAUGGUGACGAGGGUUCAACCAAAUCUUGGUCCUUGAUCACUACUUGGGGGGAGAAAACAUUGCAAACAUAAACUGGAAACUCAGUGACUGACAAGUUUUUAGAAGUAAAAAUUUGUAAAAAUAUUGUCAAGAAUGUUUAUAUAUGACAUCAGUAAUGAAAUCAUAAUUAAAAUGUUAUAAAUACAUAAUACUAUAAAUCACAAGUCAAGCCAACAAACAUGUACCUAUUUCAACCAUGGCAAUGCGUCUAAAUAUACGACUAAGAAUAACUCACACAUGAUCAAAGAAUCAUGCGCCCAAACGUAACUCAUGCAUAUUUAGUACCCACCAUGAUAACAACCUCCAUCCAAUCUGACCAUGGUAGAAUACUAAAUACACGAUUGAGAAUAGCUCACAUUUGAUGCAUAUCCAAAAUAAAACACGCAGCAAAAUUGAGCUCAUACAUACUUAGUACCUACCACAAUAAGAACCUUUAUCCAAUCCCACCAUGAUAACAUACUAAAUCCACUAUCGAUAAUAGUUCACACAUGAUCCAUAUCCACAAGAAAACACAUGGUCAAUCUAAGCUCAGACAUACUUAGCAUCUACCAUAGUAACAAUCUCCAUAUCUGCACCUAUGUGCACAUAAAACCAUCCAUCAUGGGUUAAGCUAGGCUCGAAGCCAUAUUACAAUCCUCCAUCUAUAUCCUCACUUAGGCUCAGGUUCUCGGAUCUCAGGUCACGACGUCUUUCAACCCCAGAAUCCUGUCACAACUGUAGGUGACGCUACAGAAACACAUUCACGUAGCCUUAGGAAAAUCACCAUAAAAAUUGGAUAGUCACAUUUAAAAAAAUCAAUUACACUCAGAACUUGAAACAUAUUUUUAUAAAGUUCAAGUCAUACGCAUUCUUAAAAUCGUGAUGAGUAAACACAUCGUUUAAACAUAAAUGAAACACAAUCAUAAAAAGUUUAAGUCAUGGUAGUAUCCAAGCAAUAUCAUAAAAUAACAUGUAUAAAUUCAAAGAAAGCUUGAAAACGAGUCACUCACUGUUAAUAACUCGAUCCCCUAGAAUUAUAUGCUUUUCUCACUGCAAUUUGGCCUGAAACAAUUAUCAAUGUCCCUCAGUUAUCUUUACAUAUCAAGAUGUCACAACUAACUCUAAAAUACUUCAUUAUGACAACUUAAGCUAUUUAUGGUUCAAUGGGUCGAAUUCUCAUUUUCCUUAUUAAAUUUAUAUCAUUCCACACAUGCUUUAAUUUAGGCAGGAAAUUUACUUUUGGACCCUUAACUUCAAACUUAACUCUUAGCACCUUAAGCAUCUUAGUGGGAAAACAUUUGGGGUAAAUUUUAGAGAUUCGAGGUGUAAUGGUAAAAAAAGAACAAAGUUAAUUGCCAUGCGACUUCAAAAUAAUGACGAAUGAUGACUAGGUGUUGGAGUAACUUGACUGGUGACCAAAUCCUUGAGGAACUUGGACAUAACGACACAUAUCAAACCCACAACUUCAGAUCUGUGUGACCUUCGAAAGGUUCUGCGUGGGGUUGUUGCGUCCGGCGAGACGAGCGAUGAACGAUUGCUGGUGGUGUCGGCAUGACAGAGUGAGAGAAAGAGGCAUGACAUGACAACGACUGGAUGUAACCUAUACCAACAAGGUGCACCUUCUUUUUCGAUAGCUCGAUCAUAGGAACUUCAAAGUUAAACGUGCUUAGCUUGAAGUAAUUCUAUGUUGGAUGACCUCCUGAGAAUUUUUCCUAGGAUGCAUGUAUACUUAAUUAUUUUGAAUCUAAUUGUUAUAAUUGCAACCUUAAAAUUAUACAUGUCUUGAUUAGUUGAUUUUUAUUUCAUUACAAAAAUGUUUAUUCUCCCUCGUAUUUUUCUUUUUCUAAAUAAGAAUUUGAAUAUGUUAAGUUUGCAAUUCAUAUUCUAUUUUAUAUUUUCAGCUUUAUUGAGUUAGUGAAGAUACGGGGUGUAAACGAGUUGGGUUGGGUUGGGUUGAGAGAUAUUCUCAGUCCAAUCCAUAUUUUCGGGUUGGUUGGGUUAGCAACCCGAAUAACCCAGAUUAAUUUCUCAACCCAACUCGUAAAAUAUGGGUUGGGUUAUCGGGUUGUAUUGUUUUUUUUUCAAUUCUCAACCCGACAAUUGUUUAGCUUUUAAACGAUCAUUUACUUCUUACAGAAUCUACUAACUUUCCAUAUGAUCAUUUAACUUCCUACAUGAUCAUUUAAAAAAAUACUCAUAACUUUACAUUUAUUAAAUAAAUAAUAAAAAAUAUAUAAGAAAUAUAUUAAUUUGGAUUGGGUUAGGUUGGACAGUCCGAGUUAUCAAAUUAUUCGGCCUAAAUUUAUACCCCUAGAAGAUAUAUAUUUGACAAACAUCAUAAAUUCUGUUAUAAUUGUUAUUUUUGGAUGGUGUGAUUUAAACCAUGUAAGUUCUCAAAUACAAGGGCGGAUUCAUUAAGGGGUCAGGGGCAUGUGCCCCACUCACAUUAUCGGUUUUUGUAUUUUAAUAUUAAUUUUAAAGUGUUAGAUUACAAUAUAUAUUAAAUUUAGCUUCAUUUUGCCUAAAUUUCUCAACCUCUUGGUUGUGACUUCAAAUCAAGAAUUAUUACAAAAUAGUUUUUCUUCCAAAUAUCAAUAAUUUUUUUCCUUAAAUAUCAAAUUUCUUUCUAAAUUAUUACAAAAUAUAUUUUAUUCAAAACAUCAACCAAUUACUUUUCUCAAAUAUCAAUAAUUUUCUUUCUCUAAAUAUCAAAUUUCUUUCUAAAUUUUAAUGAUUUCUUAAAAGGAAGAUAUUAAUUUUCUUCCUAAAUUUCAACGAUUUUUCAAAAGGAAGAUAAUUUGAUUUCCUAAAAGACUAAAAGAAAUAUAAUUUUUUAAAAAGUGAAAAAAAAAACUCAUAUAUAACCCUAACUUAUUUCCUAUACCUCAUUUGUUAUCUAAAAAAAAAAAUGCAACAAAAGCGAUGAUCCAAACUUUCACUCCCUCAAUAAUAUUCCAUGAAAAAUGUAUUAUUCUUUCUUUUUUUCUUUUUUUUUGUAUGCAAAUUUUAAAUUCACAUGUUUACAUUUAAAAAAAUCAUGUAAAAUGAUUGUCUUUUUUUUAUUGCUACAAAUGUAGUGAAUGUUAUUGGAGCAUCAGUGAAACGUCGAAAUAUUUUUUUAAACAUUUUUAGUGUGUUUAUUAUAUAGUGCCCGAUGCCCCCUAUGUAAAAUUUCUGGAUUCGCCACUUCUCAAAUAUGAUAUACUUUUGUGUUUUUUUCAUCUACCAAAAUUAAAUUCUAAAAUUAAAAUGUAAAAUUAUAUUAAACAAAAUAAAAAUAUUUAAAAUAGUAUGUGAUAUUAUAAAUCCAAUUCAAUUCUUUUAAAAUUAAGAUGCGUAUCAAGUAAUGAAUGAUAAAUUAAAUUAGGUUAAAUUCCAAGUUUCCAUCCCUAUGGUUAAAGUUAAAAGCUAGGCCAUAUGAUUUUAAAAUUCUAAAAUUUAGAAUUUAAUCCACAUAGUUUAUAUAUUUUUCAUUUACAGUCCCUAUAGUUUGUUAAAUUCUUUUAAUGGUUCCUACCAAAAAGAUUAUUUAUUAUGAAGCUUUUGUCAAACUAUAGGGGUAGAAUUUAAUUAUAAACUAUAAGACCUAAAUUUUAAUUACUUCAAUUGAAGGUAUCAAAAAUUUAUUUAUUUUUCUUUAAAUUAUAUUAAAAUUACAAAAGAAUAAUUAUACAAAUUUUUAACAUAAAAUGUUCAAUAAAUUAUUAAUAAAAUUAACAAUGAUUUAUUGUCAACUAAUAUCAAAUAAGUAGCUAGGACUAGUUUACAGUAAUUUAAAUCAGAAUCUAAUUUCUGAAUUCGUAGUUCUUUGUUUGAAGCAUUUCUUUUAAAUAUAAAUUCAAAUUAUACAAUUUCUUUUGAAGCAUCAUUUGAUUUAAAUUUAUACAUAAAAAAUAUUGAGAAGGAGCAUUAAUGUCGAGACUCGAGACACUUAAAAAUAAGAUCUUGUCAUCUACUCAACAUUAAUAAUGAUACUUUGUACUAAGAAACAAGUAUAAUAAUGUAAUGGCUAUAUUAGAUACUAAUUAAGAUCUAGUAAUUGAUUGUGUUUACUGUUUACUUGCUUGUCCACCCCCUCGUUCCCUUCGUUUAGUUCCAUUUAGUUGAUAUUUUGCUAAUUGUGUCAUGAAAGAAAGUUAUUUGACACUUAAUUUGAUAUAACAUAGUUACACGUUACAACAAUCCCAAUAAUAAAUAGUAAGAUGCAAGUGAAAAUAUUAUUGAAAAGCAAAAUGAGUUACACGCCAACUCUACAUCUCACAAUCACUCCUCUCUAACUCUAAAUCCCUCUCUCAACACUCCAUGUGCAAUAAAACACCUUCCUAACCACACAUUCAUUAUCUGUUCUAUGUGACUACGUCUACAACUUUUACUGAGGCCUCAAAAUAUGUUGAAAUGGAGAUUUGUUAUGCAUGAAGAAUUCAAUGCUCUUCAACAACAACCUAUUGUGCUUUAGAAUUAGUGUCCUAAAUAUCUCAUGUAUAUUGUGGUUUAUAGUUUUCUAACACAAAUUAUUUAUCUAACAAAAUAGGAGGUAGUUUAUUAAUUUAAUCUAAUAAUAACUAAGAUCCAACGUUAUAUUAUGUUACUUGAAUUGUAUGUAGUUGAUGUCCAAGCUAUAACCUAAUAGGUCUGCAGUAAAUGGAUAGAGGUUGGAUGUCUUAUGGUAACAUUGUAGGAUAUGACAUACUUUGUAAUUGUUACGUGAGAUAUUAAUGUUGCAAAGAAUAUGAGUCAUAUAUUGUUCAUCUGAAUACAUGUGAGUGCAAGUAUCUCGUAUAAAAGAGUUUAUACAUUUUUGUAAUUGUAGGGUCCAUGUCACUACAUUUUCUAAAUUGGAAAAAUAGCAAAUUUAAAAGUGAAUAGCCUACUGAUACCCAUUUGAUAGUCAUCUAAUAACCGUUUAAUAUAUCUAAUUACUUGUCAUAUUUGUCAUAUAUGCAAAAGAAAAAAUGUUAGGGGCUGCUUUUAUCUAAAUUUUUUUUGUUAUCGGAUGUAAUUUUCUAUUUUUUUUAAAUAUUCCAUGGUUUACCUUUCCUUUUCAUGGUCUUUCUUCUCUUUCUCUUCUGCAAUUUUUUUUCUUUCCAUCUUUUUUUCUCUUCUUUUUACAGUUUUUCUUUCAUUUUUUUAAAGGGAUAGUUGCAAAUUUAGAAAUUAAAUUCAAAAUAAUUAAGUAUAUAGCAACGUUUUAAAUUUUUUUGCAAAUAUAUCAAAAUUUGUCAAAUUCUAUCAAUGAUAAAGUCUAUCACUGAUAGAUCAUGUUGUAAAAAUUGGUCUAUCACCGAUAGAUCUACGAGUCUAUCAGUGAUACAAGUUUAUCAGCGAUAGUUUUGCUAUAUUUGCAAUUUUUUUUAAAUGUUGUUAUAUCCUUAAUUAUUAUUCCUCAAAUGGUCAUCCAUUACAAUUACCCUUUUUUAAAAUUGUUAUUUGGUUGUUCCAAAUAUAAAAUAUCGUGAAAAAAAUUGUUGGGAUAUUGGAUAGCCAAAUCUAAACGAUUGUGUACCAAAUAGUCAAAUAUAAACAACUGUGUUCCAAAUAUAAACGAUUGUGUAUCAAAUCUAAACAAUCAUUUUCUAAAUAUAAACGAUCGUUUUCCAAAUAUAAACGAUUGUUUUAUAAAACGAUCGUUUUAUAAAUAUAAACGAUCAUGUUCAAAAUAAAUGAUCAUGUACCAAAAAAUAUUGAAAAAAAUCGUUGAUAUUUGACUAGUCAAAUUUAAAUGAUCAAAUUUAAGUGAUCGUGUACAAAAAAAAAAAAAAUUAAAAAUCGUUUAGAUUUAACUAUCAAAUAUAAACAAUUGUGUACCAAAAAAGUCAUGAAAAAAAUCAUUUAGAUUUGCAUAAUCUAAAUGAUAAAAUCUAAACUAUCGUUUCCAAAUAUAUUACGUGCACUAGAUGCCAAUUAAUCAUAAACAUUUUUUGUAUUUUUUAUUGUUUUUCAUUUUUUAAAUUGUUAUUUACGGUGUAAAUAUUUUUUCAGUUUGUUAUAUUUUUAAAAGGACCCUUUAUUUUAAAUAUAUUCUUUUAAUAAAACAUUGGCUUCAAAUACGAGACUUCUUUUGAAAUAAACACUAGAAGAAAAUAUGUCUAUUAUGACAGUUAUAUAUCUCACAAAAUGGGAGGGAGAAGAAAAAACUGUCACAAAAUAGAAAAUUUCGCGUUUUUGGCGGGAAAAGACGGAAUUUUUCGGAUAACACUUUCCGCGACAGUUAUUUGAUGUCAUAGAAUGUUACCAUUAAAAAAUUUAUUAUUUUAUAUUUAAAAAAUUAAAAUUACAAGUUUAUAUUUAAAAAAAAAAACACAAUUUCCCCUUCUAAACCCUUAAUUUUUCUCCAAUUGCUUCCUCGCAUAUGUGUUUCUCCCCUAAAUUUUCUCCAUUCCUCAUGUGCGCGUUUCUUCCCAUUUCGGCCAUCUUAAGUCUCGUCGCCACCACUUUCCCCCUCGUGCCCGUCCGUCCAAACCUCCUCCUCAUCGUCACCAACACCCCGUCGCCACCACCCCCGUCUUCUCCAAACCUCUGCAAUCAACUUGAAGCUUCAAAUCGUGGACAUCGGUCGUCACCCCUCCGCCGGUAAGCUUCUCUUCGUUAUCUCUUUCUCUCUCUCUCUAUGAAGUUCUUCUUUGUUGUGGUUACUCUUAACAAAUAUUUUGUAGACCUCAAAGAUAGGCCCACACAUAUUCUAACACAAGUAUUUUCCAGUACAUUACUGCAUGCAUGCAACUACUAAAAUCACUUUUGAGUAAACUCAUGUGAAAAAAAAUUAAAUCCUUUUUAUUUAUAAAGUUUUGAAUUUUUUUUAAUAAAAUAAUAAAUCAAUUAGCAAUUAACAAUUAUCAAAUCCAAUUCAAGUUACCCGGUCCGAUUCUAAAUGAAAUAGAACAAUUAAAUAAAACGUAAAUGUUUUCUCUAAUUAAAAUCAAAACAUGACAAAUAUGAUCCUAAGUGCGAAAGCUAACACUGUUCUCAUGGCUCGCCUACGAACCCUUGUUGUCAUUUGGUGUCUUGUCUUGGUUCUUACUUGAAAAAUGUAACAUAGAUAUACUAAAAAGUUGAGUAUAAAUAUACUAAAAGUUGAGUAUAAAUAUACUAAAUAGUUGAGUAUAAAUAUACUCAGUAAGUAACUCCUACUGUUGCAGUUAAACUAAGCAUUAACUUUCUUAAAAUGCAUUGUACUAAUAAUCACGAAGGAAACACAAACUGAUGAAUCUAGUGGGAAACAAAAACUGGUGAAUCCCAAAGAAAAGCAUAGGCUGGUGAAUCUCGAAGGAAAAUACAAACUGGGACCAGUGAAUUUCGAAUAAGACUGGUGAAUCUCAAAGAAAACACAGAUUGGGACCGAUGAAUUCCAUCUCGAAGGAAACAUUGACGGGGAUCGGUGAAUCCCAAAGGAAACGCAUACAGGCUGGGACUAUUGAAUCCCGAAGGAAACAUAAACUGGUGGGAAACACAUCGUUACAAGCUAGGGGCAACAACUAGUAAGCCAUAACAUCAUACACAACGUCGAGUAGCAGUCACAGAAAUAGUCAAUCAUCUCAACCAUUGACUCACUUAUAAUUUUAUUUCACUCGCAUGCUAAAUUCAAUCAUAUACUAUCAUCCAAUUAUGAGCUUCAUCAUAGUCACAUACGCAAAAUAAACUCAGUACCAUUCAUGCCACAUCCUAAAUUCAUUCUAGGUAGCCUAGCUCAAGGACGGUUCUAAUAGUAAGUUACUUGUCUCAACUAGUUUAAUUCAAAAAAUAAACAACCACAACCUAUAAAACGAAAGAUUAAAUCACCACCUACACAACAACUCAGUUAUCAGCAUAAGUUACGCGUCCUGAUCAUAUUCUUAUGUGUUUUACCUCAUUAUUCUAAUAGAAAGGACUAUAAUAAUAGAUGUUUAUGCACGUUAUCAUGAGGCUUGACAAUAGUAACCCACUUUGUGCUCCAAACGCCCCUUAAUAUUUCACAUCAAUAGAGCAUAUUAAUUCACAUAUUUGAAAAAAAUGUCAAUUAAUCCUCUACUUAAGUCAUAAAAACACAAGAGUAUGAAAUUUGCUUUCAAAAUAUAAGUAUCACCCUCAGUAUGAAUUUAGUGUUGCUCUCGCUAGUAAUGCACUAUUGAUGUGAUUAUGUUUCAGAGUAUGAAUGAUUUGACAAAUUUUCUAAAAUGAACCCAACUAAUCACCUCAAAAUAGUAACCCAAAAGUGGUUGCCCAAAACCUAACGAGAAAUUUGAAACAUUAGAGGAUUUGCAAGGAAUUUUUAGCAGCAGGUUGGGUUUUUUGGUUUUAGUAUGCAAAAGGUUAGAUUGCAAGAGAUAUUGCUAAUCAUAGCACAAGAUGAUCAAUAGACAAUUGGAGGUGGUUUUUGGUGAGAUCACUUCACAUGAAAUAGAUCUUCUACAACUGUUGUUGAUGGCAAAGAGGUCUUGCUCGAGGAGGUCAUAAAUGGUGAAAUGGGUACUUGACAGUGUCACUACCUAGUGAUGAUGGACUCAGAGGGAGUUGUUUCCUGGUAUACAUGUGGCAAUUUUAGUGAACUUAUCCCUGAGUUACAUGUGUACCAAUGUAUUAAAUAUCACUAUAUACAACAAGAUAGUAUUCUGUGUCAAUGCUAGCACAGUAGGCCAUUAUCAUGUACUUAUAUAUCAUUUCAACGUAACAAUAUAUAUGAUCUCUCAUUUUAUGGGUCAAUAGCAGUACAGAUGUAGAUCAUUGAAUUGGAUUACCAAUUCUUGACGUUUUGAUUAUUAUUUUUACUAUCGAUUACUUUUGUUACUCCAAUUAAUUAUUAACUCAAGUGUUAACUUAAGUCAUCGUCAAGUGAAUCAUGACUUCCUUUUUCAAUUUAACAUUUUAGAUAGGAAAAUGGUCAUCUCUCUCAUUAGUUGUUAUAAGCACCAAACUCUGACAUAUUAAUUAGUUUCCUAUAAGACAAAUCGUGAAACUAUACCAACAGAAAAGAAAAAGAAACAGUGACCCUGACAUGAUAUAACUAAAAUCGUUGAAAGAAUGAUAGUGUAUACGAUAAAUAAAUUAGUCUUUUCUUAUGAAUGUUUUGAAUUGCAUAUAUACUUGUAACUUAUUUCUACAUACAAAAAUUAGGUAAAGCUCUCAGUACAGAUAUUUAAGUUCUCUGCCACUGUUUUUAAAUGUUAUGAAAUCUCACAUUUUACUUCUUGUAAUAUAUGAACAACUAAAGGACCAUUGGUUUAAUUUAUUACUUGGUAAGACUUGCAAACUUCCAAUUGUACUUCAUUAAACCUAAGAAUAUUCAUUUGCCUAACUUUUUAUUUACUCCGAAACCUCUAGCUAAAAUAGAUGUAGUGGUGGAAGAAGUUACUUCAAAUCUUUAAUUUAGAGUUCUAUAUGUUCACGCAUCAAAUUUUGGGUUUUUAUAAAUAGCCAAUUUCUUGGUUUCGAAUCUUCACAUAGCAUAACCCAUCUUGUCUUCCUUGGUUAUACUAUAUUCAAAGAUAUAUUUAAGUAACAAACUUGGAAGUUUUGACAUGACCAAGCUCUCUUUUCAUCUGUUGUUUUGCUCAAUUUUUUAUGCUUUAGUACUUUUGCUUUCAAGGCCUGCAGUUUCUCAAGAAGUUGGUAAGAAAAUUCCUUGUUUCGUUUGUAUAUGAUUUGACUUUUCGUGUUCUUCCGUUCAUUCUUAAAUUGAAUGCAAUGUUCUAUAUUCGUCUCUUUGUCACUUUUCUUAAAGAAAAAAAAAGCAUUUUUGAUUAUAUUACUUAAAUUUAGGAGGGAAAGUUAAAAUUUAAGGGAACAUGUUAUGAAAACUUAAGUUCAUAGAAACUAAAAAAUAGUUUACAACAAAUAAAUCUAGAUAAUGGAUUCUUAUUAAUCAGGAGUGCAAGUCAAGUAAUAACUAAAAAGGCAAAUCAAGUCAACUAAUAAGACACUAUCAUUUCAUUUUAGCCUUACCAACGAGCUAAGAACUAAUUUGAUUGGCUAAAUAAAACUUCUUUUAAGAUUCUCGUUAGAUGGUGAAAAAUAUUUUUUUAAAAAAAACAUAAAGUAUAUAUAGAACGUAACAUUCAACUUAAUCCAUCUUCCAAAACUAUUUUAUAAAGUAUACGUGUAAAUUCAAAAAUUGUAAAUAUGAAAAAAUGGGCAUUCUAAAAUCAAAUCAAUAUUAGAAUACAAAGAAAUCAAUUUAAUCAACCAAUUGCUUGCCGUUCCAUUGUUUUCCAUGUUGAUGUAGAUAAUGAGAGUGGGUUUAAUUAUAACGAAGAUGGAAACAAAGGGCCAUCUCAUUGGGGAGAACUUAAACAAGAAUGGCAUGAAUGCAAAACUGGAAAAAUGCAAUCUCCUAUUGAUCUAUCCCACCAGAGAGUUCAAAUUGUACACAAGUUUGUGGACUCCAAAAUUGCUUAUAAUCCUACCAAUGCAACUCUUAUGAACAGAGGUCAUGAUAUAAUGGUAUGUACAAAAUACUGUUUGCUAAAUUCUAAAUUUUAUCCUCAUAAUUUAAAAGAAAGAAAAGAAAAGCUUGAAUUUAGUCUUCUGUGAUUUGUAAUCAUAAUUUAAUUCUUAUAUAGUUUGAUAAAACUCUAUCUCUAAAUUAAAUAUUUAUUAUACAAACAUACACUAAUCGUAAGAAUCUUAUUAAAUUAUGUAGACUAAAUUCUAAUUAUUAAAACCACCGGAAGUAAACGUGUAUGAUUAGAUGUGAUAGUUAAAAAUCAUUUUUAUUGUAUUUAAAAUCAUUUUGACAAACUCUUAUACUUUUAGAUGCAUUUUUAUUACUACUAAACUUGAUUUUGAUGGGUUAAAAGCAUUUUAGAAUAUAAUUUUAAAAAUAACUAAAAGUGAUUUUGAUCGUAUUAGAAAGAUAAUAAUUAGGUGCAACAUUGAAAUACCAAACAAAUUGUCAUGUAGCACAUCAUCAAUCAUUGAAAGCUGACUAUGCUGCAUGAAGUUGCAGUUAAUCUUUAUUAAUCACUUUAAACAUGCCAUAAGUACUUCUGGUUUUAUUUGAAUUUGUAAUAUCAAUCCAAUGUUCUUAUUGUUUCGAAUGAUGAAUAGUUUGUCUGAUACUGAAAUAUAUAUUUAACCUAAAUUUAAGAAUAUUUUGUUAUGGUUAAAUCUGUAGCUAAAAUGGAGUGAUGAUGCUGGAUAUAUUGAAAUAAAUGGAACACGAUAUUUUCUCAAACAAUGUCACUGGCACUCUCCUUCCGAGCAUACUAUUAAUGGUGAAAAAUUCGCAUUAGAAGCUCAUUUAGUGCAUCAAAGCCACAAUGGAAAUAUUGCUGUCAUUGGAAUUCUUUAUGAUAUUGGACAUUCUGACUAUUUCUUAUCCACAGUAUGUAUCAUCUAACUCGUAACUGUUGUUUUAAUAUAAUAAAAUCUAUCAUUCAUACACAACACACAACAUACAUAGUUUAUCAUAAUAGUUUAUUCUAAAUUUUGUGUUAUAUUUGUCAAUUACAUUGGAUUAUAUUAAAUUAUAUAGUAUGGGUCAAUUCUUAGAUUAACUUAAGAUUAAUAUUGAAAAAAUAAACUUAAUCUUAAGUUAAUCUAAGAUAAUUUAUUUUUCGAAGCUACAAAAAUUCAAAUAAAUAAAAUUGUUUUGACAGAUCAAAGAGCAUUUGGAAGAAAUUUCAGAGACAAAUGAAUAUAUUGAAUUGAAUGAUAUCGAUCCAUCAUUGGUGGAAAUGAAAAGUAGUAUAUAUUAUCAAUACUAUGGCUCUUUAACGGUUCCUCCAUGCACUCAAAAUGUACUUUGGAUUAUCGUUAAAAAGGUAAGAUUUUAA
This 145053-nucleotide long non-coding RNA is filed under the name Cucumis sativus (cucumber). Its description in RNAcentral is "long non-coding RNA (CSAT_LNC000127)". The record is from RNAcentral. Lineage: Eukaryota; Viridiplantae; Streptophyta; Magnoliopsida; Cucurbitales; Cucurbitaceae.